RNAcentral lists this long non-coding RNA (114739 nucleotides) under Pelobates cultripes (western spadefoot toad). Lineage: Eukaryota; Metazoa; Chordata; Amphibia; Anura; Pelobatidae. The record is from RNAcentral.
CUCGAGUGUAGAUAUUGCUACACAGUGCUAACCGUGUGCUGCUCCCCCUGCUGGCCGAGCCCGCUCCUGCAACUCAUGGCAGUGGAGGGAGGCGGUUCGGGUGGUAAAGUGUCUGGGAGGAAGUGAAGUGUUUCCCAGUCACAUUACGGAGCGGCUGGGGAGAACUGCUUGCCACAGGGACCGGGGCCGGCUAUGAGCAGAUAGGGCUACCAGAGCGCGGUACGGAGGGCGAUGGCUGUACUGGCCGCACUAUGGAGGAGCCUGCCUGUGGCUGCAGGAUCCCAGGUGAGACCCAAUCAGUACAGAACCGGGCACACAGUGUGCUCAGGGCAGCUCCCUCCUACUCUCCACUUUCACAAGUUUCUGGCUCCUGUCACUCUCGCUAUUAAACAAGUCUGCAGCAGUGGCUGAGAGUCAUGGUAGUUGCAAUUCAUUAGAUCCUUUCCAAACAAGGCUGGCUUGCAAGGAGUUGUUGUGGAUCCGUUCUUGCAUUGUUACUGUUUUCUCUGUCGUUCUAGAACCCCCUCCUGGUUUAAUGUGUUGUUCUCUGUGCAGUUUUCUUUAAUCCUGUUUGUUGUUGCUCUUUGCAGCCCCAUUACAUGACUCAUUCAGCUGAUGGCAGUGUUUAGUGAAGAGCCUUGUGAUUGUGAUGUGUAGGGCUCCCUGAUUAUAUACUGUGUGUCCAUGCUGAUUACAAGCAUCUCUCUUUAUACACAUUUCAUUUGUUCUUGCUCAACCACAAGGCUUAACCCAAAGGUGUCUGGCUUGGUAUUAGUAUCCUAAAUAUUGACUCCACGUAUUCUACGCAGAAAUCUAAAUUUAGACUUAACUUUGAGGGGUACUUGUGAUGCACUCUAGUUGUUUUGUUUGUUUUUUGGAGAGAGAACUGAGCAGGUCAAGCUCUAUCCUUGCAGCAGUUUUAGGAACUUUUCGGUAACCUCACAGGUGAUAUGGUGUUUAAGCAGUGUUCCUUCUGAGGACAUUCUAAAACGAACUUGUGUGGUAACAAAAGAGUUAAUAUUUACCUGUCUGUAUAGCCAAUCAGUAUUUUGAUGUGUAAUCUGAAAUUCUAUACAUUAGUCAUUUAGACACUACCCUCUGAAAAGUCUUUUCCAAUGACCCAGUCAGAGGCCGGAAUAAUGGAAGUAUAGCAUCAGUCUUUAAUGCAGUGCAUAGAAAAGCUGUCCAAACUGGUUCUGAGAGCACACUCCUUAAGAUAUCGAAUAUACAUUAUAUCCGUGAAAGAGAAUUAAAAAAAAUUUAUUUUAUAUUGGCAGGCUUUACACCUUUCUUUGUCUAAUCUACUAAAAGGAAAGUACAGUCUUCUAAUUGGGUGUAGGACAACUCCUCCUCACAUGUCUGCUGGCCUUGAAAACCUAAGCAAUUAUAGUGCUGAUCACACACUUUUGCCUAUUAACCCUUCUGUUACCAGACAGCAAGCUUACCUAAUAUAUCAGGCGGAUUAUACUGGUUUGCAUUUUAGUGUUUUAUAUUUAUUUUUAUAUAUAUAGUGUGUGUGUGUGUGUGUUUAAUGGAUGUACACUUAACAGAAAUACAUGUGGGGAAUUGACAAUUGAAUUGCAAGUUCUAGGCCGCAUUAGCUACAUAAACCCUAGUUUAGUAUAUAUUACUGCUGCAUUUAGUCUCUGUAUUGCAUAGCUCAAGGUUGCCUGCAAUGUUCUACUUUGAUUCUGUGAAGUUGCAAAAAAUUUUUGGCUGUCCUUCCUGCACAAACCCAGGUAAACGGUGGUUUAUUUUCGUCGUCUUCUGUCCUAUUUUCUAACUUUAUUUUCUUUUGGGUGUGGUAGUUAUAUUAGUCUAUAGCUUUGUAAAGAAUUGUCCUGAUCACAGGAAAAUCUCUUGCAAUUCAGUGAAGGGAGUGAAGUGAGUAAUGCUGAAACUAUGUUUGCAGGGUAAAAAUCAGGCAUGGGUUUAAUCACACAUCUUCUGGUGAAUGCUAAAAAAAACCCCCAAAACAAUUUUUUUCUGUGGAUGGCUCUGCUAUAAAGGCAAAGACCUGUCAACUGUAAAAUAAAGAGGAACUUACAUAUUUGAAAGACUUUUUUUUUUUUUUUUUUUAAAUCUAUCACAUAAAAUGUAUCUAGUACUUUUAUUUAUUUAUGGCAUCUUUAUGGGAGUGAUAUGUAAUAUAAUUUUGUUUUGAAGUGGGUUUUUUUUUUUUUUUUUAAACCAGGCCUGAUUAGUUCUCAAACAAGAAUACAUUAAUAUUACUUGUUAUUUUAAAAUUCUAGUAACAUUUUAGCUCAAAACUAAUACGUAAGGCACAGUAGGAUCCUAUGCUGAAUGAAAGGAAUGAAUGUCAUUUGUCAGUCUAAAGAUGGCUUACUGCAUAGCCUUCUUUAUUAACAAUGUUCAAUUUUAUGUGGGCACAAGAAUCAUUGCUAUCUAAGCUAAUCUUCCAAGACUUUGAAAUUUGUAUUCUCACACUUGAAGCAUGUUUUGGCAAGAAAAGCUGCCAUUAUUGGUGGACAGACCAUGGCCAUGGUAAAAUGUUCAGUUUCCUUCUCUGCGACUUCCUGGUUUCCCUAUACUACUUAUUUCAACAUUUUUAAUUUUAUAUUGUAUUCUUUUGUCAUCUUUAUUUUAUUUAAAUUUGUAAAGUAAACAUAGGUGAAUGGUACCCCAGUAAUGAAACUACACUGGUAUAAGACCUGCAUUCUGAAAAGGCACACAGAGUAGUUCAUGCUAAUCAUUUUUAUUUUUUGUACAAUAAAAGUAUCACUAUUCAUAUUAUAACCAUAAAUGUAAAUAACCUGAUAUAGGUAGUAAUUCGCAGACAGAAUCUAUAUGGAAAAUUAAAAAGCUAACAUAGCGUAAUAUAGUACUAGAAAAGUGAGUAUAUUAGUGAAAAUGAAUGCACUCACAAACAAAAUUGAAUUCAGGCUUCUCACCCUCCAAAAGGGAGAACAGAAAACAAAUAUAGUGAAGCAUGUAAUUAUAUUACAGAAUCAUAAUUUAUUUAUUUAUUUUUUUUUUUCAGGUUUAACAGAAGUGACUUUAUUCGUAGUUUUUGACAUUAUGGAAGUAUUUAUUUAUUUUUUAUAUUCAUAUUCCAUCUUUUGAAGAGUGUUCGGAUAAUUUCCGUUAUCAUUUUAAUACCUGUAGAUAUGUUAAUAUCCACAUUUUUUUAUUUUUUUUAUUUAUAUUUUAUUAGAGUUAUAAGCAAGUAUAUCUCUGUGCCAUUAUAUGCGAGGGAUAAACAAAUAGAGAGUAUACGGUUCAGUGUUGUUCAGCAAACACACUAAUGUUAGCAAGAGAUGUAGAGCAUAGACAAGUGACAAGUGAGAGGGGCAAAGGAUAAAUGAAAGGCGUCAAUCAAAAACAAUAGCAUUGGUCCUUAGGUUGGGCGUAGCGGUUGACCACAUAAGUCAGUAUAAUUAGUUUGUAGUCCGGCUAUUAGCAAUCGCUAUGGAGUGUCCGAACUGUCCCUGACGGUAGGUACUUGUUGUUUAGUCGGACUUCUCCGCUGGUGUGCUCUUCCUGAGGUUCUUUUCUCACGUGGAGUAUCUGUCCUGGUUGCACCCUCUAACGCGUUGGUGGCCGAUAGGCCUAAGUUAUGAUAGAGCUUCUCUGGGUCAUCCGAGGAUGUCAGGGUGAAUGUGUCCGCGCCUCGUGUGACGGCCAGGGAACCUUCUGCGUUCCAGCGGUACUUGACUGAGCAGUCACGCAACUUCUUAGCCACCGGUGCCAGCUGCCUCCUUUCUGCUAGAACAAGGAAUGGGAGGUCACUGUAGAUGGAUAGGUUAUGGCCCUCGAAAUGUACUCGACCCAUUGUUCUGGAUUUAUUCAGGAUGGCGGAUCGCACCGCAAUAUCUUUGGUAGUUGCAAUAAUGUCUCUUGGUGCGUCCGCUGGUGCCGCUGCAGCUUUGCGCACCCGAAAGGCAGCUAAGAUGCAUGGGGUGUCUGUCGCCUUUUGAAUUCCCAUUGAGAUAAUCAGCUUUUGGACAUAUGACAGUAUGUCUCCCCCUUCUACCUGUUCAGGUAUGCCUCUCAGGCGCACAUUUCGUCUUCGGUGCCGGGACUCCAGUGUGGUCACUAUUUUGUGCAGUUGUUUGACCUGUGAGGCGAGACACUCCACCCGUUGUGUAGUCAAUUUGAGUUGAGUAUCCCGAGCUUGUUCUCUGACCUCAGCCUCUGAUACUGUAUGUUGCAAGGCCUUUAUGUCAGCUUGUGUUUCUCGGAGGUCUGACUUCCACACUUCCCUUAGGUCCACUAGUAACUUUUUAAUGUCGCCUUUUGUGGAUGGGGAGGAAUCUUCAUCUGAGUCAGCUUGCAGGUAUACCCCAGCUGGGUAGGGAGGGUUACUGGAUUCCAGCUCUCCAGGGGAGUCGUCUGAGGCCCCUUGCUCACUGUAACGGUCAGGUGCCAGUGCCACCCUUGCGGGUUCUGGGGGUGCUCUCUCAAAGGAUAGCCUUAUGUCCUGAAGUGCUUGCCUUUCCAUCUGCAUUAGCCUCUUGUGUUUGCGCCCCAUAGUUGCUGUAAGUUGUUAGGGGUGCUAGCAAUUACCCCUGCCGGUGUGGGGGGGGGAUGCAGUGGUCUCUGGUGGGGUCAACACUGGCCUUUAAGCCUUCAGGUACCUGAUCGGCGGGGCUGGCCACCUCCCGUCUGCGCACACGUGGUAGGCCGCGGUUUGAGUUGCCGCCGAUUUCGGAGCCGACACUUUCGUCGCGGUGUACUCGUUCACCGGGUGUCUCUCCAGCCUCUGGUGAGUAGCCUGGCUGUGGAUGGGCUCGGUACAAGUGGUAUUUACCCCUGUUUGGGCACUUUUUUGCCGGAGCUCAGGCGAGUUGCAACCUCCCGGCUCGGCAGUUAGGCUCCGCCCCCUACAGAAUCAUAUUUAUUGGUCACACUUACAGGAGAAAAGAUAUGACAGGCAUAUCUCCAAAUCACAUGGAACUCCAAGGCUGAUAUAGAAAAAGUCCAAUAGAAGAUCCAAUGGAGCAGGCAGGAUACAAUAGAAAUAAAAUUAAAAUAAAAUAAAUAUAAAAAUUACAUACAGGAUAUAAAAACAAAUAGCAGCAUGUAUAGGUUCAGAAGUAUCCAACGCGUUUCGUCCGACAAAAAAGGGGACUUCCUCAGGGAUAUAUCUGUGAUGGCACUUCCGGGUAUAUAUAGCGAUGCAUACAAUCAAUAUACAAUUGAUUGUAUGCAUCGCUAUAUAUAUACCCGGAAGUAUAUACAAUUGAUAUUUAUUUUAUUUUAAUUUUAUUUCUAUUGUAUCCUGCCUGCUCCAUUGGAUCUUCUAUUGGACUUUUUCUAUAUCAGCCUUGGAGUUCCAUGUGAUUUGGAGAUAUGCCUGUCAUAUCUUUUCUCCUGUAAGUGUGACCAAUAAAUAUGAUUCUGUAAUAUAAUUACAUGCUUCACUAUAUUUGUUUUUUGUUCUUCUUCUAUAUAUCCCACGGAGGAGGACUAUCUACUAAGAUUACUACCCUUUUGGAGGGUGAGAAGCCUGAAUUCAAUUUUGUUUGUGAGUGCAUUCAUUUUCACUAAUAUACUCACUUUUCCAGUACUAUAUUACGCUAUGUUAGCUUUUUAAUUUUCCAUACAGAUUCUGUCUGCGAAUUACUACCUAUAUCUCAGGUUAUUUACAUUUAUGGUUAUAUCAUCACGUAUUUGGGAGGUGUUUCCACUUUGUUUUUUCUAUUAUAUGUAAUUUUAGGUGUUAGUGAGGUACACCUGGUAUCUCUCCCUUAUAUAUGAUUUCUAUAUCAUUAUAGUGUGUAUACUUUAUUGUUCUUGUUUGUGAUUCACUAUUCAUAUUGUCUUUGUUUCCGUUUACCUUCAGUGUGAUCUUUAUAACCCAACACACUAAGAUUUGAGGGAAUGGGGCACACCGCUAUGGCAAAGGGUACAAAAAGGCAAAACACACUAGCACACCCCCCUCUCCUCUCCCCCGUAGAAUGCUUAGAGAAGCACUUGCUGUUAAAUGCUCAGGGAAACAGGAAUGGAUUUGCAAUGGUAAAACUGUCUUUAUGUCUGUAACCAUUGUGUGUUAGAGGUCUACAGAGGAGAUACCGAAAAUACAUUUAUAAUACCCCUAUCUAGUUAAUCAAACUAGAUGUGUGAUUUUUUUUUUGAUUUCUGGAUACAGCAUGUACCAUAAAACCUCCCACUUCACAGCUUUCUAUUUUCUACACUAAAGGCAGAUAUUGGCAUACUACAUAUAAAAAAAAAAAAAAUAAUAAUUAAAUUAAAAAUGCUUUAAACAAAAACACUUUUGAUCAGCAUGAAAACUGCAAUUUAUGCCUCUCUAUGAAUAUAAAUGCUCUUUUGCUACACACUUCAUCUUAUUUUGGUGAUAGAUUCAAUUAAAAUUCAUUUAAUUUCCUGUAAAUGGAUUGACAUAUAUAGAGAUUUAUUUUGAUGUUGAUGUUUCUGUACGGGGUCAUUCUUGUUUCUAAACUGGGCCUAUAAUAGAUGGAUGCACUCUGAGUCUUUAAAGUGCAAUAUUACUUACCUUACCAGAUUUUGCAUGAAAAAUAUUGCCAGCUAUAAUCUUCAUAAUUAAGACAAAGAAUUGGGUUCAUUUAAAACAGCAACUGUACCGAAACUAAUCAGAAAUGCAUGCACAGUUGCAUAAUUGCUCGGAUUGAGUUCAUUUCAAGUUCUUGUUGCACUUCAGCACAUGGCCAAUAAUUUUUUGCGGAAGCACUGAAAAAUUGUCGAUGAGUGUUUCCCAUACAUACACACCUUUAAUGUUAGUUCCACAGGUUUGCAUGGGAGGUUACUGACAAUGACUUGCUUGUGUCUUGUUGCUACUGAGGUAUUUAGAGUCAUGGAAGAGAAACAUCCUAGGCGCUUUUUUCUAUUUCACUAUUUUUAACUAUUCAGUAUCCUUCAGCAGAAGUGAGUAAGAAUGGCUGUGGCCCAUAGAUAAUGAGGGCAAUCUAGAGCAGGCGCUUGAUAUAACUUGAUAAUCUGCACUGCUUAUCACAUAAUUGACAUUGAACUGGCUCCAAGUCACUGUUCGAUUUCACUGUUUAUGUAUGAGUAAGUUCUUUUCCCAUAAGGCUACGAGAACUGUUCAUCCUGGUGUAUGUGCUGUCAGUGACAUUUGAAUAUAGGAAGCAGCCAUUCUGUAUUAUUAUACAAUAAUAAACCUACCGUAUUUGUUUACCAAAAGUCUCUGCAGUCUAUUACAGAUGCAUAGAUAAAAAUCUUUUGUUUUCAAGGUGUCUCCUUCAUUAAUCCAAUUUAGCAGUGGGUAGAGAAAGCUUAAAGGGACACAUCAGUCAAAGGAACCACCAACUACAGCUUAAUUUCUGCUUAAUCUAUUGUAUGGACCUGCAGACUGAGCUAGGAAAUUGCUGCGUUUUCAGAGAAAAGGAGUGUUUUACAUUGCUGCCUAGUAACCGCUCUAGUGUUCUAUCUGAAAUAACAUUUUUUUAACUUGUUUCAAUAAAACGUCAAAGUAAAGUGGCAGCUUUCUUUUUAAGAGUACAAAGUGAGUUGCUUAUUUAUAGGCUGGCCAACCUAUCUCAAAGUGUUUUCCUCUUUAGUAUAGCACUUGGAUGAUGAAUAGUGCCAGUAAGUUGUCAGGCAGUAAACAAUCUAUAUGUGCGUAAUUUCAGCUUGAAAUGCUGCACAUACAGAGAUAUCUGCACCGGUGGCACGUGUGUCUUAGGUAGCUUGGCACUCUGUUCCGGGCUGCCUAAUGUUAAUUCCAUGCAAAAAUUGUCUGUCUGUCUGCACACACUGCGCUCUGGUAACACCCGUAAGCAGUUUAUGUCUGCCAGGGGAAUCAUGUAUGUCCACGUCACUCUAAAUUAGUUAAUUUUUUUUUGUUUUUGUAAGUCCACCCCACACUCCUUCCCUUCCCUGCUCAGAGUGCAUACAUGCUUUGAGAUCAUUUGAUUGGACCUCGGAGAGGGAAGAAGUGAUGCAGUGCGUGACGACAGACUGGGCAUGGAAAUGCUCAAGGAAAAACCUUGCAUGGUGCUGGAUUCUCGAUAAUUUUAUUCUUACUCUCCAGGUUUUGGCACUAAUGUAGGAUGUUUGGUCAAAUACACUAGUGUCCAAUAGAGCAUUAUAAAUGUUGUGAAUCUGACCCGAUCGGCAUGGCACUCAUCCUUGUCUCCGAGCUACGCAUGUUAACAGGGUGGGUCACUUGCACGGCCUGCUCCUGACAGCCUAAUGGACACUACCUUCUUGCAGCCCCUUAAGUCAGUCCUUUGAGGACCACUCAGGCAACUAUAUUCUCUUUUUGGGCGUGACCCAUCAGUGUACAAAUGAGUAUAUUUAAAGGCACAUUGCACCUCUUUCAUUAUCCUAAUGUGGUUUCUGUUUCCGAUUAAUGCCUUCUUUGCCGAGUUCCUAAUAUUUCUGGUUUGGCAUUGGCUUGUCUUUUGGAUCCUGGGUAUCUCUGUAUCCCUGACCUAGCUUGUUGUAUGUUUUCCUGCUGUUAUGUGUUUUUUUUUUUUUUUUAAAUCCAGCUGGUACAUCUGAUUAUCCGCUCUAAGGUCCAGUGACGCAUCUAUUCUGUUUCUCUUAUUGGUUUUUCUAAGUUCUGCAUAUUAUGGUGUAUUCACUUUGACAAUAAAUCUAAUAAAAUAAUUAGCAAAGAAAGAUUUGGACUAACCAUUGAAGUUGCACAGUUGAGAGAAACUGUGUGCAGGCAUUCUACUCACUCUUCAGAAGGAGGUUUCACAAAUCUGGAGCCUCAUGUUCAAGUCUAAAGGGUCUGAUCUCCAUGAGAAGCCUUUAUUAGGCUUUUUCCCUUCGAAUAAUAGACUGUCAAUUUCCUCCUGGGGAAAAGGGGAGGGCUUCCAAAGUCUGCAUAAGACCUGCAGCUUUUGAAAGUUGUUUUAAGAUGUACCCCAAUGAAAAGUGCAGGCACGUAUUAUUGGGGUAUAUCUGCCGAAUAGUGAAUUUUAAAUUUUUGCCCAUUUGGGAUGUGGAGUGUUACUUUUAAUGGAUAUUGCGAUGACCUACAUUUUAAAUUGGAUUUGUUAGGGAAAAACCACAAAUGUGCAAGUCUUCGUUGUGAAAGUGAAGCAAUAUUCAAUGGAAGACGACAGGAAGAAACUGCAUACAUUUAUCUGGAGAUGUAGAACGGUUCUGGUGUACCUAAUGUACCACACAGGAGAGAGGGAGACAGACUAGCACUAAGCUGCUCGAAAACUAGUAAUGAUAGGGAUUCACUAAAAUCCUAUAUAGAACAAGGGGAAAAAAACUCUCUAGAAGAGUAGGAAUACCAAGAGCUGGCCAGGUGACUAAUGGCUAAAAUACUACUACAUAGAGAAUAAAAAUAUAUAUAUGGUACUAUGCCUUUAAAUCUGGAAUGGACAAAGUAUCCCUAUAAAUGUGCAAAAAUGUGAAUAAAGGUGCUAUGAGUGGAGAUCUCAAAUAAACGGGAUAUCCCUUUAAAUAUGCAAAAAUACAAAGAGAAUGCUGCUAUACCUUUAAAUGUCCUUUAAGAAUGUGCAAACAUGCAAAGCAGUGCUAUAUAAGGGGAGUGAUAAUACAAAAAGGGAAAGAUGAGAGACCAAAUUCUCUGCUGGAUGACCAUUUAUCUGGAGAUGAUGGUAAUGCACAUGAAAUACUUUGGAGAAAAAGAACAAGAUUAUUCGGCUUCAGUCCAUUUUAUAAGUGUUCUGCAGUGGAGGAAGUGAAACUUAAACGCCAGCCACAAUAUAUUAUUGAUUGUAAGUAACACCCUUCCUGUACAGAUUAACUGUGCCGCAGAAUUAAAAGGAAAUUUAUUUAUUUUUGUAGUAAAUUAAAAUGACAAAUACAGCAUAAGUCUCCAGGGAGCACUUAUACCAUAGGCAAAUCAAAAAUAACAAUUGAGCAUUAAAGGAACCACUACAGCCUGCUGGUGUGGCACCAUAGUAUUUAUUUAGGUGCUGCCAGGCACUAUAAAUAUUGGAUUUGUUAGUGUGUGUAUGUAUGUGUUUGUUUGGUGUAACUUGUGACUUCUUGGUUUAACAUUCUGUACUCUGAGUGAUAUAUAUAAUAUGAAAUUCAUCAAUAGCAAAUGUGACAAAAAGCAAAUGCAGAUUUGAACAUGGAAAACUGCACAUCAGUAAACGUUAUAGCCUAGAAUUUAUUGUAGAAAAGAAAUGCAGACUAUAGCCUCAAUUGAACAAGCUUUCUAAAAUAUUCAAUACUGUUAGAAAAAAAAUCCAAAUUACUUAUCUACAAAAAUUACCAUAGACUUUGACUUCAGUCAGCAUGAAAGUCUGUGGUAAUCUUUUGAAAUAUCUUAAAUAUAUAUAAUAUAUACACAUCUAGAUAUCUCAAAAUAUUAAAGCAUUUUUUUAAUAUUAAAUUUGAAACUCUUAUCCAAAAUUAUUACAUUAAGGCCUAUGUUUCCCAAAAAAUAGUUUUUGGCCAUUUUUGUAUGCUAAGGACCAGGGCUGUUUUAACACUUCUGUGGUGUUUGUGUUUAGCUGUAAUUUUCAUCUCUCAUUUACUGUUCCCAAAAAAAAUUAUAUCUUGUUUUUUUUCAGGACAAGAAGGGCAUUCUUUACAUACUGGAAAAAAACUGCUAAUUAGAUUAACAUUUUUGUCUUGAGUUUAAAAACACCCAGUGUUUACAUGCUGUUUUUUUGUUUUUUUUUGUGUGCAAGUUAUAGAGCUAUAAGUACAAGUAGGACAUUGCUAUUUCAAAAUAAAUAUAUAUAUAUAUAUAUAUAUAUUUUUUUUUUUUUAACUUUAUAAAUAGUGACAUUGUAACACUGUUAUCUGUCAUAAAUCUCUGAAUCACACCUCACAUGUACAUAUUUUGUCCAGUCUUAUGUCCAGUCUUUUUUAGUAGCCAUUUAGUCACAAACACUGGCCAAAGUUAGCAUUUAUAUUGGUGUGCUAUAUUUGUAAAAUGCAAAACACAAUUAUGAACGCUAACUUUAGCCAGUGUUUGUGACUAAGUGGCUACUAAAAAAGACUGAACAUAUACCCCAUUUGCAAUACCUUGGGUUGUCUUCUUUUGCAAAUGGUAUGCCAUCAUGGGGGUAAUUCUCAUUCCUGCGCUACCAUACACAUAGGCGUGCGCACGGGAUGUGCUUGGGCACACCAUAAUUCACGCGGCCCACGCAUGGAUCGAGGCCGGCAGGGGAGAUCACAGGAUCUCCCCGGUCGGUCCAUGCAGAGCUGGCGCUAUCUGAGCACCGGCCCUGCUGUGUGCCUCCAUGGGCCGGUGGGGAGAUCUCCCCCACUGGCCCAGGAGAGGACCCGGGGAGUUCUAGCCAGCAGCUGCGCCGGGCUCCUCUCGCAAGGAGUUCUAGAGUUCACUCUCACCACUAAGACCACCAGGGAUCAGGGAUGGCAACAAGGAUCCUGCCUCCCAGGCAAAAGGUUAGAAGGGAGGGGGGAUCCUUCUUACCUUUCUUAAUCUGUCCCCCCCACCCCCACACACAAUCACUCCAAACAAAUUCACACACACACAGCACACUAACAGCACCCUCACACAUACAGCAGUAUAUAUGUGUGUGUGUGUGUGUAUAUGUACACACACAUACAUACGGCGUGUGUGUUUGUGCUUUAGGGCGCACACCCUAAUGCAAUAGGCUGUGCACGCUUAUGACCAUAUGCUCUCAACAGCAACAUAGCUAACCUGGCAAAUUUCAAUGUAAAAAAAAAAGGAAAAUCAAGCUUUAUAUUUGUAACUUUCAAAAACACUAUAAAACCUGUACAUGGAGGGUACUGUUAUACUCGGGACACUUCGCUGAACACAAAUAUUAGUGUUUUAAAACAGUAAAACGUAGAACAACAAUGAUAUCAUCAGUGAAAGUGCUGUUUGUGUGUGAAAAAUGCAAAAUAGUCACUUUCACUGACAGUAUCAUCGCUGUGAUAUGUUUUACUGUUUUGAAACACUAAUUUGUGUGCAGCGAAGGCUCCCGAGUAAAACAGUACCCCCCAUGUACAGGUUUUAGAGUGUCAUGUAAAGUUACAGGGUUAAAUACAGUGCUAGCAAAUUAAAAUCUGUGGACCUUUUAUGAAAUUACUUACAUAAUUUUGUAUAUGGAUAUAUAAAAAUAUAUUUUUAUAUAUACCUAGAUAUAUAAUUUCAUUCUAAGUGUAUUUUGAUACAUAUAUUAUCAAAUUACAGUCAGAAUAAAAUUAUUUAUAUAUAUAUAUAUAUAUAUAUAUAUAUAUAUAUAUAUAAAAAAAUCUUUAUUUUUACUUAUUAUUAUGUAUGUGUGUAUUUUUAUAUUAAUGCAUUUAUAAAUAUAAAAAUACACUUAAUUUCACAUCAUAUUUAUAUUUAUAUAUAUAUAUAUAUAUAUAUAUAUAUAUAUAUUAUAAUUUUUUUUUAUUAUUUUUUUUUUUUACUAUGACUGCUUUUAUUCUAAAAUUUUUCACCAGCAGGGAGACUGCUUGUCAGUUCAUGCAGUCCCUCUGCAGGCAGGUUCAUGGACACCUAUUGCGGCCAUGUGACCGCUCUGUUAGUGAUCACAUGGCCGCGGGGGCCUAAUUCGCUGAAGGGGGACUCCCUGGGCGGUCAGGCAGUCCCCUCAGACCGGGAGCGACGGCGAUCGGGUGACUAAAUAUUUCUGUUAUGACGGUUCAGGACUCAAGGGUAUCUUUCCUCAAGGGUAUCUUUCCAUCGUAAAGGGGUUAAAGGAACACUGCAGAUUCUUAAAUCUGAAAAGAUUUAUGUUUGAAAAGUGUCUUUUUUUUUUUUAUUUAUUUUUUUUAUUUAGCAAAUAGUGCAGAUUUUUUUAAAUUUGACAAUUUUUAUUUUGUUGGAAAACAGAGGUUCAGAGGGGUACAGAAAGGAAAAAGGGGGGGGGGAUAUCAGGGGGGUGCAUACAGUUUCCGUUAGAUUUGACAUUACAGUUGAACAUACCACUUAUCAGCGUUUGUACAUUACCCGUCAUUUCUACUUACUUACAGUGUGUAAUACUGAUUGUGUUUCCAUUUGAUUACAUAUCGUUUAUUCAGUGAGUAGUGCGGGUUGUUGUACACGGCCCUGCACGUCUGCUGUGUAUGGAGGGUUGUUACUUGUUACCCCUGUGUGUGGGUCCUCCUGUGGUGGCUUGCUGAUUGGGCUAAUCUCCUCAAUGGAGACACAUGUGGUAUGCCCGUCUGUGUAGAAAAGGGCCACCUUUGCGGGAGGGCUGUGAGUUGUUAGGCCACUCUCCCAUGGCGGGCUAAUUCGGUCGCCACUGGCAGGCCUGUCUCUUUGUCUAUGGUGUGUGGUUCCUAAUUAUCAUUCGCCUUUUCAGGCUAUUUGGGGUUGUUCCUCAGGCGUGUACCCCUGAACGAUUCCAGGAUGGGAGAAGGAGGGUUGAGGCUGGGUGAAAUGGGGCGGGGAAUAACUGGGGUAACUAAUGUCAUGUGUGGCUGCUGUGAACCGCCGAGGUUCUAUUAUUACUCAGUUGUAUCAGUGUUGGCAGUGCCCCUAGCUGCAUCUUGGGGGGUUUUCUUCUCUAUGUAAGUGGUCCAAAUCUUUUUCGCUGUAGCGCUCCCUUUGCCUAUUUUUGUUUGGUUCCACAAGAUCACCUCAUAAUCCAGGGUGGUAGUGACCAUUGCUGUCACCUCCGCUGUGGAAGGGAUCUGAGGGGUCUUCCAGUGUUUUGCCAGUAAGAUGGACGCUGAGGUGAGCGUGAGGAACAUCAGUUUAGUUAUGCUAUGGGGUAUAUUGGCGGGCAAAAAUAGUGCAGAUUUUAAUAGCAAUUGACACUUUUAUUAAAAAGGUUACAACCCCCUUGGCUCUCAACACCUGUCACUUCCUGGUCUGAUUAGCUCAGUGGAGCUGAACUCAAGAGGAAGCAUUUGCCCAGAGCACCUGUCUUGUAAAGACUUUUCACUGAACUGCAUUGGGAUGUCUGUGACUGGACAGCCACAUAAAGUCUGGGAGGGGUAAGAAUGGGAGGGUUUGCUAAGGAAGCAUACAAGAGAACUGCAGGUUUUUGUUUUCAUUUGGGAUAUAUCUACUAUACAGUGAUGUUUAUUUUGUAUUUGGGCAGUGGAGUGUCCCUUUAAGAGUCUAAACCCUUAAGGUACCAUAACAACUUAAUUGCCCAGGGUGUCCCUAUAAUGCUUUGAUUUAGUGAUUCCAGCAUUGUAAUAUAAGUUUAGAUCCUGCUUGAGUCUGUCCAGAAUUAACAUGUAUUUCCCCCCUCCUUCAUUGCAUGCUUGUUUAUUUUUAGUUUGAAGUCCUGUUUGCUAGUAUAAUUGUCGCCCAGCCAUAGAGCAAGCAUUGUAACUGGGUCUGUGUGAUGUAUUCCAAAAGGGACAGCUGCAGCAUGAAGUAGAGGCUUAGUACAGUCAUGACAUGCCGGCAACUGUUACUAAUUAGAUUUACCUCAAAUUGGCUGGUGACUCAUGAUGCGAUAAUGUAUUUCAGACUGCUUUUGGUUUGUCCUGUUUCUUACACUUAGCGGUAGACACGAAGGUUACAAAGAUCACUAUUUGAAAUUAAAACUGUAAAUAAUUUUGAACUUUACUCCUUUUAUAACAAUGUCUCAUCAGUAUUUAUUCCCCACAUUGCUCAUUUAAAGAAACAUUGCAUUAGAACCACUUCAGCUCAUUGAAGAGGUUAGAGUGCUUGUAGUUUUCUGGCACCUUCCACUGUUGUAUUGCUACAUAUACCUAACUACAUUGGGAGGUAUGCGAUUGUAGUAGUGUUUGUCUAUAGGAAGGUGUCACUGGUGACACCCAUAAUGGCUUGGUCUGCCUGGGAAAAGGAGGGAGCCCACACCCACUGGAUGGUGGUGAAAAUCUGUCUGGCCGGCCCCUGACUGACCGGACCUUGCGUGGAGCACUACUGAAGCACUGUCUGCAUUGUCAUAAUGCCCGCUGCACAGUGCAAGCACAUCUAAUAAUGUGCUUGCUCUGUCAUGCCCAGGGACUGUUACAUGGUGUCCCUGGGUGCGGCACACUAGGGAAUUAACAGAACCCCAAAAUCUGGACUGUCCUGCCCGAAAGCACAGCUGUUGGGGGACAGAAUGUUAAAAUGUUCCUCCCCCUUCUUCCUCUAAUGUGAACGACUAAGGAAGAGUUGUGCUUCGCCUUACACCAUACCACAUAAUACCAGCAAUAGCUGCCAAUGAUAAGCUGAUACCAUAUUCUAUUAAGACUCUAGUGAGUUAAUGCAUUUCCAAUCACCCACAAAAUUUAGUUGUAACAUGUAAACUAUCUUACCAAUAUUCUGUAUUAAAUAUUAUUCAGAAAAUUCCCUUUUAUUUAGGUAUUUUAUAUUUGUACUAAAUAUUUAUCACCUUACAUGACAAGACCGUUCAGAUGGUGGUUGUCACAAAGGCACCCUACUUCAAGAGUGUGCGUGACGUAGUUGUGGUGGUGAAAGGGUUAAAUUUCACUAUUUGUCUGCACUAGACUGGAAAUAAUGACAAAAUCCCCCUUAACACCACCCUCACUUAAACAUAAUUAUAUAACUAUUAGGGAUGCACUGAAACUUCGACUGCCGAAAUUUUCGACCGAAAAUGGGCCUCUCCUGUUUUGGCCCAAAACUGGUCAAAUUUGCCAAAAUUAAAAAAUACAUCAUAUAUUACAAUGAAAGAUAGUAAUGAUAACUUGAAAAGUCAAGAAUACUGCACUUGGGACAGGGGAGGGGGGAGAAAAGAACACUGUGGGACUGGGGAGGAGUGGGGAGAAAAGAACACUGUGGGGAGGAGGGGGGAGAAAAUUUUUCAUGUUAGAUUAAUUAAAAAGUCUAAUAUUAAAUAGAAAAUGUUUCUUUUUAAAUCAUUUGAUUUGGGGAGUAAUUUUCGGUUUUGCAGUUUCCAAGCCUGUUCCUAGAGGUGGAGAUAAGGCGUAUUUACAGAAAUAAUAUGUAGCCACUCCCUUGUGUUCCAGAAAACAACAAUCCAAUAGAAACUUUUGGUUUUAUCACAUCUUCUGUACUUACCACAGAAAUGAUUCCCUCUAUGAAAUUGUUACCAUUUUCCCAUUCCAGAGAUGUCACAUGCCUUUCUUGUGACCUAAUAUAGAGGAUAUCACAAUCCCUGCUACACGGUUUAGGUUGUGCAACUCAUGUUUAGGCUAAAUUAAAAGAUUGGACUUGUCCCAUUCCAAAUAUAAUAAACAUGAGGCUUAAUUAUUAAGCUGUGGGUAAGUAUUAAUGUUUCUCUUGGAUAUGCUACUGGAACACAAGGGUCUUCAUGAAACUAAUGCCAUUACCAUAUCAAAGGGUUGACCUAUCAAUUGAGAGUUUAAGGCCAUAUGGUCAAAAUCCGUUUACAUUGAAACUAGACAUACAGGCAGCUCAAGUGUAAAAUGUCUCACCUUGCAGGGCCUUUGAUCGAUCACAAGGGUAGUCAUUUUCACACCUUGCAGAAGCCCCUUUUGAUCAAAAGAGCAAUUUCUCUCUGCCAUUUGUCCUGUACCCCAGGGGUUAAAUUAUUGAUGCACUACACAAGUUAUAUUAAAUUGCAAUAUUUCAUAGUGUAAUAAUAAAUUAUGCACCCUUGCCGUGACAGGGGACAUUUAUCAAAGUGUUCUGUAAUAGGAGUCAAUAGAGUGGGCCUGCUGUGUUCACAGUGAUUGCCCCACUUUAAGUAUUUUUAAACUUUUUACCCUCUAUUGUUUAAUUUCUCUUCAACCCUGUAUACGUUCUCUAUGCUUUCUGCCAGGUGCUAAUCUUACAGAGUUUAUAGCAAUCACUAAAAGGGAGAUGAAGUCGAUAAAUGCAUAUUGUUAAAGGGACACUAUAGUCACCUAUUAUUAAAAUACGUCUGACGUGUGCAGGAGAGAGAAGGCACUGUGUGCGCCCCUUCUCUCUCCUGCUUGUCAGCAGAGGAGAGGGGGCGGGCAAAGACCGCGAGCUGAACUGUCAGUCAGCUCAGCUCGCGGCUUCACGAGGCUUCCGGCGCUGGAACGAGGUGAGUAAAAAGGGCGGGCUGCCUGGCGUGUCCCUUUAACUGAUUUAUUUUUCUUAGUCAAUAAUUUUAUGUUAAUUUACUCUUCUUCUAUGAUUAUGUCCGUGAGUCUGUUAUCCUGCAAGUUGCAAGGACUUUUUUUUUUGAUCAGGAUAUUCACGUUUUAUGCUCUGUAAGUGUAACCUUAUACUACUGACCUGAUGAAGGCCUUAAGCAAGAAGUGGAAUGUGAGCUUUUAUCUUUUAAAACAAAUGCAGUCGUUCUGUUUCCUUGAUAUGGCAAAGUCCCAUAUAAAUCUGUAUAUUUUGUAUCUUGGUCAUUUUCCAAAUGGUAUAGACAGGGUUGAUAAUUUCCACUAGCCAUUGGCAAUUGAAAAAAUGUCAAGUAAAAAAUUCACCCUUGCAUAGUGUCAUUAAACCUCCAGGCUUGCAGUGACGAGUGUGUGGUUGUUUUUUUUUUUUGUUUUUUUUUUUAAGGCAUGCUAGUAGCUCAUGCCUCCCAACUGUCCCUAUUUGGGUGAAAGUUCUAACUUUAGGGACUGUCCCCAGAAAGUGUAGUGAAACUGUGAUCCCUGCAUCUUGCACUCUCCGUAGGAUUGACAUGCAUUCACGCCAAGAUGAUCAGUCAAUCCUUCGGGUAAACCUCUUUUGGGACAAUAUUUGUCGUCACUGGCCCUACCCCUUCUAUUCCUGCCGACUGGCUUCCUGCUUGUAGGGACAAGGAUUUUGGAAGGUAUGGUAGCCUACAAUUUGAGUUCUAGUGUUUCUGCCUUUGGAGGUUGGGAAGUCUUUCCAGUUCCAACCAGGAUGAAAGGUGAUAGCACAUACUUUGUUCUAGAUGAAUGAUGAAUAUGACGUAUAGCGAAGGUGUGAUUUUGGAGCGUUGAAGCAGGUGAGCGGAUGGUAGACUCUGACAUUUCAGUUGAGGUCAGUAGGUUUGAUGUUGUGUAGUAUUCACAUUCUGCCAAAGGAAAAAAACAAGGAAAAUUCACUGGUUUCGUGGACACUUUGUGAAGUGACAUAUUGCUGUCACACGAGCAGUAGGGGCUGUAGUGGGUGCAGGACGUGAUAGGAGCUGUAGCAGGUGCAGCAGAGGAUUGGAAGCUGUAGUGGGUGCAGGGAAUAGGGACUGUGGUGAGUGCAGGAUGGAUAGGUGCUGUAGUAGGUGGGGGUAAUAGUGGCUGUGGUAGUAGGUGCUGUACUGGAGGCAGGGGAUUAAUGGGGGAUGUAGGGAAGGCAGGGGGUAAUGGGGGGCUGUAGUGAGUGCCAUUAGCUGUAAUUGGGCAAUAGUAAGAGGAUGAUUUAAUAAAGAACAUUAAAAGCAUUUAUUCCCUCCUUCUCGAGCCUUACCUUGGUCCAGGGAGGAGAGAAUCCCCGGUGGUCCGGUAGAGAACAUACUUGUCAACUCCCCUUCUGCCCGGCACCGGUAAAUGUAUCAGUGUUGCCGUGGUUACGUGCAGCAGCACUCUAAUACAGUAGGAGGCGGAAGACCAAGUUCUUCCUGCUCCCGCAUGGCAUCAGGGCAGUCUGGCCAGUGAGGGAGAUUUUUGAUGAAAAUCGGCAGGAGGCAAUUCCCCCCCCCCUUACCUUCCUUUAACGACACCUAUGGUUUACAGCUUAAGAGUCAUUCCCAGAGUUAAUACCCUACCUGUUAACAAAUAUUUACUAAAGGCAGUUUACACCUGCAACUGUUUAUUUUGUUUUGGCGAGCCCAGCCUUUUCCUAAGAAAGCAGCGUGAGACUGGGUGCUGAGCAGUUUAAUGAUUUCUUGCUGCUUGUCAAUAAACUGAUUAUAUCAUGGUGAUUUAUUUUUAGUAUUAUUAACCUCCUUAAUGACCAGUGACCUUAUAAUUCUGCUAUGGAUGUCCUUCCCUUAAGGACCCAUUAUGGAAUAUUUCAGUCAUGCAGCGACUGUAAGAGGGAGUUAGAGAUCAUAUUGUGGCAACUUGUCAUAUUAUUAUUUAGCAGCAGAGAGGGAAAUAAUCCCUCUCGUGCUGCUAGUGUAUAGUGCAAAAGGCUCAGGGAGUGCUCUGCACUGCAAGAGAUUCUCUCUACUGAUGUCAGCAAGAGGAUGCCUCUAACAGUAUUGCUAGGGUUAGUUGACAUCAGCAGAGGGAAUCCCUCUUAAUUUAUUGUUAGUUAGGAUUAGAUUCAUACUUAGCUAAGGUAUACAUAAGAGGUAUUGUCCUCUGGAGAUGUUGCUGAAUACAAUUUAAGGAAUUCUAUUACAGUGACAGAAUAAUACAGAAAAAAUACAAUGUUUAUGUAAAUAGUAUGAAAUAAAAAUUAAUAGCACAAACUUGGAUUAAAAAUGGUAAACAAAUGGCACCCCAAUAAAGCUCAAAAUAUAUAAUUUAAGACAGGGCUCGACAAAUUGGUGUUUUUUCAUUUCAAUAAAGUGGCCUGGGUGCAGUUGUCCUGUCAAUUUAACUAUUCAAGGUAAAAUAUUGCCAUUUUGCAGAAAUAGCACUGUUUACCAAGGUAAAACAACCACUGGAGGUGUUUCCACUACAAUGACUUUGUAAAACACAGUCACGUGAAGUUGCAGCCCCCAUAGGAAAGCAUUGACUCGCCACGCAUUAGAUAACCAGCAGUGCCACUGUCCGAGGCUUCCUGUUCAAAGUAGUGCCUUAGGGUAAGAUUUAAAAGGUUUUUGAACUAUUUUAUGCAGGGCAUCCGAUGUCUAACAUCUUAGUGCACCCCAAAUGGGUCAGAAUGCAGUGGUAAGAACACAGUAUGUCCGUGGUCUAUAUUCUGGCCUAUGUUCUCCUAGCAGUUUCUGCAGAGAGCCAUUAUUUAUUAUCAGUUUGUGUUAUGUCUGGGAAAAAGAGUAGUAAUUGGUGUUUUAUUUUGUACAUUACAACUUGACUACUAAAAGCUGAUUGAUCGUUAUUGCCACAAAAGUGCCCUUAUGGAUUAGUUAACAUUGCUGCUCAGGAGACUUACCUACUCAUCAGUGUUAUGUUUUAAUUCUUUUUGAUCUUUUUUGACAUUGUAAACUGCCUGAGAUGGGAGAAACCAUAACCUUUGCAAUGAAAAAGUUGUGGAAUUUAUCACCAACAACCUAAAAACAAAAAUGCGUGUUGAACAUUGAAAAGCAAGUAAAUAAUCCUGAAAUUAAAUCUGAAUGUAAUGUUGAAGGGAACCUGUCUUCGAUGGAAGAAACCUCUUCCAUGACCGUGACAUGCAUGCCUCGUUCCCAAAGUGCCGGCGCUGUGGUUGGUAUGCAUGGAAAUCUCCUGCGGGUGGCCGCUUCUGCUCUCUAUUAUCAAUCAGAUAUAAGAAUGUGUGCUAAAGAAUUGAUUGAGAGGUGUGGAAAGAAAAUGACUAUUUAAAAAAAAAAAAAAAAAGUUUUCUUUAAAAAGAGCUAAAGAACAUUAGUCUCCAAAUUACCCCAGAUGGAAUAAAACCAACCUCCUAUGACCAUGUGGGAGUAGCAGAUAUAUGCAUGUAUGUAAUUUGUCAAUACAUUUUUUUUAACAAUUGUAUGUGCACUACAGCGCAAAUUGUUUAAUUUAGACACUCUAAGCAUCAUAAAACCCUUUAGUAACUAAUGCUAUUAGCACCAGAUUAUGGUUCAAGUAAGUUGUUAUUUUAGUUUUUUUUUUUCCUUCAAAUGUUUGAGAUAAUGAAAUUGCAAGAAUAAAGAAAUUUUCUGACCAUUGCAAAAUAUCACACAAGUGAUUCAUGUGGUGUAUUAUUGGAGUGCUGUACUAUAUGACCGAUAAACUCCUGUUUGAUAUAGUCAAGCUCAGAUGAAUGGAAAAUGAGAUACUCCUCAUUGGUAGAAUUACUAUCUUGCUAGGCAGUAGUGAUGUCCGGAACGGUUCGCCGAAUGGUUCGCCGCGGACGGCGACCAUAUGACCCUGUACCUCACAGUCAGCAGACACAUUCCAGCCAAUCAGCAGCAGACCCUCCCACCUCCUGGACAGCUCACUAAGAAUGCAGCUUCACAAUGGAUGCUGUCCAGGAGGUGGGAGGGUCUGCUGCUGAUUGGCUGGAAUGUGUCUGCUGACUGUGAGGUACAGGGUCAUAUGUUCGCUGAACCGUUCAGGACAUCACUACUAGGCAGUGUUCACUGUGCAAGCUGGAAAACCUGUAAAUUUGCAGCAAACACAUACACUUGUAAUAUGAGGUGUUUGAUUGAUGUAUUAUUCUAUCUUCCUAUGCUAGAGUUGCAACAACUACUCUUUCUUUUUCUUUCCAUAGCAAUAAAAGAUUCCAUUAGUGUUGAAAGAACGAGGCUAUAUAAUAAUAAAUGGCCUACUUGGACUAACUGUAUAAAUCUUUGAAAUGAAUAGUAGAAAUGAACUUAGUUGAAUACUUGUUGGUCUUGUUUCUUGUUAUAGGUGGAUGAAGUUAACCAUUAAUUUCACUCUUUCUUAAGUGCAUAAUUCAUUAACUGAGGGGUGUGAUGGGAGACAUAUGCAGGGUGUGUAUUUUUUUUAUUUUUUAUUUAUUUUUUUAAUUGCCCAAGCAAUUAUUGGAGGGGAGGGUUGUUGACAUGUAGCCAUUGCAAUGCCACAAGGUAAUUUGUAGCCGCAAAAAGGAAAAUAAGUUUUAUUCCUGAGAAUUAUCAGCUGGACUGCUUACUGAAACAGGUACUUUCUGUGUUGUUGCAAUCUCGAUUUAUAUCUUUAUAUAUAUUUUUUUUUUUUCACUUUAAACCAAGUGCACCCACUAAUUUCUAUUCAGCCAACCUAAAACGGCUCUGUUGCUUGCAAUGCGGUGACCUGAGAGUGCAGGGGAAGGUACAUUUUACCUGUCUGGUGCUGUCCCUUGCACCUGCAGCCAGUGGGUCCUUUUUAUCUGCAUGGAGCCUCAUUAGUCUAUUGAUGUCUAUGAAGAUCCUGAAAGACAACAAGAACCUUCAAAUACCUACAUUGCCUUUAUUCCCCAAAGCCUUCACUAGUGAUAGCUGUGGGAAAUGACAAAAAUUGACAAAGGGAACUCUGCCUUUUGUCCGGCUUAAGAAAAUUGCAUAAUAGGGAUCGACCGAUACUGUUUUAGAGCCGAUACCGAUAAUCUGUGAACUUUCAGGCUGAUAGCCGAUAACUUACUGACAUUCUGUGCAUUUACCAUUUUGAAAAAAUAAACAAUUUCUAAAAGUAAAUGCACAAAAUCUAGAUGCUACAUGUAGUGGAUGCAGUGUGUUUAGACAGGGGAACUGUAUGUGUUUGUGUAGUGUGUGUGUGUGUAGUGGAUGCUGUGUGUAUUUGUGUAGUGUGUAUAGUGAAUGUAGUGUGACUGUGUGGUGUGUGUGUAGUGAAUGCAGUAUAUUUGUGUAGUGCGUGUAUAGAAUGCAGUGUGUGUGUGUGUGUGUGUGUGUUUCUGUAGGUAUGUAAUUUGUGUAAAAUGGGGAGAGGAGGGGGGGGCAUUUUUUAAUUACAUUUUUAAAAAUAUAUAUUUAAAAAUUUUUUAUUUUUUUUUAGUCCCCCCCUACCUGCUUGUUACCUGGCCAGGGAGAGGAGAUAUGGCAUUCCCUUCAGCUCCCUUCAGCUCCCUUGUCUAACGCUCGCGGUCUGUGUGCCACGCGGAAGGUUGUCAUGGUAACCCGUGGCAAUGCUCUGACGGCCACGGGAAUCUCAAGAUUUACACAGGGGAGCUGAAGGGAGUUGCUGGUAAGGUAAGAGCUUGCUGGGCCCCCCCAGGACCGCUGGGCUUGUAACGGGCCCGGCAGUCCUGGUAUGUAUUAUCGGCAAUAUCGGUAUCUCUAUUGGCCGAUACCGAUAUUGCCGAAAAUACCGAAUAUCGGCCGGAACCAUAAUCGGUCGAUCCCUAUCAAAUAAGAAAUAAGUAUGUCCUCCUUUCUUAUGUAUGUUAGGAAAAAUAGUACAGAAAUGAAUUAUGGAAUGAUAGGAAAAAAAAAAAAUUAUGAAUCAAUUAAGAUAAAUAUCCCAUGACACAGCUGCUUUAAAAAAAUAAUAAAUAAAACCAAAAAGUUUCCAUUUUAAAAUUAACCCUGUAGAAAAGUUAUCAAUGACUCCUUAAAACACCACAGCAAGAAAAAAUGAUAUAUUUUGUAAGUUUUUUUUUUAUAUCAUCUUUACACCCUGUUCCAAAUUAUUAUGCAAAUUCUAUUUAAGUGUCACAAAGAUUAAAUAUUUUGUUUUUCAGUUUAACUCAUGGAUGGCAUUGUGUCUCAGGGCUCUUUUGAUCACUGAAAACAAUCUCGGACACCUGUGAUAAUUAGAUUGCCAGGUGAGCCCAAUUUAAGGAAAAACUACUAAAGGAGGGUGUUCCACAUUAAGCAGAGCACCAUUUUCAUGCAAUAUGGGGAAGAAAAAGGAUCUCUCUGCUGCCAAAAAGAGUAAAAAAGUUCAAUGCCUUGGACGAGGUAUGAAAACUUAAGCGUGAUCAUCACACUAUUAAGAGAUUUGUGACUGAUUCAGAGCACAGACGGGUUUGUGCAGAUAAAGGCACAUUGAGGAAGAUUUCUGCCAGAUCCAUGCAUCGGCUCAAGAGAGCAGCUGCUAAAAUACCAUUACAUAGCAGCAAACAGAUAUUUGAAGCUGUUGGUGCCUCUGGAGUCCCAUGGACAUCAAGGUGUAGAGUCCUCCUGAGCAGUGGCGGAUUCAGAACCAAAUCUCGGGGGGGUGGGGGGGCGGCGGCGGCACUGGUGGUGGGCUAGAGCAGGGUGAAAAGGGCUGCAGCGGAGGAAUAGGGGACUCUUGUUUAGGGGAUAGGAGGCUGUACACAUGCGGCCACACACAGUGAUAUGGAAACACAAUAACACACUGGCACAUACACACAUAUACGAACAUAUACCUUCACAAACAUACACUGGCACACCCACAGAUACAAACCUAUACCUACACUGGCACACACAGAUACCUACAUACACAGAUACACAUACCUACACAUAUACACACACUGGCACACAAAUACACACAUAUAUAUACCUGCACAUACACACACUGGCACAUAUAUACACACAUACCUACACAUGCACACUGGUGCACACACACAUCCUUACAUAUACACAAAAUGACACACAUACCUUCACAUACACACACAGAUGCAAGGCAAUAGAAUAUACAGGCAAAACUCCAGGUACUGAAGAUGUACCAUAUUUUUCGCUCCAUAAGACGCACUUUUUUCCCCCUCAAAAGUGAGGGGAAAUGUCUGUGCGUCUUAUGGAGCGAAUGUGAAGCUUGACUUACCUGUCUUGUAGCGUGGUGGAACCACCUGGCUCGGCUGGAUCGCGAAGUGCGACUCAGUGCACAUCUCCUUCAGUCCGCUUCAGAAACCGAACCCGAAUUGAUCGCCCUGCACCUGAGCCGUUUCGUGAAGUCGGCCCACCUACAAGACAGGUAAGCACCACCAUGGGACAAGGAGAGGGACACACCAUGGAACAAGGAAGGGGACCACACCUUCAUGGAACAAGGGAAGGAGGACACCCAUGGAACAAGGAAGGUAACAACACCAUGGAACAAGGGAAGGGACACACCAUGGAACAAGGAAGGGACAACACCAUGGAACAAGCGGGGAAGUUGGGACACACCAUGGAACAAGGGGAAGGGACACACCAUGGAACAAGGAGGGGGAAUGACACCAUGGAACAAGCGGAGGGGGACACACCAUGGAACAAGGGGAGGGGGACACACCAUGGAACAAGGGAGGGGGGACACACCAUGGGAAACAAGGGGAGGGGUGGGGACACAACCCUCAUGGAACAAGGAGGACCACACCCAUGGAACUGAAGGGAGGGGACACACCGGAACAAGGGGAGGGGGGGACACACCCAUGGAAACGGGCGUGAGGGGGGACACACCAUGGAACAAGGGAGGAAUACCACCCAUGGAACAAGGUGGAGGGGGACUACCACCAUGGAAACGGGAGGGGUGACCACACCAUGGAACAAGGGAGGGUGAAUAAUUUGCGUGAGUGGAAAGUGCACUAUGGGACAAGGGGGGGACACUAUGGGAUGAGAACACUAUUGGACAAGGGGAGGAGGGGUUAAAAAUCACUAUGGGACAGAGGAAAGGGGGGUUAAAAUAACUAUGGGACAGGGGAGGGGGGUUAAAGAUCAUUAUGGGACAGGAGAGGGGAGUGGGUGGUAAGGAACAAAAAAUUCCUUAAAAAAAAAAAAUAUUCUGAACAAACUGUCCCAUAGUAAGAAACACUAUGGAACAGUUCAGAAUAUUUUUUUUUCUGGGUUUCCUCCUCUAAAAACUAGGUGCGUCUUAUGGUGAGGUGCGUCUUAUGGAGCGAAAAAUACGGUAUUUAUUGGAGUAUAGAACACCUGAAAAGUGGGCCUUAAUCAUGUUUAAGUCCGUCUAGGGCUGAAAAGUUGCACUUUUAUGUGGUGUUCUACCCUUCAAUAAAUACACCUUCAGUACCCGGAGUGUUGCCUGUAUAUUCUAUUACCUUGUAUUGAUGGACUGAUUAGCAGUGUCUGUCUAAUGCAGAACACCUCUGAGGCUGUGGGCCAGAGUGAAAAGCGGAACCUGAGUGCAGUGGUACACACUAACACACAAACAUACUCACAGAUGCACACACUGACACUCACAGAUACACACUGGCGCACACACACAAUUUGCAGCUUCCAUAAUGUUAACCACCCACCCUGCUUCAAUACCUUUUGGUUGCAGGGAGGUGACUUUCUGGGGCUGGCUGAUCCUGGUGGGAGUCUGAAGCUGCAGAGCUCUCUCUUUCUCCUCCCUCCUCCUUCUCUCCCAGCUGCCUGCAUCCUGUGUCUUCUCUCUCCGCUGCCUGCAUCUUCUCAGCCCACGCGGUCUGUAUGCUGGGAGGAAGUAAUAGUCACUUCCUCCCAGCACUCCCUGCAACUUUAAAGGGGCCCAGUCUACCAAAGGGCUGCAGCACACGACCGCAUCCUUAAUGAGGUAGCUCCACAGAUGGCAGCUGCACUAUUUUCUCAUGGGGGGUGGGGGGAAAUUGCCCUUUUGCGCCCCCCCGGAUCCGCCACUGCUCCAGAGUCUUGCAACUGUGCAUAAACUUUCUAUUCGGCCACCACUAACCAAUGCUCACAAGCAGAAAUGGCUGCAUUGGGCAGAAAAACACAUGAAGACUAAUUUUCAAACAGUCCUGUUCACUGAUGAGUGGUGUCCAACCCUGGAUGGUCCAGAUGGAUGGUGUAGUGGAUGGUUGGUGGACAGCCACCCUGUUCCAAAAAGGCUGCGACGUCAGCAAGGCGGUAGUGGAGUCAUGUUUUGGGCCAGAAUCAUGGGAAGAGAGCUGGUCGGCCCCUUUAUGGUCCCCGAAGGUGUAAAGAUGGCCUCUGCAAAGUUUGUGGAGUUUCUGACUGACCACUUUCUUCCCUGAUACAGAAGGAAGAACUAUGCUCUCCAUAAUAAAAUCAUCUUCAUGCAUGACAAUGCAUCAUCUCAUGCUGCAAAGAAUACCUCUGCAUCAAUGGCUGCUAUGGGGAUAAAAGGAGAGAAAGUCAUGGUGUGGCCUCCAUACUCCCCUGACCUCAAUCCUAUUAAGAACCUUUGGAUCAUCCUCAAGCAAAAGAUCUAUGAGGGUGGGAGGCAGUUUAGACCCAAACAGCAGCUCUGGGAGGCUAUUCUGACAUCUUGCAAACAAAUUCAAGCAGAAACUGUCCAAAAACUCACAAGUUCAAUGGAUGUAAGACUUGUGAAGCUGCUAUCAAAUAAGGAGUCCUAUGUUAAAAUGUAACGUGACCUGUUAAAAUUUUAAAAAGUUAAAAUGUUGUUAUAAGUUUGAUUGAAAUAGCUUUUGAUUUCAGUAAAUAUGCUGCAAACACAACAAAUGACAAUUUUCAGUUCUUUACAACCUAUAAAGUGUUUUAAAACUUACUGUGCGUAAUAAUUUGGAACAGUGCAUUGUAAGCUUAUGCUUAAAAAAAUAAAUAAAAAUACUGUUAUCAUUAGGAGGUUUGUUCAAUAAAAUUUGAAUUGUACUCUUAAUAGUUGACAACAUGAGAAUUCUGCUGACUGUUAUUUACAUCAAUUAUUUAGGUAAAUGAGAAAAAUAUAAUUUGCAUAAUAAUUUGUAACGGGGUGUAUUAGUCUGAUGCAACUAAAGUACAAAAUAAGAACUUGACAUUGUGUGUGUGUGUGUGUGUGUGUUUUUUUUUUUUGUCAAUCUUUGUUUUUGUUGAGGUGUAUGAUGGCUCAGUACAGAAAGUAAAACAAGGGGUUAAUGCAUGAAAAAUAUACGUAAUGCAUAACUGGUUUAUACAAUGGUUGCAUGUACUCCCAAGAAUAACGGCCUCUCUUUUUAUGAAAAUUUUAACAGUAGUAUUAUACAGGCUAAACAAGCUAAGCAGGCUAGACAAUAAAGGUUUACUUAACUAAGUCUGAUACACAGCUGAAUGUGACGUCGCGGGUAUAUCUAGGCGUGGAAGUAUCAGCAGCAAGCUAACAGGCUAAUUUACCAACUCUAAUCUUGACCCUCAGCUUAUGUGAAGCAAUGUACGUGCAACUAGUUUAGCUUUCGAAAAGGAUUAACCCAUUGCAGCAAUCGACAUGAGGAGGCUUGUGGGUUAUGAGCCUAUCUGAUAACACAAAUAUAUUUAGCUGAAAGAUAAGCUUGAGAGGGACAUGAGAAAAAGCUUCCGAAAAUAAAAUAUCGCCUUUUAAAAUGGGCUAAAGAGUAUAUGUAAAUGCUUGUUCCUAUAAAAGGAGUGAGUUCAGUCACAUAGACAGAAGAUAUUAUAGACAUGGUGAUUACAUAGACAAAUUAUAUCAUGAUUGCUACUUAGUCAUGCACUACACUUUUCUUCAUAUGGUAAGCUAACAUGCAUGUAACUGAUAUGCCUCUGACAGUACUAGUUAAAGCUAAACAAUUAUGCAGUAAAUGUUGAGUAGAGGAGGCUUUGCUAAUCUAAAGUGGGAUCAUCGUUUACUUGGAGCAGUCCAGGGCAUGGAGUGCUGUGAGCGUUCAUGCAUUUAUUCAGCCCACCCCACAUGGAGGAAUUGUGCUGUAGUCUGCGGGGACCAGUCCACUUGGUUGGGGACUGCCUCUUUGGCCCGUCUCUUUGGCCCGUCUCUCUAUUGGUGGUUGGGCCUGUUCCUCUAGGGUGUAUGCUUUGACCCGCCAGGUGCUUGUCCCUCUGUGCUGUGGUUCACCCAGUGCACCUCCCAGUUCCAUGUCGCUUCAGUGUCCUGUGUCUUCGGCCCAAGGCUUUAACGGGGGCCCUUGCCACAAGUCCAUUGACCCCAUCCUCAGGGUUGUGGGCCCAAGGUUUUGCCGGAUUCCGUAUGUUCCCCUGGGUGUAUGGGUGGCGGUGAGGAGUUACCCUCUGGUGGGCUCCCUGCCCGGAAGAAGAGUGGGGAUAGCUGCUUGGUGCAUGCGGGGUCCCCAGCACUCUGUGGCCAUGCUUCGGUGCUUGGUUCCCUCCCCUGGUUUUGCCUGCAGGCAGAGGGUCUCUCCUCCUGCAGAGCCAUCUUGGGGCCCUAUGUUGCUUAUGAGUAAGGCUCUGGCGGCUGUGUUGCAUAGGUUUCUUGUUGCUCCAGCAUGUGCUCGGUUUAUUCAGCCGUGCCCAGUGCUCCAUCUGUGCCCAGAAGGCUUCGAAGAUGGCGGUAAGUUUGGCUUCGUAGUCUGGCAUGUCUGUGUGGCGUUCAGGUGUUUCACCUGCUGCGCUUGCUGUCGCCAUUUUAGUUGCGUCUCCUGUUCGCCUGUCCUGGUGCUGUGUUUCUGCGGGUUGUAGGCUCAGCUUAUAGCCGCCUCUCCAGUUGCUUGUUGUGGACCGAGAUGACCCCCAUCGGUCCAGAGGGGGGGGUAGGAGGUGAUGCCCUCGAGGUAUCCCCCGACCAGGUCAGUCAGCGCAGGAAGCGGCCCUCUCCCCGGCGCUCGAUCUCCGGUAGGCAUCAGGGCUCUUUGUUGGGUUCCCGGUGGGGUAUCAGCUUGAGUUUGGUGUCGGGCUAUUCUCCCUGGUAUCCCGGACAUGAUUUCUCGUCUCCGGUGCGCGACUGUGCCGUGUUUUUGGGGGGUUUACCCCUGAAAAGUACAAGAAUUAGCAGGAUCUGAAGUGUAGCACAGCCGCUCAACCUGAGUGCCAGGCUCCGCCCCCGUAUGUGUGUGUUUUUAACAGUCGCAAUGCAUCAGAAAGAUUUUCUAGUAAAAUCAAUCAACAUUCCAUCCACACUUCUAGUACAUUCGUCAAUCAUUCGGACGCAAGUUAGGUCAUUGAGAAAUCUGGGAUAACUCUUAGAAUCAGUUAAGUGUGAAAUUCACAGAAUAAAGGUCUUAUUUAAACUUCUAGAACAUAUAUUUUUUUUUUGUAUAGGUCCAAUUGAUUAUUCAUCAAAAAAUAACCUUUCUCCAAAGAGCCUUGAUAAUUAAUUUGAGAUCUUAUUUCAUGCCAAUUGUGGUGUGCUUGCUUUUUCCUAUGUCUGGUUAUGCAUAUUUUAGCUGCCAGCAUAAUAUGGAUCACUAGAUUAAGUGAAAAUGUAUCAAUUUGGGGAGGGUCUAAAUGGAGAAGAAAAACCUGCGGGGUCAAUAAUGUCUCUUACCCCAGAAUAUUUGAGCGUAGUGAAUUUAGAUUAUUUUUCAAAGUGUCCAGCCGCGAACAAUCCCACCAAAUAUGGAGAUUUGAUCCCUUAUCAUUGCUACAUCUCCAGCAUUGAUCGGUGUGGUCAUUGUACAUUUUGUUUAAUUUAGAUUUGACCAUAUACUACCUGUAUAAUACUUUAAAGUACAACUUAAUCAAAUUUACACACUGUAUACCUUUUUUAACCUGUUUGAUGCUUUGUUUCCAGAUAUGUGGCUCAAACGUUUUCUUAAAAUCAAAUUCCCAUUUCAGUAUCGGAGGCUCUUUCACAAAAUUAUCAUUAAAGGGACAGUAUAGUCCCCAAGGUCCCCCAGGUUUUAACCCUUCAGAUGUAAACAGCAGUUUCAGAGAAACUAUGUUUAUGUUGCAGGUUUAAUCCAACCUCUAGUGGCUGUCUUCCUGACGGGUUUGUUUUCCUGACACUAUAGUGAUCCUUUAAUGCUAAGAAAUUUAAGUAACCAUGAUAUUCUUUUCUGAGGGUUGUGAUUAUCUAUCUUUUUUUGACUCUCAGAUAUGUGAACACUUCCACUGGGGCAAGUGAAUAGAUGGUCUGUAAUAGAUGGAAGGGAGUUAAAGGACCCUUAGAAAAAAUAUUUGAGAGAUGACUAAUACCACAUCUGUUCAAAUCCAAAUCUCUAACGUUCAGUUCUAAUAGUUCUAGUGGAGAAGAUUGUGAAAUUCCAUUUUUUUGAUAAAACAUUUUUUCCUUAUAGUUUUGACCGUACUCACAGUUGCCCUAAUAAUAGGGUUCUUUGUCAUUUUAUCUAAUGGCCAUCUCUCGUCUAUACAAAAACAAUCGAAAAGAAAAUCCACUUUAAACUAUUGGGUUUCAAUUCCUUUCCAUAAGUUAGAAGUGUUGUAAUUUUUGUCCCAAGCUAAAUAAUGGGAUAGCAUACAGGCUUCAUGUAACGCAUGUACGUCUGGGAAUCCAAGGCCUCCAUUUCGCCCUGAUUUCUUAAGUAUUGUUUGAGGUUUCUUACUGGCCCAAAUAUACUUAGAGAUGGCUGCUUGAAAGAAGUUCAAGAUUUUGUAACUAACUCUAAGUGGGAUUGUCCUAAAUAAAUACAUUAUUUUUGGAAGCAAGUAGCCUUUUGUUGAUUUCUAUCCUACCCAACCAAGGUAGUUCAAACCUGCUCCAUUUCUUAAAAUAUGUACUAAAUUCUUCUAUUAGCUUUAGAUAUUUUGUACUGAUCAGAUCAUGAUUUUGUAAUCUUUACCCCCAAGUAGUUCAUGAAUCUAUGGUCCCAAUAAAACUCAUAGCUGCCCUUAAGCUGUUUCUUCUUUAAACUAAUAUCUGUGUCUUAAUUAUGUUAAUUUUAAAAUUAGAAAAUUCACCAUAUUCCGUCAUCAGUUUCAAUGCUGCCGCUAUGGACUCGAGGGGGUUCGUCAGUCAGUUCUGUUUGCACUGUACUUCUUCUUUUUGUCUGAUUAGAACCGCUAGAGGUUCCAUAGCCAGGAUAUAGAGCAUGGGAGCAAAUGGGCAGCCCUGCCAUGUUCCGUUUUUGUUUUUGUUUUUUUUAAAAAUAUAUAAGUGUUGUGAUUCCAUAGCCGGGCCAAUGAGUUUUGCAGAUGGAUCAGUAUAUAUAGUCAUGAUACUAUCUCUGAAGUUACCUAUAAUACCAAAUUCUUGUUAAACUAGAUCCAGAAAUUGCCAGUCCAGCCUAUCCAACACCUUUUCGGGCAAUAGUUUCUAUAUUCAUGUCACAGCCUUAAUUUGAUUUUCUAAAAAGUAAAAGCGAGAUUUUUGAACAGAAUAAUGUUCUGCUUUGUAUUGUGUAUGAACUCUUGCUUGCGCGUUCAAGGUACAUUAAGUUUAUGGCCAAUUCCAUGGAUUCUGUUGCAAAGAGAAGUUUGAAAGUACUUAUCUUGAAUUCAGCAAUAACCUGACCAGAAACUGGAAUGCAAUGAGUAGACAUUUUGUUAUAGAUGGAGUGGGAGUAUAAAAGCAUGAUUUAUGCAUGUUACUUAUUACUUGAUUUUAAUAUUCUUAAUAUGAGUUUAUUUUGGAUAAUUACUAUUAUAUAUAAUAUAUGGCUAGUGGAGUUAAUUUAUAAUGUUGGCGGUUAAACAGAUUUUCUCUUGAAAAUGUUCAUGGUGAUUUUUAAAAGGACAGUCUAAGCAACAUAACCACUAGAGCUCUGUGUAGUUAUUAUGCUACCAUCUGAUCCUUUUAACUUACAUUUUUUUUUUUAUAUAUUUUUUUUUUCUUUCUUCUUUAAUCUGCUCCCAAAUCGUUUGAAUAAAAAAAUGUUGAUUUUAUUCAUAGAUCAACAUAGGGGGGAAAAGGAACUGUGGGAAAAAAAAACCCCAGUAUAUAUUAAACAGUUUGAAAAAAUACAGGGGUUCCGUAGCAUAUGCAGUUACCCCUUCCCUUGCCGUAUUACUUAUAUGGAAUUUACACUUGGCUUUUGACACUGUUCCACAUAGAAGGCUUAUCAAUAAACUGCAAUCUUUAAGUUUGGAUUCCAAUAUUGUUGAAUGGGUAAGGCAGUGGCUGAGUAACAGGCAACAUAGGGUUGUAGUCAAUGGAGUAUAUUCGAAGCAUAGUUUGUUACCAGUGGGGUACCUUAGGGAUCUGUACUUAGACCCAUUCUCUUUAAUAUUUUUAUUAGGGAUAUUGCAGAAGGUCUUGAUGGUAUGGUAUGUCUUUUUGCUCGUGGUCACUACUCUAUCCUAAAUCUCCUUGACCUGUCUGCGGCUUUUGACACUGUUGAUCAUCAACAGCUUCUUCUCAUCCUCCGCAAUAUCGGUCUACAAGAUAUUGCUCUCUCCUGGUGCUCCUCCUACCUCUCCCAGCGCUCUUUCAGUGUUUCUUUCUCUGGCUCUGCUUCUUCUCCCCAACUGCUCUCUGUUAGUGUCCCCCAAGGUUCAGUCCUUGGUCCCCUACUGUUCUCCAUCUAUACUGCCUCCCUUGGUAAACUCAUUAGCUCCUUUGGCUUCCAAUAUCAUUUCUAUGCAGAUGACAAGCAAAUCUACCUGAUCUCUCCCUGUCCCUCUUGACUAGUGUCUCUGACUGCCUCUCUGCUGUUUCUAACUGGAUGGCUGCCCACAUCCUUAAACUAAACUUGACCAAAACUGAAAUUCUGGUCUUUCCUCCCUAUAGUGUUGUUACUCCUGUGUCUGUCUCCCUCCAAGUCAACGGUGCUACCAUCAGCUCCACCACGCAGGCUCGCUGCCUAGGUGUUCUCUUUGACUCCGACCUCUCCUUCAAGCCUCAUGUUCAAUCUGUCGCCAAAUCCUGUCAUUUUCAUCUCAAAAACAUUGCGCGAAUCCGCCCCUACUUAACGCCAGAUGCGACUAAGGUGUUGGUCCAUUCCACUGUCCUUUCUCGCCUUGACUACAGUAAUCCGCUUCUCAGUGGUCUUACGUGCUCCCAACUAGCUCCAUUACAGUCCAUAAUGAAUGCGGCAGCGAGGCUCAUCUUCCUGUCCGCCCGCACCUCCCAUGCCUCACCCUUCUGUCAGUCCCUACAUUGGCUUCCUAUAAAAUAUAGAGCUCAAUUUAAAAUUCUGGUUCUUGCUUUCAAAUCUCUACAUAAUGCUGCUCCCACCUAUCUAUCCUCCCUUCUACACAAGUAUGUCCCGUCUAGGCCCUUACGAUCUGCUGAAGACUUACGUCUAUCUUCUGUCCAUACUCCCACCUCUGAUGCUCGCUUUCAAGAUUUAUCGAGGGCUGCACCGUUCCUGUGGAACUCGCUUUCCUCCUCCGUUAGAUGCUCACCCAGUCUCCACUCCUUCAAAAAAUCGUUAAAAACCCACUUCUUCAUAAAAGCGUAUCAAUUAAACUGUUAAUAGCUCCUGACUGAGUCCUCUUCUGCAACUUUCACUAGUCUAAUACUAUCCUUACCUUUUUGUGUCAUUUUACCCCACUUCCUCUAACAUGUAAGCUCAUUGAGCAGGGCCCUAAACCCCUCUGUUCCUGUGUGUCCAACUUGUCUGGUUACAACUACAUGUCUGUUCGUCCACCCAUUGUACAGCGCUGCGGAAUUUGACGGCGUUCUAUAAAUAUCAUAAUAAUAAAAAUAAUAAUGAUGAUACUAAGAUAUGUAACAGGGUUGAUGUUCCAGGAGGGAUAAGCCAAAUGGCAAAUUAUUUAGAUAAAUUAGAAAAAUGGUCAGAGUUGUGGCUACUGACAUUUAAUGUGAAUAAGUGCAGGAUAAUGCAUUUUGGGCAUAAAAACCCAAGGGCAGAGUACAGAAUAUUUGAUACAGUCCUAACCUCAACAAAUGAUGAAAGGGAUUUAGGGGUAAUUAUUUCAGGUGACCUAAAUGUAGGCAAAGUAACAGAGCAGCAGGAAAUGCUUGCAGAAUGCUUGGUUGUAUAGAGAGAGCACUGGUGAGUGCUCACUUGAGUAUUGUACACAGAAUAUCCUUCCGGACCGGAUCUCUAGAAGGAUAUUGAUACUUUGCAGAGAGUUCAGUGAAGGGCUACUAAACUGGUUCAUGGAUUACAGGAUAAAAUUUACAAGAAAAUGUUAAAUGAUUUUAACAUGUAUAGCUUGGAGGAAAGAUGAGACAGGGGGGGGGAGUGAUAGAAACAUUUAAAUACGUAAAGGGAAUCAACACAGUAAAGGAGGAGACUAUAUUUAAAGGGACACUAUAGUCACCAGAAGGAAGGGAGCACAUUUAUAGAUUCUGACAACAUAAAUGGCAUCAGCAUACGAUUCUGUCAUGCCUUGCUGAUUUUAGAAUGUACGAGUCACUAUUGAGGCAGCUUAUGUUCAUUCAGCAGGCAGUGAGUGUACGCGCUAGCACACAUAGUCACUGGAGAGAGGCCAAUGACUACAUCAAACUCCCACCAGAUGCACAUUUUUAUAAGGGAAAAAAGUUUGCUGUAAUUUUUUUUUUUUUUUUUUCUUUUGCAAUCUCAUGUUGUUGUUUUUCUGGUUUUUUUUAAUUUUUUUUUUAGAUCUGAUUAUAUUUUUGAGAAUCCUUAAAGCAGCACUCACACCCCCUGCAAAAUGAGUACUUCAUAUAGAUACACAAAAACAACACACCUCUAUACUGCCACACAUACCAACAAUAAGUGUGUGUGUGUGUGUGUAAAUAUUUUCACCCCUCCUGGGUGGUAUGUUUAUUCCUCUUUCUUGGGUCUGCUACCAGAGGCCUUGGAGUUUGAGGGUUCUGCGCAGUAUCUUAGCCGUUCCUAGAACUGCUGCACUCGAGAAGAACCACAUUAUAGAAGGCAUAAUGGGUCUCUUGGCCUUGUCCAGUUAGGUAUGAAAUGCAUAUCUUCCCAACUGGACCGCUUAGCACUUGUGGGCCCCGGGGACAACCAGGCCACUUAACCUAGUACUGGCUGUCACUCCGGUGCCCCUCAAAACACACAGUCUCUUUCUGCGAGAGAGAGAGAAAGAUUGCGUGUUUAGAUAUUCAAGUGUCAUCUAUCUUUCAAGUGACUUUUUCACUUAGCUCAGCAGAGAAAACAUAGAAUAUCUAAGUGAUUAUGUAGGUCAUUCCUUUUAUAACGUUAUGUUACCCACUUCAAAAAGAAACAAAAAUAUCAUUUUUGGAACAGAAUGAAGUAAUAUCAUACUCCAUGAAAAAAUCUAGGGGUAGUGAAAAACUACCGCUCCUUCUUACCUCCCAAGACAAGAAGGAUCACCUAAGUUGUGCUCACAACUAGGGGUAACCCUGAAACUGAAUAAAAAUCUAACGGAAUCCCAGUCACCCUCCCUACCUUGGGAAAGAGCACAACAAAAUUUUAGCCCACCCAUGUUGCCCUGUCUGAGCUAUUGCUGACCCAUACGCAGGGCGGUGCGCACAGUUGAGGAAGGAGGUCCGUCUUGCUGGCAUACACUGAUGUGGUCAUUUUUACUGGCCACGCCCCUCCCGGUUGAUUGGCUCAUGGGCGAACUACCGGCUGACAGCCCAUUGGAUCGUGCACACAUGGCUAAUUAAAGGUAUGAUAUUUAAACUUUCUCUGUCUAUACACAUGGUUAUUCUGCCCCUGACAACGGCGUCUUAGCAUGCCGAAACGCGCGGUGCUGUGGUAUAUAGGGACAGUGGGAAAUUUAUUUGUGAAUGGAGGUUUAUUGGGACCCUAAUAUCUAUUUUGAAUCUCUGAGCCCUUUCUUUCAACUGGCCUCUGACGCAUGUCACAUGGGAGAUCUGGAGGAGUUCAGUGUUACUGUACUGACCCUCCAUUUUCCCCUGUAAUAGCAUUUUGAUGCUACCCUCCCCGAGAUGGACACCAUCCACCUCUUUAAAUCCCUUUUUAAUUGGUUUUCACACAGUUUCCUUCCUUUCUUGUGGCUUAUCAACAUGUUUUGAUAAUUAUUAAUAAAGCUUAGAUUUUUGAUAAGAUAUUUAUCUACUUUUGUUGUGUUCUUUCCCAAGGUACCCCCCUCUUUAGGGAGGGUGAAUGGGAUUCCGUUAUAAUUUUUUCACUUAAAGAAUAUUUCAAUGCUUUAUGUAAAUAUAUUUUUGGGAGUGCAAUCAUACUUUGUUUUUGUUUUGUUUUUCUGAAAGAUUAUAUCACUCCGGAACUGGAAAAAAAUGUUUUAUGUUUAAAACAAGUGUUCUGUGUUGUUGGUUAGUUAUCUUCUAACUUACACCAAUAAACCUUGUUAAAGCGUUUAUUGGGAUGAUAUGUGCUGAAUAGAUAAAUAUAAGCAGGGUCCUUAUGUAAACUUCAAAUUAGGGAUCGACCGAUUAUCGGUUUUACCGAUAUAAUCGGCCGAUAUUCAGUAUUUUCGGCAAUAUCGGUAUCGGCCAAUUCAGAUACCGAUAUUGCCGAUAAUACCUCCUGGGACCGCCAGGCUCAUUACAAGCCCGGCGGUCCUGGGGGGGAAGCGGGCAUCAAGCGCUUACUCACCUCCCAGCAGCUCCCCUGUGUAACUCUCGCGAGACCCGCGGCCGUCCGAGCGUUGCCAUGGGUCACCAUGGCAACGCUCCGCGCGACACGCUGGCCGCGAGAGUUGCACUGGGGAGCUGGAGGAGCUGCUGGGAGGUGAGUAAGCGCUUGCUGCCCGCCUCCCCCCAGCUCAGCCAAUACCACUGGACCACCAGGGACUGCUAUAUCCCCCUCCCUGGCCAGGUAUGAAACAGGGAGGAGGGACAACAAAAAUAAAUAUUAAAUAUAUAUUAAAAAAAUGUAAUAAAAAAUGCCCCCCCUCACACACACACUCCAUUAUAUACACAUACACUACACAAACACACUGUGUAUAUAAUGCAGUGUGUGUAUAUAAUGCAGUGUGUUUGUAUAAUGUGUGUAUAUAAUGUAGUGUUUGUGUAAUGUGUUUAUAUAAUGCACACUACACAAACACACUGCAUUAUAUACACACACACUACACAAACACACUGUGUAUAUAAUGCAGUGUGUAUACAAUGCAGUGUUUGUGUAGUGUGUGUAUACAAUAUAGUGUGCGUAUAUAAUGCAGUGUGUAGUGUGCGUAUAUAAUGCAGUGUGUGUAUAAUGCAGUGCGUGUAUACAAUGCAGUGUGUGUGUGUGUAGUGUGCUUAUAUAAUGCAGUGUGUUUAGUGUGUGUAUAUAAUUAAUGCAGUGUGUGUUUGCAUAGUGUGUUUAUAUAAUGCACACUACACAAACACUGCAUUAUAUAUAUAUACACACACACUAUACAAACACACACACUCUGCAUUAUAUAAACACACUACAUUCGUUAUAUACACUACAUAAACACACACACUUUGCAUUUAGUAUAUACUGCAUUCAUUUUACACACACUACCCACACACUACACAAUCACUCUGCUUUCAUUAUAUACACACACUACACUAAUACACACUGCAUCCACUACACACUAGACAAAUACACACUGCAUCCACUACACACUAGACAAAUACACACUGCAUCCACUACACAAACACACUACACAGACACACACUGCAUCCACACACACACUGCAUCCACACACACACACUACACAAACACACACUGCAUCCACUACACAAACAUACACUGCAUCCACUACACACACUACACAAACAUACACUGCAUCCACUACACAAACACAUACAGCUCCCCUGUCUAAACACACUGUAUACACUACAUGUGGCAUGUAUAUUUUGUGCAUUUACCUUUAGAAAUAGUUGUUAUUUUCCAAAAUGGUAAAUGUACAGAAUAUCGGCAAAUUAUAUCGGCUAUCGGCCUGAAAGUUCACGGAAUAUCGGUAUCGGUAUCGGCUCUAAAAAAUCAAUAUCGGUCGAUCCCUACUUCAAAUCGCAAAAUUGAGUUUAAAAUAUUUAAUUUAGAAAGAUUCUCCAAUCCAGCCGCAAGUUGGUAAUCUUACACUGUUGUGCGAUUCCAAAGUUCAGAGUUUAGUAAAUAUCCCUGAAUGACUGUGUUGCACCACCAUUUGUUAGGUGCCCUCAUCUUUUCAUGAUGGCAUGCAUGCUUGGAAUCCACUUGAGAUCUUUUAAUUUCAUGGUUCUCUUGCAGGAAAUUAUAAGACUGAAAGGGACACUAUAGUCACCAAAACAACUUAAGCUUAAUGAAGCAGUUCUUAUGCAUAGACCAGGAGUUUCCAAAUCCGCGGCCUGGGACCAUUAGCAGUGCGGCUCUGUUGCCGUUCGCACUGUUGGGUGGCAGGAAGCACUUUACAUACUGUGCUGCUCCUGGAGAGCGCUCGUGCAGGGAGCUGGCCGCCUUGUUAUGACGUCAUCUUGGCAUCACUGCUGGGCGCACAACAGAGCUAUCAAGGAGGAGCACAGAGCUUCCAGCCCAGCAGCAACCACUGGAGAGAAGAUCCAUUCCAGCCCUCCCAGAGCAAGUUAGGUACUGAAUGUAUGCAUGUAGUUUUUGUGUAUGUUUUGUCAGUGGUUAUGUGUGUGUGUGUGAUGGGUGGUCUGUGAUUGUGUGUGGAGGAUGGGUCUGUGUGUAAGUCAGUAAUUAUGUGUUUGUGGGUCUGAGUGUGUGUGCGUGUGUGCAGGGCUGCCAUCAGAAAUGUUGGGGCCCCUGACACAGCUCAAGGUCUGGGCCCCCCGGUGCCUGCACCCGAGUCCGCCCAAAGUGCUGCCCCUCCCUCCCCCCGAAUCCGCCCACAGGGAUGCAGUGUCUGCAGGGCCGGUGCAAGGAUUUUUGCCGCCCUAGGCAAAAGUAAAGUUUGCCGCCCCCCCAUGUGACAUCACAAUGCCCCACCCAUAUGAUCUGCCAUGUUAACUAACACCAGUGCUGCAGUGCCGCCGUGUUUACAUUAAAAGGCCUGCAGGGACAGGCUAGACACCAGAACCACUACAUUAAGCUGCAGUGGUUCUGGGGACUAUAGUGUCCCUUUAAUGUGAGGUAAAUUAGAGAUUAGUGCCAUGAAUAAUAUACUAGAUUGCCUACUUACAACCAGAUGAGGAUGAUGAUGGGCUCUAGCUGCCGUCUGGCUCCACUGGUCUGGUGUAGAACAGGCUCUCUGGAGGCGGUUUGUAACUGUGGUCACAAAAAUCAAUGUUCUGGGAGAACGGGAAGCAGCUCCAUUUUUUUGAGGGCCCUUUACACAGCUCAAGGUCUGGGUCCCAGGGUCCACCUUCAUGUUCCAAUGAGUUUGUUCACAAUGAGUUUGUUCACAGGGGGUGGAGUGUGUGUGUGGGGAUGUCCUGAUGUGUGUAAGGAAUGCAUUGUGUGAAUCUGUGUUUGUAUGUGUAAGGGCUGCAAGAUGAGUUGUGUAUGUAUGGGAUGCAGUGUGUGCGUCUGUAAGGGAUGCAUUGAGUGUGUGUAAGGGGUGCAUUGUGUGUUGCUGUGUGUAAGGGAUGCAUUGCUUGUGUACGUGUGUCUGUGUGUAAUGCAUUGUGUGUUUUUCUGUGUGCAAGGGGUGCAUUGUGUGUGAUGAAUGUCAGUCUCUCCCCCUCCCCCCCUCUCCCUCCAAUUUCCUUCUUCUCCCCCUCCCUCUCCAAUUUCCUUCCUCUCCCCUCCAAUUUCCUUCCUCUCCCCCGUCACUCAAAUUUCCUUCCUCUCCUCCGUCCCUCAAAUUUUCCUCUCCCCCGUCCCUCAAAUUUCCUUCCUCUCCCCCGUCCCUCAAAUUUCCUUCCUCUCCCCCAUCCCUCAAAUUUCCUUCCUCUCCCCCGUCCCUCAAUUUCCUUCCCUCUCUCCCUCCCUCGGAUUUCCUUCCUCUCCCCCUCCUCUCUCAAAUUUAAUUCCUUUCCCCUCCUCUCUCAAAUUUCAGUUCCUUUCCCCCAAGUUCGUUCCUUUCCCCUCCAUUUCUGUCCCCCCUCCCCUCGAAGAUUUGAUUCCUGUCCCCUCAGUUUGAUUCCUGUCCCCCCUCCCUCAAAUUUCCGAUUUCCAGCCCCUCCAUAAAUUUCGAUUUCCUCCCCUCCCAUUUCAUUCCUCCCCAUAAAUUUCAUUUCUUCCCCUCCGACACCGGUUGGGUCAGCUUGGCCCAGCCCAGUUACUCUGUGUGUGCUUCCUCUUCAGCUCCCUCGCGCACUGUAUUGAUGCCGGAGCCGGAAGAUGACGUCAUCUUCCGGCUCCGGCAUCAGUACGGUGCGCGAGGGAGCUGAAGAGGAAGCACACAGAGAGUGCUCCCUCGCGCGCCGGCUGGCUUUCAGGGCCAGCCUCUGGGGGCCCUGAGGUGACUGGCUGCUGGGCCCCCCAGGAGAAGAGGCUGGCCCAGUGGGUACAUACCGGGUCACCCUGCGACCCGGUAUGUACCAACUGAAUGUGGGGCCCGGACGACCUGAGCAGUCCGGGCCCCCAGGGCCGCUGGGCCCAUGACAACCGUUGCGGUUGUCAUGCCCUGAUGGCGGCCCUGCCUAUAUACACACACUCGCUACAUCCCCUAUGCACACUAUGCCCCUAUACACACACUCUCUCUACAGCCCCUAGCCAUACAUAUUACACCACAAACACAAAUGAAAUCGACCUAUUUACACAAUACCACACCACAAUCAGCUUACUCUACACACAGGCAAUCCUACAAACCGGCUCCAAACACAUGCACUAUACACUUUCCUGGCCCUUUUGUCCUCUGAUAUCCCANNNNNNNNNNNNNNNNNNNNNNNNNNNNNNNNNNNNNNNNNNNNNNNNNNNNNNNNNNNNNNNNNNNNNNNNNNNNNNNNNNNNNNNNNNNNNNNNNNNNCAGGCUUACUGGAUAAACCCCAAGUUUUGGUUCGAUUUUAAUAGGUGGAAUAUUGCGGGCCAGUCCUGGUGGGUUGUUCUCUGCCCAAACUCCUGGUAUAUUAAAUAAGGAUUCAUCACUCCUCGGGUUUUGGCUAGUCAACACUGUAUAAAGUCGCCACUCUUCUUCCUUUGGUACGGACAAUGUCAUAAUACCUGAAGGUCCAUUAAACUUUAAGGAUGUUGUUCCAUUUGGUUGGAACGUAAUCUGCGCUUGUAAUUUGGAUAGCAUAUCACGUCCCAGCAAUUGGACUGGACACUCAGGCAUAUAAAGGAAUUGAUGUUUUACUACGUGGCCUCCCAAUGUACAGAGUCGACUUUUAAGAACCGGGUUUUCAGCACUUCUUCCAGUUGCUCCUAUUACAGUAAUAGUUCUUCCAGAUGGAGGAGCAACUAGAUUAGUCACCACCGAAUGUUCAGCACCAGUGUCGAUCAUGAACGCACUCCUUUUUCCCCUAUUGAUACAUCGACCAUAGGCUCCGCUCGACCAAGGGGGAUGGAGCCCGGUCGGUAUCAAUAGUCCUCCAUGACCGUGUCAGCCAAUCCCACAAAGUCCCUACCUUCUCUAUCGCGAGACCUUUGCGCUGCUGGAUAGUACCUAUCUUCCUUACACUUCCUCUGUUCCCAUUACUCCCUCUAUUACCAUUACUCCCUCCGGGGCCUCCUCUACCUCUCGCUCUGCCUCUAAAGUUUCCGUAACCUGCCCUGGGUAAGUCUCUCUCAUACUGCUCUCUUUGUGGACACUCGUUCCUCCAAUGCCCUUCUUCCUUGCAGUACGCGCACUGAUUCCUACUCAAAGGCUCCCUAUUCCAUCUACCAUCGCCUCUAUCUGGGCCCCGUCUAUCUACGCCUGCGAUCGCUACCGCUAGCAUAUCUGCCUUUCUACGCAUCUUGCGCUCUUCCUCUUUCUUACUUUCUGUUUCCCUAUUCAUAUAUACUUUGUUCGCUACCUCCAUUGGUUGGGUGAUAGACAUACCUGCAAACCCUUCUAAUUUCUGUAGCUUGCGCUUAAUAUCUCCGUAAGCUUGGCUGACAAAGGCGGAGUUUACCAUUCGGGAAUUAUCAGCGUCUUCCGGAUUAAAGGGGGUAUACAAGCGGUAUGCCUCCAAUAAUCGGUCAUAAAAGACACUGGGCGCUUCAUCACUUUUCUGAAUCACCUCAACUGUCUUCGACAUGUUAAUAGCUUUCUUCCCUCCGGCUUUCAUGCCAGCAAUUAUAGCAUCUCUAUAGGCUUUAAGUUGAGCCAUAUCUGCGCCAUUUACAUUCCAGUCAGGAUCGGUGUUAGGGUAAUGUGUUGCGGCCCAUGCUGCCGGAUUGGCUUGAUUUAAAGCACGGGCUCUCUCCUCUAGCGCCUUAAUGGCCGCUUGGUUAAUCCUUGUCCUUUCCUCAUUAUUGAACAAUGUCAUUAAUAACUGCUGGCAAUCAGCCCAUGUCGGGUUAUGUGUCUGAACUAUCGAGGUGAACAGAUCGGUCAUAGCUUGUGGUUUCUCAGUGUACGAGGAAUUGUGGGUCUUCCAAUUCAAGAGAUCGGUAGUCGUGAACGGGACAUAUACGAAGACUGGGUCAGCAUGUGCCAUUUGACCUGCGGCAUCGAUAUAGGCUGACCCAGGAUUCAGACGAAGAGGCAUCUGAUAAUGUUUUAAUUGUUGGGUACCGGUCAGUUGUCGGGUUAGUAUGGGGCUACGUGGAGGGGCGUCAGUUAAAGGUUCCGGUCGAGAGGUAAUAGGGCAUGAGGAUGUGGGAACUUGAUUUUGGGAAAAGUUGGUGAAUAGUAUACUCCGAGCCGAGCUAGAAGAAGCUUGACCGGAAGUUUGAAGUGGCGCCAAAUCAGGAUAUUCAGAUCUAAUGGGGGUUGGUCCUGGUUCCGGAAGGGGAGUUUUAAUACGAGGUGGGGUGGAUUCUGUACUGGAGGAGGAAGCGGAAGUGGAUGGGGCAAUAGGGGAAGGGGUGCAGAACUUCCUGCAUUCGCGUCACUUCCUCUUAAAGGAAAGUAAGGGGGCGGCAAAGGGAUCUCGGACUCAGGGGGCGUGUCCAAAAUGGGCCUAACACCAGUUCUAGUGGACAAACAAGUCCUGGCCACCAUGAGGCGACAUUGCUCCUCGUGGCAUAUCCGGAUCCAUUUUGGCGAGUCGUUUACGGCCUGCCUCCAACAAUCAAUGUAUGGAAACUGUCCGUAAAGUUCAGGCCUACCUGAUACAGCCACGUGUACACGCUGUACCAGGGUUGGAUCCAAACUGCCACGCGGCGGCCAUGCCGCAACCAAAGUAGGCCACUCCCUAGUGCACAAAGUGACCAAGCGUACAGGAGACAUUUUAACCCCAAAAUCACAUGUUUUGAAUCCCUUUUUAAAAUUCUUUACCAUACAACCUAAGGGAUCCGAAAUCGUUGACUCUGACGCGCCCAUACUUAUCAAUGGAACGUCGUUGACAACGAAUACUAUGCACGCGUUCUUAUUCAACAGUCACACCCGUUUCCUCUGGCAACAGCACCACGUGGUACAGUUACCGAGUGAAACGUACACAAUAACACAAUAAUCACUCAGGGAAUUCCCGUACACACACAGCUGUUACACCAGUCACUAAAUAAUCAAUAUUAUGCCCUUUGGCGAAACUAUACAGUCACCCACGCUAUAAUUCUCUAUAUAUGAAUUACCCGUCUAUAACACACCCCAGUAACAUCGUCUUUUACUAGUAUCGGUUACAGUACGGUUAGCAUAGGUCAAAGCACAAUUUAAGGUCACAAUACAAUUAUUAGUGGUUACGGUGUUAAACAUGCAAUAGGCGACAAUGAUUAGUACUUAUAUACAGUGUCAGUAAAUAUACAGGGUUAUGGUACCGUGCACUAUGAUACAGCAACACACUAUUAACACUCUCGCUAGACGGCUGAGCUCGCGCUAUCUAACAAGAUAUACACUUUACUAACAAUCUUUAACACAUUUACAAUCCCAACUAAACUAUUGGCCAGUACCUUGAAUGGACUACCUAAAACUAUAUACACCCGUUUUGGUUAGCCACACUGCCCAAGCACCACAUAUAGCGAACUAGAGGGCGGAAUUUACAAAAUUGCCCUUCUAGUCUAUUUACUCUAUCAAAAGUCUAGUGGGUUCCAAAUUUACACGCCUUCCCACUUAGCCAAGAUAGGUUGAGAGCUAGCGAACCGAAUUUACACAGGCGCCGCUUAGUCUCCCGGUCCCUCCGACCUAGCGAACGUAAUAUACACCCUAGAACGCUAGUCUAGACAAGACACCGGUGUCCGGCUAGGGCUAUUUACACAGGACCCCGCCUGACUAACCAGAUCAAACGGUCUUACUAAAGAGCGUUCGAUCGAGCGGUGCGCCUUCGCUCCUUCCCUCCGACAGAGGGGGCAGAUUCCAUACACAGAUUUAAACCCCUUUUGGGCCUACCGCACAAUCGGUAUACCCCUAGUGGGUCUGCCGUCUAAAACAGCAGUUGUCUUACCUCCUCGUUCCUGAACCUGAGUUCACACUCAUCGACGGGGACACCCCAGCACUUCUUACGUAGAGGCCGAUGAUCUCCUGGACAACAGACCAGUGGCGCCGAGACGAAGGGAGGUCCACGCAGAAGUUCAGGGGUGCAGCCGUAGAGAACGUGGGCAAAGAUAGACCGUCUCACGCCUCUGCCUCUCAGCUACCGUUGAACGAUGAGUUCCCGGCCAAUGCACCAAAUGAUACCGGAGAAACUGACGGAAGCAAAGCACAGAGAGAUGGACACAGGUUUCUUCAGGAAGGAAGAGAUUCUUUAUUGGAUCACCGAUCGGGACUCAGAGGGACUAAUGUCACCAAAAAUACAGCAAGUUCUGAGCCCUGAACAAUAGUGCAGGCCCCUAUAUAGGCACAUAACUCCUCCCAUAUUAAGCUCCACCCGCACAUUCUCUUGACCAAUCAUUACAAAUAAGAAUUAACUUCCUGCUUGACCGCAUGGCUUGUCCAGCACAAUGGAGGAGGGGAAUACUACAUCCUGUAUUCUUGCACAUGCUCCGUACACUACUGAUCGUAUCUUGCCUCGUGCAACCAACUGAUCGAUACGUCAGCAUAUGCACGUACACAUGCCACGUGGUAAUCUCGGCCUACUAAAUUUAUUUUUACCGAGAUUCCACCACACUAGCAGCCAGAGAGUUCUAUUUUUACCCUCAACUUGAGUCCUGUCUCUUAUUGGGGGAAUCUGCUACAAGGGAUUGCUAUGCUAGGCAUAUUCCCUUGCUAUAAUCACUGAGCUCUUGUAAGAGCUUGUUCCUGCUUCGUUCUGAAGGGAGAUAGCUGCAGCCUGCGGUGCUUAUGGUGUCUGGUGGAGUGCUUGGAGUCCUCUGGAAGCGCUAGGAGCAUCUUUCAACGGAGGUACCCAGUCGGGGUGCCAGGUGAUCCGUUACAUUGGUGGCAAGCGGCGGGAUGGCAUCCUAGUGCGAGGAGAAGCAGCUCGGAGACACCGGUAACGUGUGGAGUUGUGCAGCGUCCUUAUCUUCAGCAACAUAAUGGAACCAGCAGUGGCUACAGCAAGCAUGGCGUAUAGCUACUCCGUACUAGAGUUUGGCACGAUGGUAGGGUUGCACCUGAAGUUUUACGGACCCAAUCCAGAGGAGAAAUACGUGCGGUUCGUGUGGGACAUGGUGACCCGGAACCUACAACACAGGGCGUUGAGGGAAGGCCAGUGGGCACGUUGGGAGAAACUCCAGCCACAGGUAGAGUGGGACGAGGAAGAAACCGAGGUGGCCGGUGGAGAUGGGACCGAGGUCUCUCUACCGGCCCUACAGGGAUGCUGGGCACCCGGCCCAGAUCCCCAGCGGCAGUAUGUUUUACAGGGAGGGGAGACAGUCGGUCUCACUCCCCAGCGGCAGAAUGUGUUAUUGGAGGAAGAGACAACCGGUCUCCCUCCCCAACAGCAACCAGAGGUACCCGAGGUAGAGGACCUCAUAGACUGGUCCUGGGAGGACCCCAUAGACUGGUCCUGGGAGGACCCCCUGCAGGCAGGUGGAGAUGGGACCGAGAUCUCUCCACCGGCCCUACAGGGAUGCUGGGCAACCGGCCCAGAUCCCCAACUAGAGCUGGAGUUACAGAAAGUGGAGAGCAUCGACCUCCCCCCCCAGCAGCAGCCGGAGUACCAGGGGGAGGUAAGUGAUAUUUCUCCUCCCCAGCCAACUCCUUUGUUCCCUGACCCCCCAGCAGAAGAGCUGGCAACUGGGCAGAGCGCCGCUGGCCUCUGUCCUCCCUUGUUUCCUUCCCCUGAGCCUGACUUUCUACAGGCUGCCCCAGCGGAAGGUGCCGUCCUUCCUCCCCAGCGGCAGUGCGUACCCCAGGGAGCUGAUGGUGUCGUCCGUCCUCCCCAGCAGCAGUGUGUAACCCAGGGAGCCGAAGGUGUCGUCCUUCCUCCCCAGCGGCAGUGUGUACCCCAGGGAGCUGAAGGUGUCGUCCUUCCUCCCCAGCGGCAGUGUGUCCUGCAGGGAGCAGAGACCGUCAGUCUCACACCCCAGCAGCAGGACAAAAUAAUGAAAGGGGAGACAGCUGGUCCGCCUCUCCACCAGCAGAGAGAGUGUCAGGGAGAGGAGCCUGUUAACCCCUCUCCCCAGCGGCAGUUGACAGUCCAGAGAGAGGAGCUUGUUACACCCUCUCUCCAGCGGCAGCCUAACCCACCAAGGGGAGAUGUUGAGCCCCGCAACUGUGCAGAUGGGACCGUAGUCUCUGCGCUUACAGCCCAAGGGGUAGAGACGGUCGGUCCUGUUCCCCAGCCCCAGAGCUGUGUACCCAGAGGGGAGACGGUCGGUCUCCCCCUCCCACAACCAGGCUCCAAUCAGGCUACUUCGGUGGUAGCACUGGCACCAGGGCAGAGUACCGCUGGUCUCUGCCCACUCAGCAACCCACCAAGGCAGUCUACCAGCUCCCCACACAGCCGUGGUGAGGCACCUGGACAUGGACAAGUUGCUACUUUAUCCAGGUGGAGUAAACAUUUAUUGUGGGUGGGCUGUACUGCUGUUUGUGCUUCGUGGGUGGGUUGCUGGACUAACCAGGGCACUGACCGGCAGGAGGUCAGAUACCCUGUUAGUCUGGGGGGCAAAGGGGAGAAGUGUGGCAAAACCGACCUCGCCACGUGUCCUUGGAGGGGGCUGCUUGCCCGCCUCUUGCCUUUGGACUAUGGCCCUGCAGGUUAAACUGUUUAUUUUCCCUGCAGAAAGGCUUAUUCGUGUGAUCUGAGUGCCAUUCAUCUAAUAAUGUGCAGUCAGAUCCAAGCUAUCUGGGGAUAUGUAGAAAUGUGUGUUUUAUGUACUAAAUGUGUCAGUAUGUAAUUUUAUGUCUUUUACUGUCUUUUUGUCUGCCAUGUGGGUAAUGGAGUUUGGCUCUGUCUUUGGAGAUAAUUAGAUUCCUUCUCCAAUUAUCUCCAGGGCAGAAGGGAGGAAGCCAGGAUGCAUUGUGGGGAUGUUUUACUUUUACUGUUUGAGCCAGGGGGAACAAAAGAUACUUUUACUAACUUUUGAACCCCUGGUCUGAUUCAUGCCAUUUUUUAAUAUGUUGUUCCCCUGAAUGGAUUGAUUGUGAAUAUGUAUUUUUAUGCGAAUGUGAUGUAUAUUUUGGGAGUUAUGAAUGUUGUGUAAAAACUGUAUUUUCCCUACCUAUGAUAAUUGUAUUUUCCUGUGUGUACAGAUAAUUAGUUUACAGGUAGAGGGGAGGGCUAUGUGUGGGAUGUAACUAUUGUGUGAUUGGUUAAUGUACGUUACUGUGUGUGUCCCUCCCCUUCAUGGGAGCACCUAAUAAAAAGGGCUGCAAGCUAGCAGCCAGAGAGUUCUAUUUUUACCCUCAACUUGAGUCCUGUCUCUUAUUGGGGGAAUCUGCUACAAGGGAUUGCUAUGCUAGGCAUAUUCCCUUGCUAUAAUCACUGAGCUCUUGUAAGAGCUUGUUCCUGCUUCGUUCUGAAGGGAGAUAGCUGCAGCCUGCGGUGCUUAUGGUGUCUGGUGGAGUGCUUGGAGUCCUCUGGAAGCGCUAGGAGCAUCUUUCAAUGGAGGUACCCAGUCGGGGUGCCAGGUGAUCCGUUACAGCAGCCAACUAUUUCAAUUGCCUAUAUAUAUUUAUAUAUAUAUAGAUAUAUAAAUAUAAAAACACCCUACAUAGCACAAUGACUUAUGCCGCUGGCAUAGAUUUUUUUUCCAGGGCUGCUUCGUAUCCCCAGUCCGACCCUGGACACAGUGGUAGUGUGAGGAAGAGGGUGAUUAGUGACAGUGAGGGGGUGACACAGUGACAGCGUGAGGGAGGGGGUGACUAGUGACAGUGACUCCCCAUCUUCCCCUUUUCAUUUCUACCUCUCUCUCUGCUCCCUCUGGUCUCUCCAAGGCUGAUGCUCCUUUACCCUGCUGGCUGUGAGAGGGCUCUGUGUGAGAGGAGAGUACAGGAAGUGAUUUCACUUCCUAGUCCCGCCUCUCCCCAUCACACAGAGCGCCACGUGGGACAGGAAGGAGACCUGGCAGAGAGAGAGAGCGCAGGUGAAGCUAAGGGUGAUGGGAAGAGGUAAUGUGCUGGGCGGUAGGUUGUGGAGCCUGUUAAAGGAAGCAUUAUUUAUUUAUUUUUUUGCCAUUCCAGUUGGAGAGAUCUCUGAUCUCUCCAGCUGGAGCAUGGCUGUGAGGCCGGGCCCCUGGCUGUCUCGGGCCCUCUGUCCAUGACCGAUUUGCCCGAGUGGUCAGUCCACCCCUGAGCAUAAUACUGUAUAUCUUUAUGAUAUGACCAAAUGUCACGACUACUAAUGUGAUCCAACACGCAAAAUUAUGUAAUAUCUACAUAGAAUACAAAAAUAGACAGAACGUAAACCAGUCCUUAGAAUGGCCAGAUUAAUAUGUUGAAAGACAGAGAAUGGUCAAGGGAAAGCCAAGGUCAAGAAAGCCAGAAGUACACAAGAUCGAUAACAAAGCCAAGUCAGGGAAACCAGAAAUCAUCAUAGUCAGCAAUUGCGAAAGUCAGAGGCUUGGCCUCUGACCCCAGAACGUACUUGUGCGUCGACAUCAUGACAUCACAAGCAUGUCCGUGUGACGAUUGGAGGUGGAGCUACAAAUGGCCGCAACCUCGUGGUUGGCGCCAAUUUGGAUCCCGCGUGUGAAGGGGACGGAUGCCCCAGCAGGUCGGCUCCCGACUCACUGCUGCACAGGUAAGCUCUUAAACCUGUCUGUGUAGUUGCACCGAUUGGGUGUGACCACGUGCAGCCGGGGGCCGCGACACAAAAUCCUCAUAUUAUUUACUUAAGAUGUAAAACACCAUGCUCGUGUAUUGGUGACAGGCCUGUCUUUGGGCACAGUGAGUGAGAAACCACUUUAGGCCCAAAAUUUACUUAUGUUACUUAGCUGUUCAUAAUGCUGAAUGUGUCAGAGGUGCUCCUAUUGGCUCUUGUCCCCGUGUCAUUUACCUGUCUAGAAGGUAACAGGCUUAGAAUUGGAGUGGACAUGGAAUGUUCUUUCACAGUUUUCCAGGUUGUAAUGAGUGUCUAUCAGAUACAAUGUCACGUUCAAAACCUACAUUCAUCAAAAUGACAACUGGUAAGCAAGCAGAGGAAAAGAGGUCACACUGUGUCCUUGUCUUGGUUUAACCAUUAGCAGCCAGAGCCAAUCCUAAAACCCAGGAGGAGAUAUAAACCCUUAUCAUCACUCUAGUAAUUCCAUGCUCUACUUAUCUGAGUGACAGAAGUUGUAUGUUUUUAAUAUGUACUAGAGUACUAGAGUUAGGUGAAAUGUGAACUUCCUGGCGGAUAUCCCUGUAAUAAAAUGUCGCUCAUGACUGUUGUGCCUGUUUUACUGUUGGUAAUUUUUUUUGUUGCAUUUUAACCUGCCUUUGCUGACAUCCAAAAUAAGCCACUAGCAAGUCAUGGUGCAUGCAAUAGUUUCUCACCCUUAGCUUCCUCUCUCACAAAACAUCUGUUUCCUAGUUUAAAGUCAUUGAGUUUCCUAAAAACUUAACUGUGCUAUUUCACAACAAUUGCUUACAUUAAGAAGCCAAGCUAAGAGAUUCUUUCAUGCCCAGCCCACAACAUAAAAUACAUUUUGGUUAAAUAACAUUAUUACAGGAGUGGCCAACAUUUGAUGACUAGGAUUACUUGUGCUUGUUAAAAAUAACUACCUUUAAAUCUACAUACCUCUGAAUCCCACACACAUAAUAGGCAAGCCCACACUCACUCAUACCAACAUACCACACUCUUGCAUACAUACAGAGUAUCCAUUUAACAAUUAAUUUAAUAAUGCAUAAGAAGGCAGCCUGUGGAAUAUUUACCUAGAUAUUUAUCUAAUAUUUAUCUAAAUAUUAAUGUUUAUGGUUUCAUUGAUGUAAUGCUUAGUUCACAGUAUAGCCAUAUGGUGUAACCGCAUCAUUAUUAUUAUUAUUAUCUCCAUUUAUAUAUACGCCAACAGAUUCCGUAGCGCUUUACAAUAUUAUGAGAGGGGGGAUUUAACUAUAAAUAGGACAAUUACAUGAAAACUUACAGAAACAAUAGGUUGAAGAGGACCCUACUCAAAUGAGCUUACAGUCUAUAGAAUUAUAUUUGUACCUAAGACAGGUGAUUUUAACUUGCUUUGAUAGAUUUAAAUCAGUACACUUUAAAUGCACAUUGAUCAUUAUUUGUGUAUAUUGUAUACAUUUGGUAAUUUCGGCGGCACCAUAAUUAAAUAUUCUGGGCAAUGCUACUCAAAAUAUCUCGUCAAAUCCUCUACUCCACUCCUAAAGAGCAAAUACACAGCUGCUUCACUGCACAGCAUGCUAAGGGUCUUGUUGACAGGUCGAUUGUGUGAUUGCCCACAGUUAAAGAUACCUUGGACACUGAGGUCACUGGGGACAAAGAGAAUCAUUUUGUUUAUCACACACCUCAGCACUUCUCACCACCCUCAUUCAAUGUCUCUCCUCUCAUUCUAAAGAUCUUCUUCAUCGUACUUCACCUCAUUCCAUGACUCCCUCCUUUCGUGCAUAUUUAUCAACCCAUCUACUUCCGCUAAUUGCAUUUUUCACAUUUAUCUGACUCUUCAUUUAAUAGAUUCAAUUUCCCUUACUAAGUGUCAUUCCACUAGUUCAGUGUUUCCCCCAUUACACCAUCACUCUACACCCCAUCAUUCCAUAGUGUGUGUUCUUUUUCUAUCUAUGGGCUCUACUCACUAGAUGGCAAUCCUUUCACCCUGUACCCCUUCAUCAUAAUUUAUUUACGCUCUCCUCAUUCCAUGACUAAAUGUCAAUUUUAUCAUUCUAUAUCCCUCACCCAUCAUCCCAUGUCCUUCCAACACUUUAUAUCUCCAUUAUUGCAUUGUGUGCUGGUCCCCUUUCUAUCCAGAUAAUCCUCUUUGUCAGUCCAUUUUUUGUAUCUUUUUUUGUGGCUGUACCAUAAACUAGGCCAAAGAAAAUCUCAAACUGCUCAGUAACAGACAGAUGUACCAUGGUUCUCUCUUUGCCAUGUUGCACUGGGGAUGGAAUACCCCAGAGUUAUAACAGUUAUUUACUAAACACCAUUUUUUUGUGAAUUGAAUGCAAACCACAAAACUGAGACAAACACAGCCAAGUUGUGACUAUGGCUCUGUUGGAGAAUUUUUCCCGAUCAUCUAUAUUUUGGAUUUAAUUAGCAAAAAUGUAUAUAACCUUAAUAGGUCCCUGUGUUAGACUUAAAUGAACAUUCCAUGGACCAUAACCACUACAGCCCACUGUAGUGGUUAUGGACUCUCUUAGCGUAAUCUGUCAAACUGUUUUAGAAAGGUUUGUCAAUCUACCUGGGUACGCAGGCCCUAUCCUGCAGGAAACUCCAAAUGUCUUUAUUGUGCUAAGCCAGGCUGAUCCACGAUGACCCUCAUUGGAUGAGAGCACUCAGCUGAUGCUCUUAGCCAAUGAGUGUGGCUCUGCAUGCCCCGCUAAGCAUACUAUCCUGCAGGGAAGUUAUGUAUAUGACUAUGGACGUCUGGCAAGACCCAUGUGAAUUUUCAAACAGUUCUAAAAUGAUUUUUCAAAUGACUCUUCGAGGAUUGCAGGACACUCCUGGCACCAUAACCACUACAGUGGUUGUUGUGUUUGAAUUGUUGUUUUUUUUACCUUUUUUCCUUAUAGGCAGAUUCAGAAUCACAAACACCCUCUGUAUCAAACUGUACUCAAUUCAAGUACCUCAAGCUAUACUAUUUUAUGGAGUUAAAGUAUCAUAUCUUUACCACUAUUUAUAGCUGACCACUCACAUUGAGAUUUAAAGUGUGUUUAGGCACAUUAAGUCAAAGUCUAAUUUUGCAUAAUAUUUUUCAUGUAUGUACGUAGUGGGGAAUCGUGAUGCAGCCUAGCACAAAUCUAAACCCAUUUACCCCCCCAAUAACGACAGACCACUUAGUAUGGAUGAACAGGCCACAGCAUUUAUUAUCACAAACUAAAUUACUGCAUAACACAUCCAUAACUUUAUUUAUUAAAUCUCUUCUUUCUGUAACCAAAACGUUAGACAUAAAUAAUCCUAAAUUAAUAUAUAUACAUAUAUAACUCCACCCAUAGUGUUAUACAGUGACCCAACCGUCCUGGCCAAUAAACAUACAGUGGUUCCUAAUCACCACUUCGUCUCACCUCCCCCCUCGUCAUAAAAAUCAUAUAUUUCCAAUGCCCACCAUCAGCCGACUUUAUCCACGCUCGAUGGGCACGACACCUCAGGCAACCUAAUGUUUAACCUUUUGAAGCAGGGGAGGUUGAGACCUAAAAAACUUGUUCAUCUCAUUCCAUAUACUUAAGCGUAACCACUCAAACUCAAUUGGCAAGGACAUACCCCCGGCUAGCUGUGAUGAAAUAUACCAAUAGGGCGGGCGGGAGGGAAGCUGUUCGCUGGCCCAAAUCCCAAGUGGCACUGAGGUAAGACCUCCCCCACACUAACUUACACAGAACAUAAUCCCACCCACACACUCUUCCCAACCAAUCCCAUGCAUCUAUCCCCACACUCCUACAUGUGCCCUUGUCCGCUUAGCUGCGCUAUCUCCCCAGGGCCUCAAUGCUCUUAAAACAGAUUUAUGAAAUACACUUUAGCUCAUUUAGCACUAGCAGUAUUUAAGUUGUCUUCCAUGUUGGAAUUAGUGUAGGACCAACGGAUAUUGGGGUACUGUGUCGUAGUGGUGGGCUGAAUCCCCAUAUAUGUUUGCUGAGAGGGGAUUUUAAGUAUCCUUAAAACAUCUAAAACUGUAUUUUUGUGUGUGCUCUGUUCCUUUGUAUUUAUUCUGCAUUUUGUAUAAAAGUCUGAUACAAGGCGUCAUCUAUCUCCUGACAUUAACUAAAGGUUCAUCUUUACCAAUUAAGUUGAAAACAGGGACAAUUUAUUGAAUGCUUCCAUUUCAGACAAUAUAUCAACUGAUGUUUGAUUCUUUUUCUCCACAAAAUAUAUACUUAACAACAUGUUAUGUUCAUGCUGGCAUGAAUGAAAGCUUUUUAUCGGUGAUUCAUAUUAUAUGGAAAAUAAAAUGUGUACUGUUUAGUUUAAAGAGGAAUGACUCCUUUAAAUCCUUGCUUCACAAGAUCAUUGUGCUUUUGGAAACCUGCACAUUCUAAUAGCUAUUCUCCUUAAUGCAACAUUCCUUGUUCCUUUUUACUGUCUAAAUUUAGAAAAAUGUUAGUUUCUAAGACUCCAAGAAAUAUAAAUGUGCUAUUUUUACACUAAAAUAAAUCCAGCUCAUAUUGGCAAUAUACAGUAUUUAUAAGCCAGGGAUCAAUGUGAAAGGUUGAAUAAAUGCAUAUGUUUGCUGUUAGAGGUUUUAUUUUACAAUUUAUUUCGCAAUGAACCAGACAGAAAGGCAGCUGUGUUAUCACAGUCAUAUCUUCACUUCCUGUCACUGGUAAGUCCUCCACUACUGAGAAAACAGUCAAAGUUUCCCUACAUGGGCCUUUCAGAUAGAGAAAUUUCUCAUAACGAGAGGAGGGCUUUAGUUUCUCAUUAUGAUAGCUGUCUGUGAUGCACCCUGUCUCCUGCUGCUCACACAACAUAUUCAGCACAGAUCUGUCUCCGACUGCUGGUCUGCAAGACCUCAUGGAGCACCCAGUUUCCUUCCUCUUCUCUCAUGCUCCAAAAUGACUAUACAGCUGCCUCUUGACUGUAGAAAUAUUCAGAUCCUUAUUGGUUAAGUGGGCAAAAGGGUUAUCUAGAGGUUACGGUUCAGUCAACUUGUCUAUUUAUAUUUCAAACUCUAGCACAAUAAUUUUAAUUCCAGACAUGAAGGAAAUAUUAAAUUGUCAGGAUAUCACCCCUGCUUGCACACAGGUGUGUCAUUGAAAAGGAUUAUUUCACUGCAUAAAUUAGUUCACUGGAUUGUUUGUGCCCAACAAAACAAUAUGUAUGAUGAAGACAAAACCAGCUAAAGAAUGGACAAGGCGAACUUUUGACCGAGGUCUCAACUGCAGAGCCUUCACAACUUUUUAUCAUUUAAUACAUUACUGUGGUGUAUAAGGAAAUGUUACUGGAAUAAAUAAAAUUAUACAAAAGUUCUAUGGUGUGUUGGAGUAUGUAUGUGUGCCUUAUGCCUAAAUAUGAAAGGGCAAUAUUGCAUGCCUCCCAAAAUCUCAAACGGUCAAAGGAGGACCCUUUAAUUGUGGAGGUAUGAUGAAGGGUGGGGCUUUUUUGAUAACUUUAAGGUUACUUACUAAUAGUUUAUUUAACUAAAAUGUAUUUUAAAACAAGAACAAUGUCUCUUAUUUACACAGACUGAUUUCUAAACACAUUUAUUGUAGUUUAAGGAGCAAGGCUUUUUUGACAUGGUAUGCGUUUGCGACCGAGGCCUUUUUGGCGUUUCUGCCAUGCAUUCAUUCCACAACUUCCUCCUUUCAGUUUAAGUGCACCCAUACAUAUUAUUAUAUAUGAUUUUUAAUGGAGAAAUGGGGCUUUCUUUUGAUACCCUAUAUAUUUGUGUAAUGCAAUAUUAAAUAGGCAGAAAAACCUUUUUUUGUUGUUGUCAGUUUUGCAUGCAAUAUUUUCUACACACCAAGUACAAGUACAGAAGACUACUCAAAAUAGAUUCAUUAAUUAGUCCUAAUUGUAAAAAUACCCAAUAUAUAUCUAGGAUUUUAAUUAAUUUUUAGAAGUUAUAAAACCAAUACGGCAAUUGGUGAAUUAUGAAAAUGAAAUUAUGAAAUUGUCCAUGAAUAGAUUACAACUUCAGUAGGUACAGAAUCCAAAACUGCUAAACAAAAGUAUAAAUAUGUUAAAAAAAAAUACAUCCUACAGACUGUGUAAUUAAGAGCAGUUUGACACUUUUUAUUUAACCGUUUUAUCACAAACCUAGGUCGUAAUUUUUCUUUGUGGGUAUUUUCCCCACACGUUUUAUUUUGGGGAAAUUCAACAUGGAUGUCCCACUACUGCUAACACCACAUAUUUGUAUUGUGCUUUUGUUCUCGAGGACAAUGAUACGCUACAUGUAUACCACUUCCCCUAAUCCAAGUCAUAAUCUAGCCCAUAAUCUAACCCCUUUUUCUACCAAUAAUCCAACCUCUAAUCCUACCCAUAAUCCAUCCCUAACCUAACCAAUAAUACUACCUAUAAUCCAAGUCCUAAUUGCACCCUAAUCCAACCUCCCGCCUGCAGAGGUACUACGUCAGUAGAGGUAUUUCCCAGCUCACACAGUACAUAAUGCUCUGUGAGUCCUCUCUACAGUGUGAUUGCAGCAUGAGGCUUGAUUAUUCAUACUUGAAUAAUCAAUUUCUUGAUUGAUAUUAUGGACUAUAUAUUCAUAUGUUUCGAAAUACGAUUUAUUUUUUUUUCCUUCAUCAUUUUAUUAUAUUUCUCAGACUCCUGUUAAUUUAUAUUGUUUUACUAUGAAAUAACAGUUAGUUUGCCUACUGCCUCUUGAUAAAUAAUAGUUUUAUUAAGUUCUGUAGAUACCUGUAUGUGCCAGUAGACACAGACUUAUUAAUGGCUUCAGUACUGCUUGCCUACUUUUACAAAGAUUUUUGCAGCCCUGGGUCAAAAAAUGCAUUGGUUUUAUGUAUUACUUAUCUUAAAAUAAACCCUUUUAAAGUUUUUUACAAAGCAUGACAUUUCUACAAAGAUAUUAUCGACCACCUAAACAGCAAAAAUAUUUAAAUCGUAAAGAACUAAUACUAUUUCCCAUUUCCAGGUCAUUUUUGUUUUGUUACUUGUGUAGAGAGUGUGAGUUUUCAUAAUGAUUUGCUUAAUUGGUUAUCUUUAGUUACAGACACCAUGAACAGUUUCAGGUAAAGGGGAAGUCCCAUUAGAAGCCACCACUGGGUUCCUAUUAGCAGAUUGAGUAGGCUGAUAUAUGAUUCAUCGUGGUCCAUUUCUAAAGGUUGUGGUAAAAAAAAAAACCAAAAAAAACUUAUGCAGAACAUAUUAAGUAUUAAAGUGGCUUUGACGUGUAAAAAUAAAAGGAAAUUAAAGAAAUAAAAAUGUAGAACUUGCUCAAAAGCCACCCUCGGCUGGGACGCAGGACGGUGUGGGCCAUGGCAGGGGGACAACUCCCCUUGUACCUUGACUAUCCUCUAUCCCCCUUUUCUAACCCCCUCUUUUCCCAUCUGCCUACACACCGGGAUUUGGGGUCCCGGGGCUGGGGCCGAAUGAGUUGACGGUAGAUAAGCAGAUACCGUAGUGGCACUAAUGAGUGAUAGGGACGAACAAAAUGUACACUCACGUAAGUUCACGGAUAAAACACGAUGACCUCUAACCCAAGACGCGGAACUUCGAGACCCUUCGGGGCCUGUUUGCCCGACACUUAGACGGGUAUUACUUAAAUAUGACGGACCUUUGAUAACCCGAUUGACAUACAUCUCAUCCCCCCCUGCAUGCGGGUGCAAUACCCAUACUACACGGAACCUCGACGCUUCCCACACGUUAGCUGGCGACAAGGACUCGGACACCACGACUGGGAUAUAGGGAAGCCUGAACAACGCGCGAGCUCUGCCAUAGGAAAUGGUCAUGGGAAAAUUCUAGACUCCGAACGCUUCACUUAAGCUAUAUGUCGAUACAUGCUCCCAAUAGGGUUUGGUUCUCGGAGUCUCACUGGGAUGAUACCCCGUUAUCUCCCAUAUUGUAACGAAGUGAGCACAUGUGCUCCUAAUGGGGGGAAGGAGCUCCAGAAACCCCCGUCCCGAAAUGUUGCAGUGGACCCGUAUCCCCACUGGUCCCGUGGACACACCGGCCACCGGGCGUGUGAGUUAUGUGUGUGUUUUUUCUUGAGUUCCCCGAGUUCUCUCUUACUUAUGUUUUACAAAUGUUCCCUGCCUGCUCUGACCUGCGUGCCAUAAAGUUUCACCUUUGGUGUAGCCCCAAACAUGUAAUUUACCAAAUUGUCCCAAGAUAUGUUCAGAUAAGCGGGCUGCUACUUGCUCCAUGUAAUACUGGUAGUGACACAUUGCCCACUAACCCCCACCAUGUAUAUUUAUUCAGGUACACAUGGCAAAUCCACUAGAGACCUGCGAACCCAAAUUACAUUUGGGCCCAAGAGCCACUUUACUGGCAACCGUUUGGUUACCCCAUCAGCUUACACACUUGGCUUAUUGUUGUUCUGAUUACGCACUACAACUGUGGAGACCUGCGAGUCUCGAUGUUAUAAUCUCACAAUCUCCACAACCAACGAUAUAUACUUCCGGAUAGGGAUCGAAGGUUAAGCUAAUGUAGGGAGGGAAGGUAGGGAAAGAAAUUGAAAAAGAAAUAUUCUGGGAUGCUUGGAAUAACGUUUGAAGAUAAUGGUUGUUGGUUAUAGCACUGUUGUUUUAUUGCAACUUGAUAACGUAUUGUAUAACUGCACUCUUAUACACCUGUCAAUAAAGAUAUUUACUAAAAAAAAAACUUGCUAAAAAGCCCAGAUAUAAAAUGAUACCUUUCAAUGUUGGAAGGUAUGAGCACAGGAUGAGUCUGGGGCAGGCCAUGUUUGGGCAUGCUAAUGAAGUAUGCAUGUCAUUGAUGUCACAGGGGACCUUACUGGACACCUGAAAGCAAACCUUAGACAAUGGUACAACAGGCCAAAUUUCACACAUACUCAUAUGGGAUUUCUAUAAGAUUAUGAAAAUAUUAAAGCAAACUCGUUUUAGCAAAUUCUUACAAGGACGUCACGCCACAUGUUUGUUUAAGAAAUCAACACAGCUCUGUGGCCUUUAACCCCUUAAGGACACAUAAUGGAAAUUUUGCUGGCCUUUUACUUUUGAAGCAGUGUCCUUAAGGAGUUAAUAAAUAAAUCCUUAUAUAUCUUAAAUUUAUAUUAUUCCAAAGUGUAAUAAGUGACGGAGACAUCUAAGAAAGUAUUAUUAAUUAUUGAAGAACUUUGUUAUGUCCCUCUGUAUCUUUGUAGUUUGAUAGUGAAACCCACGCAUCACUGCAUAUAAUAAGCCACUGUAGGAGGUAGGAGACAACUGUUUUAAGUCUUUAAUGUUAUAUACUAUGUUUAUUAGUGUCAACAUACAACAUUUUAUUUACACCUUGUGGCAUUAUUAGAAAGCUGAAUUUCUAUAAAUGCCAACAGAUGUCUUACUAACGUCCAUAAGAAAUAUAUUUGACCAUUUUUUACAUUUAUUUAAAAUUUGUCUUGUCACACAUACUGUAUGUGGCAAAGUGGCAUUUCUAAAAUAUAAAAUAAAACAAGAAUUGUGUGAAUUUACCUGAUUCGUUUUUUAAUACAAGAAAUCAGCAGUAAAAGAUGUAUACAAAUUUGAGAAAAAUUUAUUUUUCAUAUUUUUUUUAUAGUUGUUACUUGUCCCGUCCAGCGGUGGAACCAGGGCUGCCAUCAUAAAUGUUGGGGCCCCUGACACAGCUCAAGGUCUGGGCCCCCCGGCCCCCCAGUCCGUCCAAAGUGCUUCCCCCCUCCCACCCUCCCCCCCCGAAUCCCAUCACAAUGGGACAUCACAAUGCCCCACCCAUAUGAUCUGCCAUGAUAACUAACACUAGUGCUGCAGUGCCGCUGUGUUUACAUUAAAAGGCCUGCAGGGACAGGCUAGACACCAGAACCACUACAUUAAGCUGCAGUGGCUCUGGGGACUAUAGUGUCCCUUUAAUGUGAGGUAAAUUAGAGAUUAGUGCCACGAAUAAUAUACUAGAUUACAACCAGAUGAGGAUGAUGAUGGGCUCUAGCUGCCGUCUGACUCCACUGGUCUGGUGUACAACAGGCUCUCUGGAGGCGGUUUGUAACUGUGGUCACAAAAAUCACUGUUCUGGGAGAACGGGAAGCAGCUCCAUUUUUUUGAGGGCCCUUUACACAGCUCAAGGUCUGGGUCCCAGGGUCCACCUUCAUGUUCCACCAAUGAGUUUGUUCACAGGGAGUGGAGUGUGUGUGUGGGGGAUGUCCUGAUGUGUGUAAGGAAUGCAUUGUGUGAAUCUGUGUUUGUAUGUGUAAGGGCUGCAAGAUGAGUUUGUGUAUGUAUGGGAUGCAGUGUGUGCGUCUGUAAGGGAUGCAUUGAGUGUGUGUAAGGGGUGCAUUGUGUGUUGCUGUGUGUAAGGGAUGCAUUGCUUGUGUACGUGUGUCUGUGUGUAAUGCAUUGUGUGUUUUUCUGUGUGCAAGGUGUGCAUUGUGUGUGAUGGAUGUCAAUCUCUCCCCCUCCCCCCGUCAAUUUCCUUCUCCCCUCCCUCCCUCUCUCCAAUUUCCUUCUUCUCCCCCUCCCUCUCCAAUUUCCUUCUUCCCCCCUCCAAUUUCCUUCUUCUCCCCCUCCCUCUCAAUUUCCUUCUUCCCCCCUCCAAUUUCCUUCUUCUCCCUCUCAUUUCCUUCUCUCCCCCGUCCCUCAAAUUUCCUUCCCCUCCUCCCGUCCCUCAAAUUUCCUUCCUCUCCCCGUCCCUCAAAUUUCCUUCCUCUCCCCCGUCCCUCAAAUUUCCUUCCUCUCUCCCUCCCUCAAAUUUCCUUCCUCUCCCCCCUCCCUCAAAUUUAAUUCCUUUCCCCCCUCCCCCUCAAAUUUAAUUCCUCUCCUCCCCUCAAAUUUCAUUNNNNNNNNNNNNNNNNNNNNNNNNNNNNNNNNNNNNNNNNNNNNNNNNNNNNNNNNNNNNNNNNNNNNNNNNNNNNNNNNNNNNNNNNNNNNNNNNNNNNCUCGCAUCAGUACGGUGCGCGAGGGAGCUGAAGAGGAAGCACACAGAGAGUGCUCCCUCGCGCGCCGGACCGCCCGCCGGGUGUCUGCAGGGCCAGCCUCUGGGGGCCCCCCAGGAGAAGAGGCUGGCCCUGUGGGUACAUACCGGGUCGCAGGGCCCCCUGCGACCCGGUAUGUACCCACUGAAUGUGGGGCCCGCAGUCCGGGCCCCCCAGGACCGCCGGGCCCAUGACAACCGUUGCGGUUGUCAUGCCCUGAUGGCGGCCCUGCGUGUGUGUGUAUAGGUCUGUGUGUGGGUCUGUGAUUGUGUGUAUAUAUUUGUACGUAUGUGAUUGUGUGUAUAUGUUUGUGAUGGUGUGUAUAGGUUUGUGAUUGUAUGUGGGUGUGUGUGGGUCUGUGAUUGUGUGUAUAGGUCUGAGUGUGUACACCUGUAAUUAUGUGUGUGUAUGUAUGCGACUGUAUAGGUCUGGGAUUGUGUGUGUGUUUAUAUUUGGGAUUUUGUGUAUAGGUCUAUGAUUGUGUGUGUGGUUAUGUGUGCAUAUGUAUAUACGUGUGUGUGUGUGUGUGUGUGUAGAUGGCUCCCUAAAUUGGUAUCUUUAAAUAUGGCAAUACCACAUAAGGAUAAUCAAUAACAAAUAAGGGAGUUAUAUACUAAACAGAUUUUAUAUGCAGCCCAAUUCCUCUGCACUCAAUGUGGCCCAGGGAAGUCAAAAGGUUGGACACCCAUGGUAUAUAGAUCAUGCCUCUGAAGAUUCACUGCUCAAUUCUCUGCAAUUUAGUAGUUGGGUUUACAAAGGCUACAGAUACUCGAUCUGCUGCUUUUGCAAGCCAAUAUUUCAUAUAUCCAUAAAGGAAACAUUAUAAACAGUUUACAUUGUUUAUUUAUUUAUGCUGUGUAGUGAGUGCUUAGUCUGUUUUAUUUGUCUGAUCUCCUCUUCACUACCCAGCUCAGUCUAAGAACAUGGCUGGGAUCCAGGAAGAGGAGUGCUUGUGAUCUGUGAGAAGAGGCUGGGAUUAAAGUUAAGAAAAACGCAUUUAAGAUUUUCCAUGUAUACAAAAUUGUGUGUUUUUCUUAUUAACUUUAAUCAAUGCUCCAACCUACCUGUGCCCUGAAAUGGCCAAGGAAAAGUUUAACUGGAUCCUAAAUUAUAGGCAAAUCUGUCAAACCCUAUUUAAAUUGAACUUCUACUUUUUGAUACAGAAUAGGUACAGAUUUUUCCCAUUUUUACAUUUUUCUUAAUGCUUGCAAAAAAAUAAUUAUUCUGUUCUCUUCCCAAAUGUGCCUGUGGGACUUGGCAUCCUAUAUGCUGACACACACUCACUGCACACUGCAGUAAAUGACUCAUUUAUAAAUGUAUUCUGUGGAUGAAACCCUAACUAGGACAGGUUUGUUGUUGGCACCCAAUCCCACAGCUUGAAAGCUGUCUGGUAGAUGAUAUGCAUUCUUAUACACCUCUGGCAGAAACUGAUCCUAAACCCAUUUCAGGUUAAAGGGAAGCUACACUGAUCCGAUCACAUUAAAACCACCUACCUAAUAUCGUGUCAGUCCCCCUUGUGCUCCCAAAAUAGCUCUGAUGCAUUGAGGCAUGGACUCCACAAGACCUCUGAACAUGUCCUGGGAUAUAUGGCACCAAGACAUUAGCAGCAUAUCCUUUAACCCCUUAAGGACCAAACUUCUGGAAUAAAAGGGAAUCAUGACAUGUCAGACAUGUCAUGUGUCCUUAAGGGGUUAAGUCCUGCAAAUUGCGAGGUGUGGCCUCUGUAGAUCAGAUUUGUUGUUCCAGUACAUUCCACAGAUGCUCAAUUGGAUAGAGGUGUGAGUAAUUUUGAGGCUAAGGCAACACCUUGAACUCUUAGUCAUGGUCCUUAAACCAUUCCUAAACCAUUUUUUGCAGUGUGACAGGGUAUAUUAUCCUGCUGACAGAGGCCACUGUCAUCAGGGAACACCAUUGCGAUGAAAGGGUAUACAUGGUCUACAACAAUCCCUAGGUAGGUGCAUGUCAAAGUAACAUCCAUAUGCAUGCCAGGACCCACGGUUUCCUAGCAGAAUAUUGUCCAGAGCAUAACCCUGCCUCCAGCGGCCUGGCUUUUUCCUAUAGUGCAUCCUGCUGCCAUAUCUUCCCCAGGUAGAGGUCGCAACCAGCCAUCCACCUCUAAAACAAAAAAGGGUUUCAUAAGACCAAGCAAGUCUUCCAUUGCUCUAUGGUCCAGUUCUGAUGCUCACUUCCCCAUUUAAAGGUGCUUUUGGUGGUGGACAUCCUGCUGAUGUCUUUUGCGUUUUUGUUCAAUAGAAUUCUUCUCACAGAGAAGCAUUGGAGACAAGAUACUUACGCGCAGCAAUAUACUAGAUUCUUUCGUUCAAAUACUCGCUUUGAAAACAUUGGAAUUUCUAUUAAACGGCAAUAUCCAGCCAUAGACACAAGGGUUAACAGACUAUGGGCACUGCACACAGACCACUUCUGAAAUGGUCUUGGUGCUUAUAAUGUCCCUUUAAUAGUGUUUUUUUGUGCAUAGACUCUGUCCCUUUUUUCAGAGAAAUAGCAGUGUUUACAUUGGUCUUAAACCAUGCCUCUAGAGCCUGUUAUACCCACAGUUAUUAAAGGUUCAUGUAGAUACUUUGAAAAUCAAAGUUCUUCUCGUUUUGUCAUCAUCAUGCCCAGUAGGAUGCCCACUAUGUCUCCAAUGUAUAAGAAGCAUGGGAUUAGUCAAAAGUUAUCAAUCCUGAUAACUUCACUGGAAGUAGAGCAUCUGGCUUGGCACGGGAAUAAAGAUGAGUUUUAUAGAGAUUUUUUUUUUUUUACUUUUCUAAAAAAAAGAAAUGGUUGGGACAAUAAUCAAAAUAUCAACUCUCUAAUAUUAUAAAUAAAUAUAUUUAUUUUAAAUUCUAGUGUCCUUAUAACCUUUGAUACUGGAUAUUAACACUUUGCUUCACAGACAUCCAUUUCCUGCUGCAAUAUAUUUAUCUUAUGCAAGCAUUUAAAUCUUGGCUUAUAAAAAUAUAUUUGCUAAUUAACUUAUAGUACUUCACUUAAUACUUGUAGUCUGGAAACCAAGUGCUGAUGAAGGGACAGGCUCAAAGAUUUAAGACAUUAAGCAAUGGAAGAAUUGGCUGUUUCUGCUUCCAAUUAGAUUUUCCAAUAUAAUCUCACGUGGCUAUGCCAGAGAAUGUUUCUAGAAUUUGCUGAAUUUCUCCCAAUUAAUACAUUACGUUUUGAAACAUCAGCUCUUGAAUGAAACGAAUCUUGCACACCCCAUUUAUGCUUCUUUUUAUGUAUAUGCAAUUUAUUUGUAUUAUUUCCUAUAGCUGUUGGCAUUUGUACUUCAAAAAUCCAUUACCUUUUGGAUAAUAAAAACCUUUUAUUGUGUUAGCACCCUUUCUGUUACAUCUGUAAUCACAUUUUGCUUCCUUUCUUGGUAGCAAAGCGUAAAUAAUGUUUGUUUGGCAAUUUGAAGAUGUCCAAAAUUUGAUGCAGUGUCAGAUAUUCACAAAGAUCAUGAAUUUUAGGGUGAAAUGCAGUUUGAAAUAGUUUAUAUUUAUUUAGCAGUUACUAGAUAUAUUUGCCUGUACUUGCCAGUUUUCUCUCUGUUUCAGUAUUCAUCAGCUUCCCCCUCCACAGCAGCGGGGUCAGCUAGAGUGAACAGGGCUAACAUGGGAACUCAACAGCCAAUCAGGAUGGAAAGGUGGGGGGCGUCGGGCAGCAAUAAAGGGAAAUGUUCAGGCUACAAAACCUUUAUAUUAUUUGAACAAUGCAGUUAAUAAAAACAUGCAUUUUAUUUUAUUUAUUUAUUUUAAACUCUCUUUCUAACUGCCUAAAAUCCUAUCUUUUUGGUUUCGUUAAGCUAUAGAGCUGCUUGUUGCUGUUGAGCCAGUCCAUUCUCUUUUUGCCCUGAUCUUACUUCAUUUUUAGUGCAAGGCAGUGACCUGUCAAAUGUUACUUAUAAAGAAACAAAAUCUAACAUAUUAUGGACACUCACCCAGAUAACAAGUUGGUUAUAUAAAAAAUAAAUACAAUAAUAUGUUUGAAAUCGGGUUUUUUUAUUUUUAAAUUCUUUAUUUUAGCAGUGGCAUGUAUCAGUAUACAGAACUGGCUGCAUAAUGUGGCUUGCGCAGAAGCCAAAUAUGUAAUUGUCAAUACAGCGAAAUGAAAGCGGGUUUUUGUUGUUUUUUUUUUUUUUUUUUAAUUCUUUAUUUUGUCGUGCAUAAAUGGUACAAAAAGUACCUAUUCUGUCACAACAGCAGAGAUAGGUUAUAAACAGGCAUACAUUCGUGUGACAAAGAGUUAUUAAUGAUUAUACAGCACUUUUUUGUGUUAAUCUAUUGCGUUUGAUAGGGCAUGUCAGAGGUUAAAUGAGAUCUUCCUAGGGUGUACAAGACAUGUCAAUGCUCAUGAGUAAUAUCAAGCCUAAAAUUAAGGUUGGGUUCGUGGUUCUGAGACUAUGCGUGCAGGGAAGAUGCUUUGGUUGUAGAUAGGUGUCAGUAGUAGCUCUGAAACGUGUUCUUAGCAUACAGUACCGUGUAGAUCCUAUAUGUGGAAUUAAUUCCAAUGUGGGAUGCUGCUUAUCUGUGCUAUGGUGUCGUAGUGAAUUUGCUAUCCCUUCGGUUGCAUUUUCUCAGUAUGGUGCUCAGUGAUAGGUGUGUACUGUUUGAUACCCCUAACCAAGGGGGUCAGCGGGGGGGGUAGGGGGUUGUCAUCUCGUCUAUUGGAUGUGUGUGAGUUGGCGCAGUGGUAGGUGUCUGUGGCGGAUUCGGGACCCUUAAGGGGGGUCCCGGUGUCCGGUGGGUGUAGGUAGGUAACCCUAUUAUUUAUGUCAGGAUUUGAACUGCGCCAUGCUGUGCAACUUGCGAACUAUGAACUGAUGUAUAAACAUUCUUAACGUAAGUAUAGGUAUAAGCUGCUAUCACUCAAGCCCUAAUUUGAGCUGCACUAUGCUGAGUAACAUAUAAACAGGUAAAUAAACAUUCUAUCGUUAGCGGUGUCCAUAGACCCGGUUAUUCAUACUCUCUGUGCAGUGUCCUUGGGGUUAUUUCUUUCAGCUGCAUUCAUGUGGACUGUUGGUGUGCUGGGGCGGUGUGUGGGAUGAAGGGGACACUGUUAUCCCAGGUUCUCUCUAGGGUUUGUGUGUCCGCCGCUUUCAGUCCCAGAGUUUCAAGAAAGGUCGGGGCUUCUGCAAGAGAGGUAAGCGUGUGGGUAGUCCCAUUGUGAAUGGCCAACAGCGAUCCUGGUGCCCCCCACCUGUAGCUCAUGUUGGCUGCUCGCAGUUGUUGGGUCACUGGGUGGAGUGACCUGCGCCAUUGGAGGGUGGCCCUCGUUAGGUCUUGGUAAAAGGUUAGGCUGGAGUUUUCAAAUGAUAGUGGGGUUUUGCCCCGCAGUGCCGCCAUUAUCUGUCCCUUGUCUAGUGAGGAUAUGCAGCGUAGGAUGACAUCACGUGCUGUUUGUGAGGGAGCUCUUGGGGGGGCCUGCUACCCGGUAUAUACCAUCGGUUACCAUUUUUCUUGCCAACGCUGGAGGUAAGAUUGUUGCUAUUAGCCUUCUUAUGUAAUGUGGCAGCUCUUCUGAUGUGACACUCACUGGAAUGCCACGGAUUUUGAUAUUAUUGCGUCUAUGGCUGUUCUCGAGGGCAUUCAAGUCCAGGGUCAGAUUGUGUUGGGACUUUUGGAGCUGUUGCACCGAGGCCUGUAAGUUUGUCAAAUUUGUUGUGACUUCUGUCAUGUCAGCCUCUGUAGCACGCACCCGGUCGUUUGUGCUUCGUAAGUCAGCUCUUAGUCCUGCAAGCUCCUUCGCCAGCAUUUUGUGGAAAUCAUGCAGGAGUAUCUGCAGGUCAUGUUUUGUCGCUGGUGGCGAUCCCCCUGGGGGAGCUGGUGGUAUGGUGCCGAAGUUGGUGCUCCCUGGUUGAUCAGUGUGGUCCAUUUGUGCAGUAGCUGACUGGCUUUCUUCUGGGGCUGGUUUGGGCCUAGCGGGCCAUUGUAACAUAGCCCCUAUGUCUCUUCCUUCUGUCUGGUAGCUGGCUUUCUGGGAACGUCGUCCCAUGGCAGGCAUGUGGUCCACCAGACUGGGAUGGGGUUCGGUAGACAAGUUAGGUGUCAGGCCUUCAUACACUCCGCCAAGAAGCGCCUUCAGUGGCUGCGUGGAGUAGGCCCCGGCCCUACGUUGCCGUUUGGCGUCGUCUUUUUAAAAAAAAGGGGGGGGGCAUCUAUCGGUGCAGCUCGGUGUCGGGGUAUGGGUCUAGAAUCGUGGGCUCUAUGGAGAUUCUCCAGAUUGAGGCGAGAUCGCAAAGAUUAGAGCCGGAGCUGUCAGCAAUGGCGUCUGAUCAGCUCGGUGGUUAGCUCCGCCCCCUCCCACCCCGUGUGAGAUCCAUUUCUAAACUUUCACAUGAGGCUACUGGGCCCCUUGCAAGUCCUAAAGUUGACCCUCUGCUGGCCUAAUUGGCCUUAGCUGCUUCUCAGUUCUGCGCAAGGAGUUAAGAACACCCCACAGUAAUUAAAUCUCAUGAAGACUAUCUAAUUGGCCCAGUGCAGCCUUUUGCCACUCAUUCACAUUGGGCUCACAAUAUUUUUCAAUGGGAGUUUUUAUGUCCAUUUGUAUUCCUAACACUAUAGUUUACCCUUUUUAAAGAAAUGGUUUUGAUUCAUAGACUGUGCCAUUUAAGAGACACACCAUUGGCCAAAUACAACAAAUGGAAAAAAAACAACUAUUUAGUAGAUAUAGCCGCAGUAUGAAAACAUCCGAGCAAUUAAUCUGUUCUUUUUCAUUGAAAAAGCUUUAGUAUGCAGACUUUGCAAGCCCUCUCCUUCCUCAGGCCAGACUUUCUGGGAGGUCCUCCAUAGACAUCAUUUUCCCCAUCACUAGUAACGACAGACGAUAACUUGCCGAUAUUCUGUGCAUUUACCAUUUUGAAUAAAUAAACUAUUUCUAAAGGUAAAUGCACAAAAUAUACAAGCCACAUGCAAUGUGUUUAGACAGUGGAGCUGUGUGUAUUAGUGUAGUGUGUAUAUAAUGAAUGCAGAGUGUUUGUGUAGUGUGUAUAGUUAAUGCAGUGACUGUGUCGUGUGUGUAUAUAAUGAAUGCAGAGUGUGUGUGUUUGUGUAGAGUGUGUAUAGUGAAUGCAGUGUGUGUGUGUAGUGUGCGUAAAGUGAGUGCAGUGUGUAAAGCGAACGCAAUGUGUGUGUGUAGUGUACGUAUAGUGGAUGCAGGGUGUUUGUAUAGUGUGUGUAUAUAAUAUUAUGUAAUGUAGUGUGUGUGUAUAAAGUGUAGUGUGUGCCUUAUAUACACACUACAUUACAUUAUAUACACACACUACACUAUAUACACACUACACACUCUGCAUUAUAUACAGAGUGUAUAGUGUGUGUUUUCCUGAAGGGAUGUGAUUUGUGUAAAAUGGGGGUGGGGGGGGGGGCAAUCCCUGGUGGUCCAGUGGCAUGUACUGAGCUGUGGGGGGGCCGGCAGCAAGCUUUUACUUCCCUCCCAGCAGCUCCUCCAGCUCCCCAGUGUAAAUCUCGCGGCCAGCGUGCCGUGCGGAGCGCUGCCAUGGUAAGCCAUGGCAACUCUCUGACGGCCGCGGGUCUUGCGAGAUUCCUCUCCCCUCCCUCUGUUUUAGUGUUCUUUCCUCCCUCCUCCCCAGUCCNNNNNNNNNNNNNNNNNNNNNNNNNNNNNNNNNNNNNNNNNNNNNNNNNNNNNNNNNNNNNNNNNNNNNNNNNNNNNNNNNNNNNNNNNNNNNNNNNNNNUUCCCAUAGUGUUCUUCUCCCCCCUGUCCCAUAGUGUUCUUCUCCCCCCUGUCCCAUGGUGUUCUUCUCCCCCCUGUCCCAUGGUGUUCUUCUCCCCCCUGUCCCAUAGUGUUCUUCUCCCCCCUGUCCCAUAGUGUUCUUCUCCCCCCUGUCCCAUAGUGUUCUUCUCCCCCCUGUCCCAUAGUGUUCUUCUCCCCCCUGUCCCAUGGUGUUCUUCNNNNNNNNNNNNNNNNNNNNNNNNNNNNNNNNNNNNNNNNNNNNNNNNNNNNNNNNNNNNNNNNNNNNNNNNNNNNNNNNNNNNNNNNNNNNNNNNNNNNGUGCAGUAUUCUUGACUUUUCAUGUUAUCGUAAGGAGAAGGAGAUUGAACAGAGAAAAAUGUGUACAUUUUAAAUAAACAGGAAAAAAAAGUAUAAAAACAGGUAUGAAACAUACACAUCCACCAACAGACACACUGACACACAUUCAUUGACAGAUACUCACUCAGUGUCAGACACACACACACACUAUGAUACACAUAUACUCACUGGCGAAAACACACACACUCUGUCAGACACACACAUUCGCUAACAGACAUACACAUUGACUGACAGAUAUACACACACUGACACAAACAGACACUCUUACUAACAGACACAGACACGUUAUCCAACAGACACACACACUAGCACACUCACCAACACACGCACACUAACACACUCCCUAACAGACAGACAGACAUACACACCAGCCAAAGAAGUCUCUGGGCGGGUUUUUUGGGGGGGUUGCCUCUCUGAAGUUCCGCCCAACGCAGAUGCCUUGUCAGCCUCGCGGUAAAUUCACAGCCGGAACAAAUACCAGGUAUGCCAGUUGUUAAUAAGUAAUUUAGUGGUGGUAGGUUACCUUGUACAUCAACCAUCAUUAAGGGGUUAAAAGCACUUUAAAGCAAGAUUCACAUCAUUCUUCAGAUGCCCAAUAAUUGAGACUGUUCUUGCAGGUAAUGAAACAUUUUGAAAGUGCUAUUUCUUUCCUGUACUACAGGUUUUGCAGUAAUGAUUUUUCUGAAAAAGAAAGACCCGAGACAGACAAAUUUGAAUCCGUUAAGUGCUUGGACACAGAGUGAAGCUGAGGACAGAAUGCAUCAGAUUUCAAUUUCACAAUAGCACAGGGUACAGUUGUAAUUUAAAUGAUCAAGGAAUAAUAAGCACGGGAGAGAAAGGUAUGUUCAUUUAGCCUAUGGAAAAGACUAUAGUUUUUAUCAGGUUAUUUUCUGCUCUAUUAAGAAUAGCACGUACUACUUCUCUACAAUAAUGACCAUAAAAUGACAGUGCAGUAAUGCUAGGAUUUCAAUUACUGGAUAAGUAGCGAGAAUGCUGCGAUCUGCCAGGAGUUGUUCAGUUUCGCACCAAGGAAAAUGUUAGGAUAAAGAUAUACUGUCUGAAAAUGAAAACCUCAUUCAGUUGUUUUCAUUGACACCUGUGCAACUUUAUAAAUAUUUUGAAAUGUUUUUGUGUCCUGAGCAUAUUUUCAAAGAAAGGCCAAAGUUAUAUCAUUACAAUGAUUGUUAGUUUUUGUUUUUUUGUUUGUUUUUUUUUUUUUUAAUUCUUUUCUUGUUAACAUUUAUUUAGCAAAGUUAUCAAAAACAUUAUGUGAAUAACAGAGUUAUCCUGUGCCGGGAACAGAAAAAAAAUAAACAAGUGUGUGUACUGCAAAAUUUUAAUACAAUAAAAAAUAUCAUGGUUGGUGCAUAUGGUAACAGUGCCAACAUAAUAUUGCUACAUAAUAACAAAACUUAAAGGCAGUAUUUUCAAGAUAUUGCAUUAAAUAGCCAGUGAUUUGGCUAAAUCCCAGAGGAACAGGUACCAGCAAACGGGUACCAAAGAAAGAAGAAUGAGCUGAAAGGAAAUAAAUGUAUCCCAUGGUAGGAGGUAAGGUCUAAAAAGAGUAGAAGUAGAAGUAGAAGAGAGGGAGAAAAAGGGAGGGCAGUGAUAGAACCCUCCAUAUCCAUAUUCUGGAGGUCGAUCGCUGUCAAGUUUGUUUAUUUACAUUAUUGAACCAAAAGCCCAAUCUACACCAAAUCUAUUGCAAUUGCUAACUGUAUGUGAAAUUAGUUUUGAAAGCAGAUAUUAAUGUGGUUUCCGCGGCACUGAGCAAGGUGUGAGAUAGAUAGAUAUAUAUAUAUAUCUGCGAGUUGCAUGGCAGCUGGCCCCCGCGUACUUGGAGCCACCAGCUCGCCUAUCCGAAGGGCCGCAAAAAAGCAGAUAGCAAAAGCGGCCCGGAACAGGAGAACCUAAUCUAUAUAUCUAUAUCUAUUACACACACACACCUCUCCACCUCCUAUUCCUACCAUCUUAAUUAUAUUACUCACGCGUGUAAGCCUGCAGGCCUUGCAUUAGAUAGUUGAACCCUGCAACAUCUAGUACUCCUGUACCAAACUAAUUUACUUUAUAAGAACAGUAAUUCUUUAAAUUUCGUUCUUGAAGUUGUUUGGUCUUUUCAUUUUAUACACAUAUUGCUCUCUUUUUCCAUGUUGCUUACCUUACUUGCUCUGUUUAGUGAAAUAUUGGGUUAAGUAGAUAAAAACUUAUAUGGUCCUAUCGUAUAUAGAUUGAGUGAUUUCAAUUUUAAUUAAUAAGGACUCUCCAGGCACCAAGCUAACGUAUUUUAUAGCUUAUGUAUUUUUUCUGCAGGCCCAAUUAUGUAUGUUUGUUUAGUUUGUUUUUUGCAAAUAAUACAUGUUUUGUAGCCUUUUCUACCUUAAAGUAACACUAUAGAAUCAGGAACACAAACCUAUAUUUCUUACCCCAUAGUGUUAAAUCCACCACUUAGGUGGCUUGCUUCCUUAGAAAGGGUUAACUCAACUUAAUUCCAGCACUAUGUGGGCCACGGUUCUGCCUCCUUAGUAACAUCACCAAAAUUAGAUUUUUUGCCAAGCAUUGGAUUGGCAGAAAUCAGAAGGAGGCAGGAUGGGUGCAGAGCCAAGUGCAGUUUUUGCCAAUCAGCAUAUCCUCCUAGAGAUGCAUUGAAUCAAUGCAUCUCUCUGUGCAGAGCGGGGAGAUACCGAAUGCCAGUGCUGCCUACUGUGCAGCACUGCACCAGGAAGCACCUUCACUGGCCACGUGGAGGUGUUCCUAGGGGGCAAUGGAAACACUGCAUUUUCUCUGAUAGUGCCCAAAGGGAAUGAUUAUUAAGCUGUAGUUGUUCUGGUGACUAUAGUGUCCCUUUAACUCUACAUUUUUUACCCAAACUUUUAUAUUAAAAUAUUUCCUUGCUAGUUCUUGUACCUAUGUACAACCUAUGUAGUUUUCAUUCCUUCAUUGUGCAAUACCACAGUUAACCAGAUCAUCAGGAAGUAAAACUUUCUGUUGAUUAGUAGUUGUGGAAAUAUGGAUGCCUUGAAGAGCAUAUCUUAAUUGUGUGUUUUUUGGUUUUUUUUAUUAUGUCAUGUGUUUACUUAAAAAAACCCAAAAAAAAGUCUUAGCUUCAUGUAUCCAGUCGAUCGCUGUCAUCCACUCUGGGAGAGAGUUGGGUCAGACCUCCGAUCACUAAAUGGGGUACCCAGGGAGUACAUCUGUGCUGUUUGCUUGGUCUUUAGGGAUUAGAGGAUGAACCCUGGCAGGGCCUACAAAAAUAUUGGCCGGGUGAGCAUAAAAUAAAAAUGUAUUACUGACCCUAUAGUGUUAAUUACAAAGUCUAAUCCACCUAAAUAUAGUAAAAUCUUACAUUUAUUCCAGUCUGCUGCUGCUUCCUCUGCCCCUGAGCUUCCUGCUUGGCUGACAUCAUCAGAAGUGUUGAUCUGAGCCAAUCACAAUGCUUUCACAUAGGAGACUGUCAAGGAGGCAGAUCAGGGACAAGCCAAACACAACCCUGGCGAAUCACCUCAUUGAAUCAAUGCAUAUCUAUGAGGAAAGUUCAGUGUCUCUAUGCAGAGGAGGGAGACACUGAGUGGCAGUGCUGCACACUGUGCAGCACUGCCCCCAUGAAGAACCUCUAAUAGUCAUGAGGAGUGGAGGUAUCCCUUGGCUGUAAUGUAAACACUGCUUUUUCUCUGGAAAAAAAAAGUGUUGACUGCAAAAAGCCUUAACGCAAUGAUUAUACUCACCAGAACAAAUACAAUAAGGUAUAGUUGUUCUGGUGACCACAGUGUCCUUUUAAAGGACCACUAUAGUGCCAGGAAAACAUACCCCCUCCCGCCGGGCUCUGGAGAGAGGAAGGGGUUAAACACUUACCUUUCUCCAGCGCCGGGCGGGGAGCUGUACUCCUCCUUGCUCGCGACGUCAUCGGCUGAAUGAGCAUGCGCGGCAGGAGCCGCGCGCGCAUUCAGCCGGUCGCAUAGGAAAGCAUUUACAAUGCUUUCCUAUGGACGCUUGCGUGCUCUCACUGUGAUUUUCACAGUGAGAAGCACGCAAGCGCCUCUAGCGGCUGUCAAUGAGACAGCCACUAGAGGCUCUGGAGGCUGGAUUAACCUCAGUAUAAACAUAGCAGUUUCUCUGAAACUGCUAUGUUUAUAAAAAAAGGGUUAAUCCUAGAGGGACCUGGCACCCAGACCACUUCAUUAAGCUGAAGUGGUCUGGUGCCUAGAGUGGUCCUUUAAGCAGACUCCUUCCAAACUGCUGUGAAGGUUGGGUAAAAUGACUGCCUGUUGAGAUGGGGGUGGAUCAAUUUAUACCAAUUUCAUAGUUCUGUUUUCUGUCCUUUCUGCUUUGAAGGGAGGAGCUAACCCAUAACUAAAUACUGCCAUGCUUUACUCCAGAAGACAAUGACUUUAUGCCUGGUGCUUAUCGGCUAUAAUUUAAAUAAGUCAAAAAGAUAUCACUCCUGGGACUUGUUCUCAGAUUACAACUUAACUUUUAAUUGUUAAAUAAAAUUGCUAGCAUUUUAGUUUUAUACAAAAAAAAUUUCAUUAGGAACCGUGUGUGUGUGUGUGAGAUAGAUAUAUAUAGAUAUAUGUGUGUAUAUAUGUAUAUAUGUGUGUUAUUUAAAUUCUGCUUCAUUCAUAUACUGUCUACUACAAGAAAGAUGAAUUUUUACCCCUGAGGCAGCUACUUGAUGCAUGUCAAAGUAGCAUAAAAUUCUUUGCUAAAAAUAGAAUCAAACUCUAUGGGUCAGAGUCUGAAAUUGUAUGGUAACCACGAUAUGCUUUUUUACAAAAAUGUUCUCAUUAUUUUAGCUCAUUUAUUAUUAAGUUAAUUUAUAUUUAUUCCAAAGCAUGUAAAUGCAUCUUUUUAAAAAUCAUAUUAUGUAUUUAAAUGCUUUCGUUUUUAUUUAAAACUGAAAGUUGAUCUAAAUGGGAUUUGUCGGUCGUGUAAAUGUAAUUUACUUGUAAUCAGAUUAUUACAAAGAAAAUGCCAGAAUUGCAACUUUGACUUUGCAGAAAAAUAACACGCUAACUAGUGUCCAGAUUAUGCCUCUUCCUUGGCAAUCUUAUUUGCCAAUAGCAGCGAGUUGUUGUAUUUUUACUUUUUGAAAAUAAGGCAUAAUUAUUUCUUUUAAUUUUCUUUAUUCGUAGGUUUUGGUAGUUUGAAAAUAAAACGACUGCAUUCGACAGUCUUUUUUUAAAAAAAAAAAAACAAAUACUUAUGAGACCUGAGCAGGCUUGAUAAAGCAUAUUGGUUCUUAUCGGCCAACACAAUCUUCCAUGAAGUGAUGGACCAUAAAUUUCAGUGCGGAGUGCAGAGAAAAGGUGAUUUAGUUGUCACGAAAUAAGUGACAUUAUUAUUUGUCAAAAUAGAGAGUCAGCGCUAAGUAAUGGAUAAGGCAGCAACCACAAAGGCAAUCCCUCAAAGUACUCUUAAAACACAAUAGGAGAGAAAACAAAGAAAAAAGGCUGCGCCACGCAAAAUAAAUAUAAUAGGAUAACAAUAGUUUAUCCCAAUAAAAAGUCUUAACUUGACAGUUCUUUCUUUAGUUCAAAUGGUCUGUAACGUGUUUGGUCAGGGAUAGUGUCCACGUGGGCCUUCCCCGGAAGGAUCCAAUAAUAUGCAAAGACAAAAGAUAGAACCAAAAUAGUGCAAUAUAUCCAAUAGGGUAAAAUAGAAGAUAAAAAGGAAGACGGUAGUGCACUCACAUGAGUAAGAGCUAUAACUAGCUCUAGUAAGAACAGCGUACAGCGGUACAAUCCCCGCUUAUGGGAUAUGGUGCAGUUGUCUUGCUUCAAAAGUAUGUUCAACACUCAAAGAGAAUAAAAUAGAGACAACCAAUAGUGCUCUCUGAAUAAAACAAUGGUGUUAAUAUAUAUAUAAAAAGGUACUCACAAGGGUGGGGCAGACAAACUGCCCACUGGUAUAAGCACCUAGGAUUUCUUGGAGUCCACAACGAUAAAAAUGCCAGGUAAAAAACAAAAAUUAUUAGAGUGUAUAAAAGAUGAUUGGCACAAAUAAAAGUAACCAAAAGAUCUUUAAUGAGUAAAAUACACAAUAUAAAAUCCACAAACACGUUUCGCCUAAAAAGGCUUUCUCAAUAUGGAAUUGGAACAUAAUACCUGGCAGGGUGAGUUUAAAUAAGGUAAGAAUUAAUUAAAAUUGGUGCCUAAAAUCCGGUCAGCCAAUUAAAAUACAGAUAUAAGUAAUAUUAAUAAAACAUGUUGAUAAGAUAAAAAUAACAUUAGGAUGGAGUAGUAAACAUAGUGUAGUACAUGAAAUAUCAAAACGAGCGUUAGUACGCUGCAUAAAAACGUUUUAGUGCGGUCAGGUGACUAUAUUAGUGGCAGCCGUCGGCACGCAUGAGUAUCGCGGCCGCCGAGGGGAGGUGGGCGGGACGUGGGGGCUGAGACUAAAUAGCCAAUGAGGGACGGGGCGGGCAGGGAAGGCGGGGACAUGUCGAACGGCGAGAAUAGUGAUCGUAGCCGUCGGCAAGAUAGGGGGAGGGGCGGAACAAUAAGUGGAAAUAGGAAGUGGCAUGGGAUCAAUACAUUAACUGAAACAGAUAUAUAAAUACAAUAUCAAAAACAGAGUAAAAGAAUACAGAGGGAAUACACAGCAUGUAUAGUAAAUGCAAAUAAGUAAAAUUGUAAUGUGUACAUUUUUAUAAAAAAUUAAACAGAUCAAAUUCUGCAUUCAAACCAUGGGGCAUAAGUGUCUGGAGCUUGUGUACCCAUUCCAUUUCAGUUUUCCCAAGAAAGUUUUUAAUGUCACCUCCUCUCCCGGGAGUGGUAAAUUUUUUAUUCCCAUACAUUUUGACAAUCACGGGUUAUUAUUGUGUUUAAUAAAAUGUUUGGACACUUAAUGAUUCAGAUAUCCAUUUUUUAUGUUUCUGCAAUGUUCACUUAGUCUUAUUAUUAAAGGACCACUAUAGUGCCAGGAAAAUAUACUUGUUUUCCUGGCACUAUAGUGCCCUGAGGGUGCCCCCACCCUCAGGGCCCCCCUCCCGCUGGGCUCUGGGGAGAGGAAGGGUUUUAAAUCUCGACAGUGCCCCCAAGAGCCAAAUUUUAAGACUUCGGAGAAAUUGUUCACAAUUAAAUGAUUUUAAACAACAAGCAGAUUUAAAAAAAAAAAAAUUUAUUGAAAAAAAUUACUCUGAAUCAAUUUUAACAGAUACUGUCAAUAACAUUCAACCGAAAGAUAGAGACGAACUCUUGACAUAUAAAACAAAAGAGACUGAUGGUACUAUGUCCCUACAUAUUAUUUUUAAUUACAAUAAUAAAAGUGGCAAUAUUAAGAAAAUCAUAAAAAGACACUGGCACAUUCUAAAACAUGAUACUCUUAAAGGACCACUAUAGUGCCAGGAAAACAUACUUGUUUUCCUGGCACUAUAGUGCCCUGAGGGUGCCCCCACCCUCAGGGACCCCCUCCCGCCUGGCUCUGGAAAGGGGAAAAGGGGUAAUUUCUCUGAAACUGCUAUGUUUAUGAAAAAAUGGGUUAACCCUAGCUGGACCUGGCACCCAGACCACUUCAUUAAGCUGAAGUGGUCUGGGUGCCUAGAGUGGUCCUUUAACAAAACCCGAACAGCUCAAUAUAGUUUUUAGAGGAGCCCCUAUAGUUUUUAGAGGAGCUUCCCCCCCCCCCCCUCUGGACCGGGGGGGUCAUCCCGGUUUGCAAGGGCAUUAGCCAGCGCAUCAACCCGGACCUAAACAGCCGCUGGUGAGGAUUAGCCGCUGGGUGAAGGCCCACAAGAUGGCCGCCGCGCGCCGAUCAUGUGCGUGAGCUGCCUGUGAGAUCGAGCGGAUGCUUACCUAAAAGUGAGGAAGCCAACGGAGCAAAUGAAUGAGCACACACUGCUACCCUGCCGGGUCCUUGCAAAAAAUCUUGAGACUCACUGUGGCUGAACUCCCUGCUGUGACUCACCUGUGGCAUUGGGUGCCAUUCAGAUAACGUGACUCCUGCUAACACAGGGCAAGACCAACGCCAGCAAUGUAAUGACUCUUGUUAUCCUCAGUCUAUGCAUUACAUUUUUAGGACCCUGUGGUGUUGAUAGUUUAUCUACUUUCCUAACAAUACUUAGCAAGCGACUAUCUUAACUAAUUAACUUAAUCUCCUGAUGGCCUGACAUGUCUCCUAGCACUGUUUUAAUCUCUUUUGUUGUUAUAUGACAAGCAUUUAACUCCUCGUGUUCACUUGUUUUCUAGUGCUACAUGUUAGGCUGGCAGGUCCAGGUACUCAGGUCCUUGCCUAUAAUUUGACUCACUCCUGUACCUCACUUGUGAUGUAUACUAAACUUAGACAGCUCGCAUCUCAUAUUCAGUAUGCCCACCAGUUAAAUAUGCCUGCCUAGCCUGUUCAUUAAGGUUGAAUUCCCGUGCUGUCUGUGCCAUUACUAAUCUAGACGCAUGUAACCACACUACAACUACACUAGCAAAGUUACUCUAGCAAUGUUAACUGUGAAUCACCCUACCUUAUGCUAACGUUUUCGCUGUUUAACCAAUCUUGUUAUAAAAAUGUGCAAUUUCUCAUGCCACUGUCAAACCUAAACACAUCUUCAAACACGCUAUUGUGGCGUAUGUCGAUAACAUGUAACUAACUGCACAACAAAAAUAAAGAAUAAAAAAAAAAAAUUUUUUUAUUUAUCUGCUCGAAUGCCCUGUUGCCUCCAGUAUGUUGGAAUGACCACAAGGUGCUUAAAAAAACAUUGCAGAAAACAUUAAAAAUGGAUAUCUGAAUCAUUCAGUGUCCAAACAUUUUAUUAAACACAAUAAUGACCCAAGCUUGUUAAAAUGUGUGGGAAUAAAAAAAAAUGUACCACUCCCUGGAGAGGAGAUGACAUAAAAAACAUUCUUGGGAAAACUGAAAUGGAAUGGGUACACAAGCUCCAGACACUUAUGCCCCAUGGUUUGAAUGCAGAAUUUGAUCUGUUUAAUUUUUUAUAAAAAUUUACACAUUACAAUUUUACUUAUUUGCAUUUGUAUUUACUAUACAUGCGGUGUAUUUCCUCUGUAUUCUUUUACUCGGUUUUUGAUAUUGUAUUUAUAUAUCUGUUUCAGUUAAUGUAUUUAUCCCAUGCCACUUCCUAUUUCCACUUAUUAUUCACUAUUCUCGCUGUUCGACAUUUCCCUGGCCGCCCCCGUCCCUCAUUGGCUAUUUAGUCUCAUCCCCCACCUCCCCUCGCCGGCCGCAAUACUCAUGCGUGCCAACGGCUGCCCCUAGUGCACGUGCAUGCAGGGCCGCCAUCAGUAAUUUUGGGGCCUCUGACAAAGCACAAGGUCUGGAGUGUGUGUAAAUUUGUAGUGAAUGCAGAGUGUAUGUUAAUGUGUAGCAGAUGCAGAGUGUGUGUGUUAGUGUAGUGAAUGCAGAGUGUGUUAAUGUGUAGCGGAUGCAGAGAGUUUGUUAGUGUGUAGCGGAUGCAGAGAGUGUGUGUUAGUGUAGCGAAUGCAGAGUGUGUUAAUGUGUAGCGGAUGCAGGGAGUGUGUUAGUGUGUAGCGGAUGCAGGGAGUGUGUUAGUGUGUAGCGGAUGCAGAGAGUGUGUUAGUGUAGUGAAUGCAGAGAGUGUGUUAGUGUAGUGAAUGCAGAGAGUGUGUUAGUGUGUAGCGGAUGCAGAGAGUGUGUUAGUGUGUAGCGGAUGCAGUGUGUGUGUUAGUGUGUAGCGGAUGCAGUGUGUGUGUUAGUGUGUAGCGGAUGCAGAGUGUGUGUCAGUAUAGUGGAUGCAGUGAGUGUAUGUUGUAUUAGUGUAUGCGGUGUGUGUGUGUUGUAUUAGUGUAUGCGGUGUGUGUGUGUGUUGUUUUAGUGUAUAAAUGUGUAAUCUGGGGGAGGGGAAGGAAGGGGCAUUUUAACAUUAUUUUUUUUAUUAAUUUAAUUAAAUGUUUCUCCCCCCCCCCUGUUUCUUACCUGUGUCCAGAGAGAGGGGAGAUUUCAUGAUCCCUGGUGGUUCGGUGGCAUGGGGGCCUCCCUGUUAUUGCACAGGGGGUCCAGGCAGCACACAGCUUCUCCUCCUCUCUUUCUUCUAAUAACUCUUGCGAGACCCGCGGAGCGUUGCCAUGGUAACGGGUCUCGCGAGCGUUAUUAGAAGAAAGAAGAGAGGAGGAGAAGCUGUGUGCUGCCUGGGCCUCCUCUGCGGUAACAGGGAGCCGGGGGCCCGCGGCUGCACACAUAGAUAGCGAUAUUCGCUAUCUAUGUGUGCGGAGAAAGAAAGUGGGGCCUGGGACUGCCAGAGCAGUCCGGGCCCCCCAGGGCCGCCACAACCAUGACAACCGUCACGGUUGUCACCCCCUGAUGGCGGCCCUGCGCGCAUGCCAACUGCAUUUCCCAAAUCCCAUUGAGUCACAACUAUAGUCAUGUUAACGCACUAAAACGUUUUUUUUAUCCAGCGUAUUAACGCUCGUUUUGAUAUUUCAUGUACUACACUAUGUUUACUCUAUCCUAAUGUUAUUUUUAUCUUAUCAACAUGUUUUAUUAAUAUUACUUAUCUGUAUUUUAAUUGGCUGACCGGAUUUUAGGCACCAAUUUUUAUUAAUUCUUACCUUAUUUAAACUCACCCUGCCAGGUAUUUUGUUUUAAUUCCAUAUUGAGAAAGCCUUUUUUAGGCGAAACGCGUUUGUGGAUUUUAUAUUGUGUAUCUUACUCAUUAAAGAUAUUUUGGUGAGCUCUUACACCGGAGGGCACAAAAACAAUAAUCCUGGCAAGCCGAAUUAAGCCAACAGCCCACGGUGUCCAGAAACCGAUAUAGAACCACACGAGGAACAAAACGGUACAGGUCAUGCACCACAGUGAUUCACGAGCACAUGUACCGGCCAUGCGGCCUAUACUGCAGAGGAGCCUGAAGCCUGGGGGAGGCGGCCGAUCGCCCGGCAAGGGACCUGCUUGCAAGCGAGAACUACAAGAUGCCCAGCUACCCCCCCCUCUGGACCGGCGGGGGAUAUCCCGGUCCUCGCUGGGGACGAUUACCCCCACAGCAAGACGUGAACAAGCGACAACACAUGCGGGUAAACGGGACUGCCAAGGCCCAAACAAGAUGGCGCCACAGGCCCGACAGGCGACAAAAGGCUCCCCUACCAAACCACCUCUUCACACGCUGAACUUCUUUGAACGUCUCUGCACCAGCCUAUGGAAUGGGCUCCGCAGUAGGCGCCGGCUCUUCAAACAAGCGAGAAAAGAAGCGGCGGCAUGGAUUCGUCCUGCCACCCGACACCUACUGAGUGGUUGCCCGACCCGAGUCCCCAAAAGGGCCCUCAGACAGAGAAGAGGCGGGAGUUCGGAAUGGGGGAGAGAGGAGAACGGCUCCCCAGGCUCCAACAAUAGUAACCACAUAUGGCAGCACAAAAUAGCCACACACACCCGACCAACUCACCGACCAGCGGCAUCUGAAGCUUCUGACCAUUGCAGCAUGUCCCCACACUUCUGGACGCACGCUGAACACUCAUACCAAGCACCUAUCACCCCGGGGGCGACCCGGCGCCAGCAGCAAGGUACAGCCAAAAGACCCCAUCAACUCCUGCACAUUCAACGAUCUCAAACGGAGAUCCAGGGGCACAGACAACGGGGAGCUGUGGGACCACAUCUUUCCCAAAGACUGGACCAUGAUCUGCCCCUCACAGGCAUAGGCUAAGCUGAGCUGACAAGUGGAAUUCUCUGGGAAUUACUAUUGUCCAAAUAUGUUUUUCUUCGGAACGCUGAUUUGAUUUUUAUUUAUUUAUUUUUUAUUUAUUUUUCUUUUCAUGUGAUUAUAUCAGCAGUCCUGAUAGCUGAUAUAUCUCUUUUCUUGACUCUCGAUUGAUAGUGCCUUUAUCUACCACCCCAAGGGGGCCCCCUAGGGUGAGCAUGCUGACAGCCCAGAAAUAAGCAAUACGUUUUCUCCAGAUCUUAAAAUGCUGUUUCAAUGGUUUAGCACCCCUUUACAGUGGUCAUCCCACUGCAGCUUCAGACUACAGUGCUACUUAAACCCAAGAGCAAGCAGCUCAGACCCAUUGUGGGACAGGGAAAACACAGGGAGCAUAGUGGGGUAUUGGUCUACUUAAAUAAGCGUGUAUUGCAUAGCACCCCAAAGCUCUAGCCAUAUACAAACCUAAUCAAAAGUAUGCCUCCUCACCAUAGUUUUAUUCGUCCCAUAGCACUCAAACCUAUACCAGUUCUAGUAACCCCUCGCAGUUGGUUUAGCCUGUCUUGAACCCGCGCAUAGUUGCCAAACAUUACGUACCCAAAGUUAUGCAUGUCUAACUGUGAAUGCUUCUAAAUAAGCUAUGAUUAACAGAUACUAUCUGCUACUAAUCUAUGUUAAACAAGACUUCAUCUCCUAACUAAAAAUUGUGCAAGUACCAAUGUAUACUCCAUUGUUACUGAUGUUUGCAAAGCAUGAGGAUUGCCUUUGGGGUACCCCGUGCACAUAUGUUAUUCCAAAUGCACUGCAAAAAUAAAGAAUUUUUAAAAAAAAUAAAAAAAUAAAGAUAUUUUGGUUACUUUUAUUUGUGCCAAUCAUCUUUUAUACACUCUAUAAUAAUUUUUUGUUUUUUACCUGGCAUUUUUAUCGUUGUGGACUCCAAGAAAUCCUAGGUAGGGAUCAAACCACCAACGCUUAUACCAGUGGGCAGUUUGUCUGCCCCACCCUUGUGAGUACCUUUUUAUAUAUAUAUUAACACCAUUGUUUUAUUCAGAGAGCACUAUUGGUUGUCUCUAUUUUAUUCUCUUUGAGUGUUGAACAUACUUUUGAAGCAUGACACCUGCACCAUAUCCCAUAAGCGGGGAUUGUACCGCUGUACGCUGUUCUUACUAGAGCUAGUUAUAGCUCUUACUCAUGUGAGUGCACUACAGUCUUCCUUUUUAUCUUCUAUUUUACCCUAUUGGAUAUAUUGCACUAUUUUGGUUCUAUCUUUUGUUUUUGCAUAUUAUUGGAUCCUUCCGAGGAAGGCCCACGUGGACACUAUCCCUGACCAAGCACGUUACAGACCAUUUGACCUAAAGAAAGAACUGUCAAGUGGGAUAUACUAUUGUUAUCAUAUUAUAUUUAUUUUGUGUGGCGCAGCCCUUUUUCUUUGUGUUCUCUCCCAUUAUUAUUUGUCAGUUGCAAAAACAAAAGAUUAAUUGUAGUAUUUGAAACCCUGUCAGACAGUCGAUCUCCAAAAAUCCUUUAUCUGACUAGUAAGUAGUUUUUUGUUUUUUUUUUGUUUUUUUUUUUUUUAUCUUUUGUCUUAAACCGAAGGUUUGAAAAGAGGAGAGGCACGCACUUUUAAUUCUUGCAUACAUUAAAGGAAAACUGCAGUAUCCUGACACUAUUGAUGUAACAACACAUUUUAGCUCCUCGGAUUUAUUUGCCUCUUGUUAAAGUUAUUUUACUCUUAUUAUUUCCAGUGCCACACCAGUCUUGUCGCGGCUAACUCCGUCUCCCAUCCUGUGAUCAUUUGACAAUCUCAGCCAAUCCAAUGCAUUCCCAUAGCAAAACAUUGGGGGGCUAUUAUGCAUGUACUGCAAAUGCCAAUCAGCAUCUUCUCAAAGAGCUGCAUUUAACCAGUGCAUCUCUAUAUGGAGUGUUCAGUGUCUUCAUGCAGAGCGUGCAGCACUGACCCAUGAUGCACUUUUAAUGGCCCUCUGAGUGACUGCCACUAAAGGUAUUCCUAGGCAGUAAUGUAAACACUGCCUUUUCUCUGAAAAGGCAGUGCUUACAGCAAAAAAGCCUGCAAGAACAGGCUAUAGAUACCAGAGUCAUACAUUAAAGCAUCACUAUAGGGUCAGGAACACAAACGUAUUCCUGACCCUAUAGUGUUAAAACCACCAUCUAGCCCCCCUGGGCCCCUCAUGCCUCCAUAAACAUAGCAAAAUCUUGUUUCAAGCCAGAAGCUGUAGAUCUGCAUUCUAUUUGCCUAAAAAAACAAAAAAACAGUCUGCUGACAUCAUCAGAAGUGGUAGCCGGAUCCAAUUACAGUGCUUCCCCAUAGGAUUGGCUGAGACUGACAAGGAGACAGAUCAGGGGCAGAGCCAGCACAAUUCAAACACAGCCCUGGCCAAUCAGCAUCUCCUCAUAGAGAUGAAUUGAAUCAAGUGAAUCUCUAUGAGGAAAGUUCAGUGUCUGCAUGCAGAGGGUGGAGAUACUGAAUGUUUGGAUGCAUUUUAGGCAGCCAUGACCCAGGAAGGAUCUCUAACAGCUAUCUGAGGAGUGGCCAUUGAAGUUAUCACUAGGCUGUAAUGUAAACACUGCAUUUUCUCUGAAAAGACAGUGUUUACAGCAAAAAGCCUGAAGGUAAUGAUUCUACUCACCAAAGAAAAUUCAAUAAGCUGUAGUUGUUCUGGUGACUAUAGUGUCCCUUUAAGGUUUUUUUUUUAUUUUAAAUGUACCAUAUAUACUCGAGUGUAAGACGAGUUUUUCGGCACAUUUUUUGUGCUGAAAAACCCCCCACUCGUCUUAUAUUCGAGUCAAGGUCUGUAUUAUGGCAACUUACAUUUCCAUAAUACAGACCAGGACCUCCGGGUUACCAUGGCAACGCUCCGCGCGGCACUCGGACCGCGAGACUUACACUGGAGCUGACCGUAACGGAGGUAAACGGAGCUGACAGGAGCUGCAGGAAAGGUAAGUAACAGCUUGCUCCCAGCCCCCCUCCUGCACAGCCAAUCCACUGGACCACCAGGGAAUAAUAUAGCCCCCCUCCCUGGCCAUGUAUCAAGCAGGGAGGGGGGACAAAAAUAAAUAAAUCUUUAAAUAAUAUUAAAAUAAUUUUAAUAAUAUUAAAAAACAUUUUUUUUUAAAUUUAAUAUUAAAAUAAUAAUUAAAAAAAUAAUAAAAAUGCCCACCCCCUACCAAGGUUACACACUCUGCAUCACAUACACAAACACACUCUGCAUUAUAUACACACUCUGCAUUAUAUAUACACACUCUGCAUCAUACACACACACACACACACACUCUGCAUUAUAUAUAUACUGUAAAUAAAUAUUCAAUUAAUAUAAUUUUUGGGGGAUCUAAUUUUAUUUAGAAAUUUACCAGUAGCUGCUGCAUUUCCCACCCUAGUCUUAUACUCGAGUCAAGUUUUCCCAGUUUUUGGGGGUAAAAUUAGGGGUCUCGACUUAUAUUCGGGUUAAAUGAAAUGAUCACUGGUAAGUUAUCCUGAUAUGUCCUGGAGUUGAAUCGAAUACUUUCAUAUUUUGCAUUAAUUAAAUCUUGCAUACAAAUGUAAAAACAUAUGCUAAGAAUAAUUAAAAUACAAAAUAAAAUUGGGCUUUCUCGGCAUCCAAGAAAUACAAUGGAGAUUCUGUUCCCUACUGUAUACUUUGUCUUUUGUUAAUUUUGGAAGCCAUUCUUUAGAGAAGACCUUUCCAGUUGAAGUCUCACUAGAUUUAUUGUAGAAUAGGUUUGGUCAGUGUAUAUACUUAUUUUACAUCUUGGUUUGUGUAUUGUCAGUGGAAAAGACUGUCUAUGCAAACCUGUGUGUGUUAUCUCCUAAGAUUCCCAUUUUGUUCUACUGUAACUAAUUUGUGCAAUAAAUAUCACAACUGAAAUACGCUUUCAUUUUUUUUUUUUUUUAUUGUACAAUGUUCUUUUCUAUUAAACGUCGUAGAAAUUAUUACUGUGGACUUUAGGUUUUUUUGUUGUUUUUUUUGUUGUUGUUGUCUCACAGUGAGAGCACCACGGCUGAACACAAAAUAUGGUAGAUGCUUAUAUUAAAGGAUCACCAUAGGCACCCAGACCACUUCGGCUUAAUGAAGUGGUCUGGGUGCCAGGUCCAUCUAGAAUUAACCUUGCCUGCUGUAAACAUAGCAGUUUCAGAGAACCUAUGGGUUAAUCCAGCCUCUAGUGGCUGUCUCAUUGACAGCCGCUAGAGGCGCUUCUGCGCUUCUCACUGUGAUUUUCACAGUUUUCCUGGCACUAUACUGGUCCUUUAAUAUAAUAAUGUGUUCUAUAAAGAUGAUCUUAAUAUCUCUUCAUUUGUAUGAAUGUAGCAGUCCUAAGAAAGCCUCCUUACAGUUUCAUCAAGCUUUCAUUUGCAUUUAGCAGGCAAGAACAAAGUGUUCUCUUGAUGUUUUAAUUAAAACAGCAUGGAAUGGUGAAAAUAUUAUUGCUCCUCCAUGACUAUUUAGAUUUGGCUAGCAGCGUCCUUUAAAAGCAUCACAUCCAGUGCUUGUUGUCAGAAAUCAAAUUAUUCCUUUAAAACCUAUUUUGGCAAUGCUUUAAGGGACUCUAUAGCAUUUAUUGUGAUAGCAGGAAAAUUGAAAAUAAAAUGCAGCGACAGUGUUCCUAAUCUUAGUGUAAUUAAAAUCCUUUCUAGGUUUGUCCCCCUCCCCACUAAAGUAAUACAAUUAAAAAGAUUUUACCUGCUUUAGGUGUGACUAUAGUUCCUCUCCUGGCAAAGUUCAUCAUUAGUGAUGAUCUUGGUCAACCCAAUACUACCCCAUGCACAACAGUUGCUGUACUGCAACAAUCAGCACCUUGUCAUAGGGGGGGAGGAAGGGGUUGGAAUUAGUGCUGUGGAAGGACUGGCCACCCCUGGAAGUGGACACUGUACAAUAAAUCUAGCUGAGGCUGCAGUAGACUGGCAAAUAUGGGGAGGUGCAACCACUCCUCGCGAGGCACACAGAUGAAGGCUGCCGGAAUACAGCAUCAUAUCCUGGUGGCCUACACUCUGUGCGUUGAAGAAAUAGAAUUGAAGGGGUAAAGCUGCAGACAGAGUGAUGGACCAUAAAUGCUGCUUGUAAUGUUAAAGCUGCAUUCUGACUGUGCAGUAUGUGGGUCAUAUGUAAAUUGUGUGUAAAUGGGUCAGUUUGUCUGUUUGCCAGUAUGGAGUGCGUGUAUGGGUAUGUGUUUGCAACAGAAUGCACAGUGUGUGGCGCAGUAAUUGUGUGUGUCAAACAAUGUGUGUGAGUUGGUCAGUGAGGACAAAAAAAAGUCUAAUUUUAGUUUAUGAAAUUUGUAAGCUUUAUCCAUAUAUUGCAUGUAUUAUAUACAUUUUAUAAGCAUUGCUUAUGAAUGCAUAAGUCAUGUUUUAGAGAAUAAAAAUCUGAAUCACAUUACUUUAAAAAUACAGCCAGCACACACACUACAUAUAGAGCCAGCACACCUCGCAAGCAUACACACAGACCACAUACACACUAUGAAAGACUAUGGGGGUGCUAAGGGUGAGACAUUUAGGGUAAUUCAUAAAAUUUAGAAUUUCACACCCCUUUACUUGCUUUCUGAGUGACAGCUGUUAGAGGUGGUAUUAGGAAGCCAUGUAAACACUGCCUUUUCUCAUGAAAGUUGUCAUUCAUAGAAUAAUAUGUUGAGUGAGAAUAAACAAGACAGUGUGUACGGUGAGCUGUUAUAAAACUGUGAUUUUUAUUAUACUGUUAGACCCAUGACUGUCUGGCAUUCCAGGUUUCUGUCAGUGAUAAGUGCAGCAUUCAGUUAUUAUUCUCUAUUAUUAUCUAGAUGUGCUUAUUGACAACAUGCUGUGCAUCAUCAGUACAUCUGUACAUCUCAUGAAUUUAUGAUAAUUUGCCAUUUCCUGAUCGAGGUUUUAUAAAUAGAACAGCACAGUGGUAAUACAUUCAUGAAAAAUAAAACAUUAAAUAGGUAGGAAAUAGUUUCACAUUCCUCUCUGCAUUCAGCUUGCCAGGGUGCUUUAUCUGUGAGGAGUAUCCUAUUUUAAUUCAAUAUUAUACAAGUGGCAAUUUCUAUACUUUUUUUAUAAUUAAAUUAUAAACCCCCUCCCUGGCUGUCAAUCAGCCAGAGUGCUUCCUCAUUGUGUUAGUUCCUCAUUCUGUUCCUCAUUCUUUUAACUUCAGGCGUACACUCCUAUAGCUUUCUUUCUCUUUCUUUCCUUCUCCCCCAUUAAUCUUCUACAGACCUUAGACCUGCUGCUCCAGCUCGUUCGCAGAUCACAGGCCUGUGCACACAGAGGGCACAGAUUUAGAAUGAGAAGAGUAUCUUGCAAGAAAAAAGGGGUGAGCUUGCAAAGACUGCAACCAUAAGAACUACUGUUUUUGCAAACUCUUUUCAGUUAUUCCUCCAAUGACUGCAUCCAUUCAUUCGUUGGGGUAAAUCUACUAAACAGUGGUUUUUGUUUUUACGAAUGUAUCUAUAUUUUCAGUUUGGAGGGGAUUGAAUCAAUGCAUCUCUAUGGGGAAUGGAGAACAUGGAGAUGCUGUUCAAUCAGGGAGCACCUCUAGUGGCUGUCUGCGUGACUGUCCCUACAGGUGUUCCUAGGCGGUCUUAUAAACACUGAAGUUUCUCUGAAAAGGCAGUGUUUACAUUAAAAGGGCCGACUACCUACACCAGAACAAGCUGUAGUUGUUCUGGUGAAUAUAGUGUCCCUUUAACAGUGAUGUUGCUUGAAUAUACUGACUGCUCACACCUUUUGUAUAAAGAAUGCAAAAAGCUUUGCUGCUUUUGAUAGAGUUCAGUAUUUCACUUCAAAGAUGCAAAGAUAAAUAUUCCAUAGUAACCUGUACAGUAAUGACUUUCAUAGAACAGGUACCAUAUGGUUCACUUGUCUCCAAUGCAGUUAUGGACUUAAGACUAUGAAAUGAUGCUUGCAGCAAAUACUUGCACAGUGAAAGGCAGAUUGUAUAUACUUAGCUAAACAAUAGAGUAAACCACACCAAAAGUAAAUAAAAGUGGUAUAGAACUUCCCUUAAGACUCUAAAUUUAAAGGGACACUCCACUGCCCAAAUAAAAUAAAUAAAAACAAAUAACUGUAGUAUAUAUACUCCCAAUGUAAAUUUGCAUACAUUAACAUAUGCAUUUUUUUAAUUGGGGGCAUAUCUAAAGAUAGUUUAUAAUAGAUCUCUUGUCUGCAGCCUUUGCAAGCCUUCCCCUUCUAACCCCUCCCAGACUUUCUGUGGCGGUCCAAUCACAGAUUUCCCAAUGCAGCUAAAUGAAACGUCUUUGCAAGACAGGUACUUUGAGCAAUUGCUGCCUCUUGAGUUUAGCUCCACUGAGCUAACUAAGCAAAGAAAUAACUUAAAAUUAUGCAUAAAUGUGCCUGAAGGAGCUAUUGACCUGUUGAAAGUAGAACUGCGAUGAUAUAUAUUAUUUUAUAAGCAGUUCCCUGGAGCCUUAUGAAUAUGAUGGAUCUGUGCCACUGGGGACACACCAAAACAGCAUAAAAACCUCAAGGUUGGACCCAAAGCUAGGUUAACAUCCACUUUUCUAGAGGAUGUUUGAGUUACCAUUGUGUAUAGUGUUAGUGCAUGGCUGCCCAAUAGGUAUAUCCCCAGAUGUUGUAGAACUACAACUCCCAUGAUUCUUGGUAUGCAUUUAGAAUGACAAAGCAUCAUAGGAGUUGUAGUUCUAUUCUACAAAGUAGGGGGGUCUAUCUAUUGGGCAGCUCUGUGUGUUAGUAUAUUUAAAGGAGAUGUUAUUCACUAUAAAUCAAUGGUUCCCAAACUGUGUGCCGCAGAAUAUUUCCCCGGUGCUAUGAUUAUAGCACCGGGGAAACAUUACCGGUGAACAGGGACCCAGUCAUUUAAGGCCGCGACAGGGCAAUGUCGGCUGGGAGCAAGUGACAGUCUGUCACUUUCUCCCAGCAUCCUGCAGGGAGACAGCGUGGGAGGGAGAGGAGCAUGAAGCGCUCCAGAUCCCUCAUUACUACAGCAGCAGGACUCCAAGCCACCCUCCUCGCACAUAAGGUAAGCUAACAGGAGGGUGGCUGGAGAUAUAUAUAUAAAAAAAAAAAAAAAAUCACUUGUGUGUGAGUUCGUGUUUGUGUGUGUGUGUAUAUAUUUGACAGUGUGCAUCUGUGUCAUGGUGUGGGCAUGUAUCAAUGUUUGUGUGUGUCACGGUGCAUGUGUGUGUAUUUAUAUGCAUCUGUGUGUUAAGGUGCAUGAAUAUCUGUGUAAGUAUGUACGUAUGUGGUAGUGUAUGUGCAUACAUCCAAGCAAACUUCAGCACAACAUACAAGCACACUUCUGCAAUCUAACACAAAUAUUACAUACACACACCCCUGUAUUUACACACAAAAAUAUAUAUAUAUAUAUAUAUAUACACACCCCUUCACUUAAACACAAAUAUUUCACACAAAUGUCCAUCCACAUUUAAAAGUGAACAUUACAUUCAGACACACCCCUGUAUUAAAACACAAUAAUAUAUACAAGGAUCCCCCUUUAAACACCAACACUGUUCAUUACACUAUAGCAUCAGUAAAUGCUGCAGCGCUGUUCAGAUAUACAACCUAGAAAUUUUGACUUUGGGUGCCUUGGAAAAAUACUGAACUAUUAAGGGCGCCUUGAACCUAAACGUUUGGGAACCACAGCUAUAAAUGAUGAAUUGUUCCGUAUGAUAUUUAUCAAGUGUGAGUAAAGAGUUAAAUAUUUCUUAAAAUAAAGUUCCAGGUAUGUUAAAAUUACCUAGUAGCACAAUCUGGAACCAGUUCUAAUUUUUUUUCUGUUGAAUAGAAGAUAAGACACCAUACACGCAUGAGAGCUACACAAUGUAUUUCAGCUUCUCCUGCCUAAAGCAGUAAAAUAAAUUACAAAUUCUCAGGCAGAAAUUAAUUCAUUAAUGUGUUCUAUGAUAAGAAAAGCCAACCGUCACACUGCCUGUAUUUUAGUUGAGAGAUUUAUUUUAAAAUAUUUUAUAACAUCUUGCUGUGUGACUCUGUACCAUACAUUUUAAAUCUGUUUUAUAAAAAAGUAAAAUAUAUGUGCAAUAAAUAAAAACACUGUGCAUGUGUAAAUCUAACUUUUUUUGGGGGGGAGGGGAGGGGGGGGGGAUGGGUUAGGUACGGGAUGAGGGUGUUGCACUAAACCCCUAUCCUUGACAGCUCCCUUUCUUUUCUUUUUGUAAAUCUAACUCUACCUAUUAUUUGUGUUUAUUUUUGACACAGAAUUACAGUAAAAUAAUCUGAUUUUAUUUAAUCCUAGUGAUAAAUUAUUACAGAGUAAACAAGCACAUUCUACCUCUGAAAGUGAAGGUAGUAAAUCUGUAAGAUUGGCUAUCAUCCUAUUCUUUAAAAAAAUAAAUUGUUUCAAUUAAUACAUCAAAUAUACUAUUGAUUGCAGAAAGUGAGACACGUUGUGUGCUUUAUAACCAGUGCCAAACACAUUCUCUGAUUCCGUCUGAAACCACUGUAUACCACAAACACUGUGAUCAUCAGAGGGCAAAAACGGGCCAUGAGGAAAAUUCCAAUUUGCUUUUAAGCCUUGUAAUUACCAUGUGGAACAUACUAAUUGAUUGCUUUGUGGUUUAUACUGAAAAAGGCAGCACACACGGGUAAAUGUUAAACCUCCUGCACUUUGGGGACAUUCAGGUUCAUUCUCUGCCAUGAAUGAUCUAAUGCUUUCUAUAAUCUACUAGCUUCUUGCCCUGCCUAAUUAUUGAACUAAUGACACUGUUUUAUUCCUUCCACACCCAUCAGCAAAUUGCUCCUAUUUGCAAGAUGUACAGGAGUGAUUGAUAUUCGCUGUGUUUUUCAAUAUUUUGUCUCUUUUCUUCUGUCUUUAAUGGCCGGGUAAGGUCAGGAUGGUAGUUAAUUGUAUGUAAUUAUUUAUUAUUCUGACUUGAUGAAUGCCAGCCCCUUAGAUGUAACAUCCAGAAAGAUGAGGUGAGAAGGUCACGGCAUGUAAGCAUACUUGGGCAUUGUAGCACUUGUGAAGCCCACCAUUCUAUAAAAAGGUCACGCUAAGAUGGAGUGUUGAGGUUCAGAUGACUAAAUUGUCCAUGCAAUGCUGUUGAGUGCAGUUUCAAGAUGGAUAAUAUUCCUGAGUACUUAUUGAUAGUAUACCUAGUAGCCUACAGAGUAUUGCUUUUAAUGGACAUCAAAUUGCUUAUGUCCGGCUUAGAAACUGGGAAAUUAUAGUUUAAUAGCUGGAGAGAGCUGCCUUUUGGCUAUCUAUUCUAUCUCUAAAUAGAAUGUUUCUUAGUGCAGUUCAGGCAUUUUUUUAAUAUUUCUAAAAGUUUAAAUGACUUUCUAACUACUUUGCCUUGGAGCUCUGUGUUCCUUUAUAAUUGUCUACACGUUAUGUCUUUUCAAAGGAUUGUUUUUGUUUGUUUUAUUUCAGUAACUGUUGUAUAACUGGAGGGGUAUGUGUGAUGACCUUUUUAUAGCCAGAGUCUCAAUUCUCUGUCUUGUUCAAAGGCAAAUCCUUCAUUGGUGUGAGUAAUGCAGUAGAGAUAAGUUUAAAAUAAUUUUUGUUCCAGGUUGGCUAAUGACACCCCAAUAUACUGCCUGGGGUGUAGUUACACCAGUAGUUUGCCUGUGCGGAAUGCUGACUGUCAUGGUUCUUAGACUUUUUUUCAGUUUUCUGUUUUUGUAGCUGAUAUAAUUUUUUUGUAUUUGAAAUAAAAUGUAAAAAGUAAUUAUCUCUGCAGUUUUUUGGCUAGCGAUUUAUCACUUUGUUUUCUUUUAUUUCUGUAACAAGCUGUAAACUUGUAAUGAGUUAGUAGGAAAGAGAAUCCCAAAGGAUGCUGUUCUAAAACUGCCUAUGUACUUCAGUUUAGCUUGGAAAUAAUACACAGAUAUGCUGCUGUAGCGGAAUAUCACCAACAUCCAUCAUUUAACAAUGUGUUCUGUUCAGUUUCUCCACAGGGUAAAUACCAUUUACACAAUGUUCUCUUUAAUAUGAGAAUAUUAAUACAUAUUGAUGCUGAGAAUAGGCCCUUCAGUAUUAUGUGCUGCGGAGAGAACCUAAAUGAAAAGCUCUCAUUUACUUGUGUGGGUUUUUUAAAAGAAAAUUUUAUUUUAUUUUGUUUGCACAUGUAUAAAUUGAAAGGAAUUAAUGCUCCGUCAUACAUCAGACAAAUGUCUUUGAAUACAGGGCUCACCCUGAAUUCCUGUUGCUAUUUACAAACCUCCUCUCUGCCUCAACCAGGGUACGUGUCAGCAGAAUCUCUUUGAAAAACACUGUACUAAACUCAAACAGUCAAUCGAAUCAUGAUAGAAAUACUUCAGGCACCUGAAGUGAUUAUGGUGCCCAGAAUUAACGGACGUCCGCCUAAUGUAUGUAUUCAAACCUUUUGUAAACAGUUUGCUAGCGUACUAGGGCCCGUUGGCUGUUUGUCACAACCUUCAGUAAAGCCAUAGAGCUAAACCCUUCACCGCAGUGUGCAGACUUAUUGGCUGAGACUGUCGGCUGUGCACUCUAAGCCAAUGGGUUAAACCCUGCACUGCUGGCUAGCUCUCAACAAACGAGCUAAGCCCUGCACCUUUGUCUUUCUUGGAGGAGAUGACCAGCAGACCACAGGUAACCUGUAAAACCAUUGCAAACUGUUCCACUACUUGUCAUAGGAUCAUACUGGCUACAGUGUUCCAUAGUGGUUAUGGUGCUUGGAGUGUUUGUAUAAGUUAAAAUUUGCUUUUCUUGCCCUCUAAAUAAUGCCAAUACCACAUUCUCUAUUGAGUCCAGGUAGUAAUGGGGUACUUUGAUAGGCAUAUGACCUCAAUAGGCAACUUUCUCAUAGUUUUUCCCCCUACCCAAGAAAUUCGAAUUUCAAGGCGAAAGCAACCCACAAAAUGGAUCAUUCUGGAGCUGUAUCCACCAAAUGCCCUGUUUGGGUCCAGUUAUGGCAUGGUCAGCCCCUUUAAAUAGCAUAUGGUGGUAAUACAAACCCGUGUCAAAUUUUACACAUGACAGGGGGCUGUGGGCAAAUUAACGCCUUAUACUCUCAGAAAAAGGACUAGUGUUAGAUUAUACUAUGUCUCCUCUUGCCUUUUAAAACUUUGUUGUCUGUUGGAAUUUUCAAGCAUUUGAAAGACCUCAGCUGCUCUCAUGCUAAUGCCACAUUGAUUAAGUCUGUAGCAAUGGUAUUUGCAGUUGUAGCUAUUCAUACAUAAUGGCAGAUGAACCCUUGUGUACCAGUUGCUUGUUCCUCUGAUAGCAUUACAGUAGCUGACCUUAUUCAGUGUGGCAUGACACAAGUACUAUACCUUUUAUAUUUAAUUUACAGUCUAGGACAGUAACACCGAGAUGCAUGCCAAGAGAACACAUGCAAAUGUUACGGUUGGUUUAGGGUUUGGAAACAACACGGUUGAUCAGUUUUACAGCAUUCCAAAUAGUAAUGCCCACAUUUUAUAUUCACACUUUGCAGCAAAUGUAUGGACUCUGACAUUCCUCUAGUAGUUUAACAGUCUUUCAAGCAAUAAGACAGCUUCUUAUUGAGUGUUACCAUACAUUUUUAAAGGGACACUAUAGUCACCUGAACAUCUUCAGCUUAAUGAGGUUGUUCAGGUGAGAACUAUAGCUCCCUGCAGCCUUUCUCAUGUAAACACUGUAUCUUCUGAGAAAAUACAGUGUUUACAUUGAAAGCUAGGAACACCUCCAGUUGCAGUCACUCACAGUGAACCAGAGGGACUUCUGAGUUGAUGGAGGCAUAAUAUGAUCAGGCUAUCACAUGUCCGUAGACUGCUUGUUUUUCCUGAGUCUAACAGCAUGCAGAUUUACAGCUUCUGGCUUGAAUACAGUAAGAUUUUUACUAUAUUUAUGGAGGCAUGAGGGGCCCAGGGGUCAUGUUAACACUAUAGGGUCAGGAAUAGAUGUAGUUGCACUGGUGACUAUAGUGUCCCUUUACGUAUAUCAAAAGAAUCUUGUGUACAUAAACAAGUUCAUAUCUAUCGUUCAUUUUAUUAUUUAGCUUUUAGUUAAAAAGGAAAAUGUAGCACUUAAUUGUAGAUUAUGCUAACGUAGUUUACCUAUAAUAUUAAUUUUAGUAAUGACAGGAGGAGAGUAUUUUGCAUUAACUUUCUUUAAUUACUUCAGCAGCAAAUCUCAAUAUAAAGUACUAACCAAUCAGAAUGAAGAAACACAGUAAAUAAGCCUUAGUCUGCCCACACAAUUCCACUUUCUUUGGUGCGAAAUGUAAGGAUCAAUUAACUCCAAACGUAAGAACGGAAAACAGGAACUUGGAACCAUCAGAAUAGAUCCCCAUAAGGAAAAAACUGGCGGACAACGAAGAAAAACGACUAGCUUUGUGUAAGAUGAGUUUCACCCUGGAAAGAACAGAGAUAAUUGAAAGGCGAGAGCCAUGGCGUUGUAUCAUCAUAAACGACCAAUAUAACAUACUAACUCAUCCUGAGACAUCCAGUAGUAUUUGAACUAAUGUCUAACUGUGGUAAAAAAAAAAAAUCACCAAUAAGCACGAUACCAUAUUACAGUCCAAAUAACACCCCUAUGAACAAAAUAAGAUACAUAUAUGGGUGGGACAGAAGAAGAAAGAAUAGGGAGGGAAAAUACUCUCCUCCUGUCAUUACUAAAAUUAAGAUUAUAGGUACACUAUGUUGGCAUAAUCUACAAUUUUAUCACAUGACAAGAGGCUUCCUAUUUUACAUUUUUAACGCUUGAGGAAGAAGAGCAAAAGAAACAUGAGAAGGACGAAAAUAGAACACACGGAAUGUAUCUUCGUGUGACCAAUCAGCUGAACGCAUGAUAUCAGCAAGCGAAGCGGCCGACGAAAACGCCUGUGAUGCAGCCGCACUUCGUACCAAAUGCACUCUGAAACAAGAUACAAUGCCAGCUAAAGAUAGAAGCCAAUGUAAUCAUCUGGCCAAAGUAGUGGCCUAUACCGAUCGAUGUGGCUAGACAUAUGAGAUGAGUAAUUGACCCAUCGAGGAGCGACGAAGCGGAGCAGUAACUUCCAUGUAAUGUAAUAACGUCUUUACCACGCAGAGUUGAGGGUCUUGAGGAAAAAAACGGGAAAAAAAAGUCAUUGAGUCAGUCUUAGUGCUUUGAGAAACCAAAAUGAGACCCCGUCCACCUUGAAAGCUCGAACAUCGGAACCUGACGAUAGGACACCAAACAGAGCAAAAGCGUUGGUUUCACGGAGUGUUGCUGUAACAAUAAUGAAUUGCCUGGCCAGCCACAGAGAAAAUGCAGAACAAUGUCAGUGUCCCGAAGGUGUGCAUAUUUCGAGGCAGAGGACUUGACAAUUUAAUCCCACAGAGCAGUCUACAAACAAGUGGGUCUUGACCAACCGGUAGGCCCCGAAUCGGAAUGUGGGCCGCCGAACGUAAAAUGUUGAUGGAACAAUAGGCUAGUCCUGAUGAAAACAGAUGAGAUAAAAAGUUUAACACUAUGGGAAUAGGUACAGUAAAGGGAUCAGAGUCUCUUUCCAAACACCAGCCAGUCCAUUUGUUCCAGGAUGUGAGGUAGCUGCACCUAGUGCCAGGCGCCCACAAGUCCCAUGACAAGUCCCUAGUGACCUGUGAUAGACCGACCGACCAGGAUCCCCUGAAAUCGUCAAAGCCACGAGUUACAGAUGGUCAUGGAGGAUGAGGGGGUGAGGUGCCCCCUGAGUGUCGGUCAGGAGAUGAGAACAAAGGAAUGAGGAGAUGGUCUUUGGCGAUAGCUCCAAUUGGUCCGGGAACCAAGCCUGGCUCGGCCAUAACAAUGUGAUGAGGAGCAGAGAGGUUCCCUGAACUUGAACCUGUUGUAGGACUCUUGCCAACAUGGAGAACGGAGAAAAGGCAUAAGCUCCUCUCGGUGGCCAUCUCUGGAGAAACGCGUCCACCACUUCGCAUUCUGGAUCCGAAAGCCAGCUGAAGAACCUGGGAAGAUGGCGGUUGGUCUGGGAAGCGAAUAGGUCGAGUUGGAACGGGCCCUUGCAGUCGAUUUAGUCUCGUGGAGACGUGAAUCGUUGCUGUCCCUCGUUGUCGUACCAAUCCGCUGUGCAGUUGGAUAUCCCUGGAAUGUAUUCCACCCGCAACGUGAUGUUAUGGGAUAGACAAAAAACUGUAGAUGUCCUUGGUCACUUCCAAUAAAGUCUGUGAACCAGCACCGCCCAGGUGGUUGAUAUAUUGAAUGGCUGAGACAUUGUCCAUGCACAGCAGGAUACAGCAAUUGGUCAUGUUGCGAGCCAAGCUGCGAAUGGCGAAGGACCCCAUUCCAAGCAGUUGAUAUGUAGAUCGGUCUCUUCGCCCAAACAAGGUCCUCCGGUGGAUGAGUCCACACAGUGGACCUCCCCAGCCCCAGAGGCUGGCAUCCGACUCCACCACAAAGUCCGGUGAUGUGCCAAAUAUGACCUUCCCGUUCCAAGACUGCAUAUGUAGAAGUUACCAAUGGAGUUCCAUCUGUACUUCGGCGUUGAGUGGUACCUUCUGGUCGUAUGAGAGGCCGGAUCGCUGGUAGUGUGCCUUCCAUCUCUGCAUGGCCCGAUAAUGGUAAAUUGCUUGUAUGGAGGUCGAAAAGAGGCCGCCAAUCCGAGCCAACUGUCUAAGAGGAACGUGCUCCAUGUGUAGAAUCCUUCGAAUUUCUUUCCGAAUGGCCUUUAUUUUCUGGAGGGGUAGGCGUAGCACACAUGCAUUCAAGUCUAUUUCGAAUCACAGGAAUUGGAUAACUCGAGUCGACACCAGUGCUGACUUUUCCUGGUUGACUAUGAAGCACAAGGAUUCGAGAAAGCAUUCAGCAAAGUCCGUCUGAUAUUGUAGUCACGACACCAAAUCGCAGAAAAUCAGCAAAUCGUCCAGAUAAAUGAUGCAUCUUACCCCCAUAGAUCGGACACGAGCCAUGAUUUGGUUUCAGUAGUUUCGUGAAAAACACCAUGGGGCCGAGUUGAAUCCGAAUGGGAGACAAGUUAACUGGCACGGCCGACCUCGCCAAUGGAAACAGAGGAACCUGUGGUAUGAAGGGUCCACCGACUGGUAGGAGUCUUUGAGGUGUGAGCCAUCAUAAAACAGGUAGGUCGCUAAACGAGGACCACCUGUAUUGCAUUCUCAACAGAGCCAGAGUUUAGAGUAUCCUAGCGUGGACCACUCAAUGACUCUCUGUAGGUGGACCGCCCUGUAAUAAAUGGCCAGAUCUGAGAGUACUAGACCCCCUUAGAGUAUAGAUCAGAUAAGUAGGGAGUAUCUAAGUUGGGCUCUUUGUCCCUACGUCUCUUUCAUUUUAAUCAUAAAUGAUUGCAUACUAUUGAAAUAAAACAUUCAUAUUUUAUAUAAUUAAUUAUGCUCAACAGUUUACAUUGUUUGUGCACAGAGAGAGUAUACAUAAAAAGUAAGCAUGAACCCAGCUGUCAAACUUGCACUGAUGUGAAAUGUCUUCGUUUUGCAUUCAUCACUGGUUUCACCCACCAGACUCUAGGCAUCAGAGAAAGCAGUGCUGUCACUGCGAAAAAUGAGUUUCUAAGUUAAACCCUGCUCAGAAUGCAAAAUCCCUUGGCAGUUGAAGAAAAAAUAAAAAAAUGAAUGAAUGGAAUGUUUUAUUUCCCAGGGAUAAAUGUGAUGGAUGGUUUUCCACAUUUUCAAGUUUUUCUUGCGUGCUUUGAAGCAUUUACAAUCACUGUAUCAGUAGACCUGGCAGUUCUAAUAACCCCAAUACUCUAAAAGCAUUAUCCUAUUACAAUCUAGUUACCGUUACUGUAUGGAGAGAAAAAAAGAAACCAAGUUGCACGUUCCCUAUUUAUUUUCUCACACUGAUUUAUUUGCUGGGAGGUGGUGCAGAGCUUGCGUGGACAUGUGUUUCUCUGGGGUAUAAUUAUUCCAACUAUCUAAUUAUGUCAUUAUGAUUAUAGUUAACCAAACUGAAUAUGUAUAAAUCCGCAUGAGUUACACAUCAGUUUUUAAUAUUGCUUGAAACCCACAGCAGCUGAAUAUUUGUUUAGAUUUUUGUUCAAAUGACUUAAUUUAUGAUUAUUGAAAAAUGUGAGUGUGGCAAGGUGAAGUUGGUUGACAGUGUGUGUUGGGUGGCAGUUUGGCCAGCCUCCCCACACUGUGAUCUGUUAACCAGUGGUCUCCCUCCCUGUUGGUCCUGUGGACUGGCUAUCCAGUCAGCAGCUCCGCUGGGUGCAGAGUUGCAGACCAUAUGGUUGUCUUGCGAUCUCCGUCACUGGAAGUGUCAGAACGUUGCCAUGGUUUGCAUCUUUCGGAGCUGCAGACUCUGCUGGGCUCUCGCUCCCCAUUGCAGACUGAAUGGAGGGGGCGCCACAAUCUGCGACACACAGGGUAAGCCGCCAGGACCUCUACCGUUUCAGGCCCUCUUUCACGGACUGGGGCCAUAUUGAUCAGUACGCCCUAAGGCGAUUGAGGUGGCUUCCUAAGUCUCCUAAUUAGAGGGCCGUCUCCGAGUUAACUUGUAUGCUUUGGACCCAUGCACGGGUUGGCUCAGGGCAGCACACUGGUUGCGGAGCACUACACUACAUAUACGUUUUUUCACAUACCUCUCGAUUAUUUCGUUUUCAUGGCCUUGUGUUUAUAUGCCUGUUUCCCUUAUAGUAUUUACGAUCUGACUUGCGAGAGUUGUUGUACUACAUCAGCUGAAGGGUGUAGGUUUCUCCCUUUGGGUCUCAGACCAUAUUAAAUAAAUGUCACAUUCAUUGUAGUUUUAUUGCGGUUGUUUAUAAAACAUUAAAUCAUUCAGGACAAAGUUCUCAAUAUCACCAUGAUAAUUUGUUCCUCUAUCUAUUACAGUGUUUUAGUAACCUGGCUAGUAGUAAAGACGUAAAAUCAAUGUGAGGCAUGCUAGGAGCAUAUUGGAAUCCAGCCUGAUAAACUGACUAUUAACGUUAGCAGCUGGGGCACCUGGUAGUGCUGUUUGUGUCUGCAAUGAAAGCAAUGGAUUAAUACCGUGCAAUAGCCUGGAACGCUUCUAUUACUAGAAGAACAACAGUGUGGAAUAUAGAGCUUCGCUGUACAGCGUAUUAAAAUCCUCUGCAAUAGGUGAAUUUGGGUAACUUAAUUGUGGCCAAUAAGGUAUAGGUUUGAGCAUGAUAAACGUGGUCUGUUCCAAACAAUGCUACCAGCCUCAAAGUUAUAGAUGUAUUCUUCUUUUUAUUUUAUUUUUAUUCUUUAGUUUGGUAGUGCAGUUGAUGGGUUACAGGCUAUGCAUGUCAUAACGUGGAAAAUCAAACCUGAAUCGAAACAUAACCAGAUUACACACAUCCGUUUACAGAUAGGAAAAUAAUAACACCCUGCACUAAUUUUAUGAUUAGGUCACGUCUGUCUAUUCUAUGGGUAGGCCGUGUGGUGUGGUUGUCUGUGGUCACUUCGUGACAGGGAGUAAGCACACCGUGAUCGUAAAGCUACCCGUAGUUGAGUUUGCUUCGGCACGGUUGUAUUCAGGGGUUAGAUUACUGCCGUACAUUUGGAUGCAGUCCACUAUUUGUGUCAUGGGUAGCUGGCUUUAGAGGUGGAGGCGGGUGAGUAAGUCCCUGCCUUUGUCAAUUAGGCGUGUAGAGGGUGCAUGGUCUAGCUCCGUCAUAACUUGGGUCAAGUUGAGUCAAGUAUAUGAAUUAUGUAAGACUGAGAAGUGCUGAGCUGCUCUCAUAAAUCCGUAAGGCGUAAUAAGUGGGAUCCUACCAACUUAGUCAUAGAUGUAAAUAAUGAAAGCAACAGAAUAAAGUAAAAGAACAAAACAUAAUCAUAACUAGGCUGACCUGUAUGCAUUAGAUAUAAUGUUGUUAGGAACAAUAACAAUUGAGCCCGGUGGAUCUGCAUUCUUGCUGGUUGGGUCACCACUGUUUUCUUGGAGCUGCCUCUGGGAGUAAAUGGGACCGUUUUCUCUGGGUCCCAUAUGUGUGCUGUGGAGGUGGUAGGUGUCUUUUGAGCUCUAUUGUCUGGCGAUAGUCCCAGAGCCUACAAAAAAGCCAGAGCUUCCGAGAUGGAAGUGAGCUUUAGUGUAGUGUCCUGGUGGGUCACCGCUAGGGUUCUUGGCAUCAGCCAGCGAUAGUCCACUUUUACUUGUUGAGUUUGUGUGGUUACGGUGCACAGUGACUUUAUCCAUUGCAGCUUGUUCCUUGUAAUGUCUUGAAAAAAGGUGAGUCUUAACGACUCAAAGUCCAGUGGGGUCUUAUCUCUCAUUGCUGUGAGUAUGCGACGUUUGUCUAUAAUGGAGUGACAGCGUACAAUUACAUCAUGCAGAGCCGUAGCUGGCACUUGCUGUGCUUUACUGAUGUGCAAAUGCCAAUCAAAUUCGACUUUCUUGGCCUGAGUGUGGGGCAGCAACAUCUCUAGUAGCCUCCGUAGAUAGUGAGGUAGUUCGGUCGGACUUAGAGUCCGGUAUUCCCCGAAUUUUUAUGUUCAUCUGUUGGUUGCGGCCCUCCAUUGUAUCUAGUUUGAGCUGGAACACUGAGUUAGUGGCUUGCAGUUGGUGCAGGGUAUCGCCCACAUUUUUCAUUUCUUGGCUCAGCUCUGGCCUGUGGGGGUUUGGUUCCAGGUCAGGGUCGGCUACCAUUUUGUGACUCUGGGGCCGUUGUAAAAGGAUCCUAUAUCCCGAGUAUCCUUGGGAGUCCCGGCUUGGGGUUUUUGAGAUUUUCUCACCAUGUUGGUAUCAGCAAGCAGGGGCCACUUGGGCGUCGAUUGGAGCCCACGCUUGUUCCAAGCCCCUUUCUGAGCGUUGCGGGAAGGCCUCCGUCAGCAUUCAUGUAGAUAGGGGUCUUGCAGCGGAUUUUCCUGCCCUUCAGGGCGUAUAAAAAGGGCAUUGGCUUGCAACUCUUGGUGCCAGGGUGAUCAGGCCUGGAGCCUAAUGGGGCCGUGGAUAUCAGCAGAUUGUACGAUUGCUUUCAGGAGCACUGGAGGGUAGCGUCCAUGCAGUUCAGCAGCUUCUGCUAUAGAUGCCUCCUCUGCUCUGUUAAUUUACUUUGAUCAUUUCUGAGAGCCCCAUUGCUGAUCUGAGUGUCCCAGUCUUUAUUUAGAAUGCUUAGAAAACAGUCACAUAUAACUGCAGUAGAUAGGUUUCCACAGAUAUCCUUGAGAUCUUUUACUAUUCUAGUACUUUCAGUAAUGGAAUCUAAGUUUUAAUUAACAGAUUUUUCUCCUUUUUAAAUAUACCACCCACUACCCCGUAAAGAUAAAUAAAUCUUCUUAAUGCAUCCUGGAGUUUGGAAGAUGUCACAGAUACUGUUACACACUCGGAUGACAAUAUUCAGAUAAUUUGGUGACUGGGUUUCAUUGAAGAAACACCUAUAUUUAAAAUAUAACGUAGUGCUAGAAGAAAUGCAAGCUGUCACGGAAGGGGAUGGGAAGUGAUCAAUAAAUCAGAUGAAUUGUAUUGUACGCUCUGUCUUCGUUUAAUUAACUUCACUUGAUUUACAGCAUGCUCUGUUAGUUAAGGUUCCAGGAGUUUCUUAGUGCUCCCUCCCCCCCUACAUGUUUAGUAAUACCGUAUCAGAAUGCUUUGACUUCUUAGCUGUUUUUACUUGGCUCCGCACCCCACUUCUGUUAUGUUGAGCCUAAAGAUUCUCAGCAUGCUCUUGUUAGGUCUCCUGAGCUAAGCCCUGCAGUGUGUGGCUAGCUGAUUUGCUGAGAGUGUUAGCUGAUGACUCUCAGCCAAUUAGCUUUGCAUCGCUGAACCAAGGUUCCGCUGAGCUAACAAAAAAUGUUCAAAACAUCAGCACCUGUGCACCUUCGUCCAGUAGGAAGCGUUGAGGCAAUUUGCAGGAAGUGUAUAUAAUAACUUUUUUUUUUUUUUUUAAUAAGCAGGGCACUGUAUUUUCAGAGUACAAAUUAAAUUGUGCAUAUGCACAGUACAUUCAAUUAGUGUGUUCAUAACCUGACAUUUAAUCAAAUAUAGCUUCUUGAGUGUUAUGAAGUUCACAACUUUACAUCUUAAAUUUUUAAUACAGCAUACGGAUCAAACUUAAAGGGGCAUGCAUCACUGGGCAAUUUUUUUAACCCAGCAAGCAAACCCUUUUAAACAAAUAUACAAAUCAAAAUAAAGCAAUACAAACUUUAAAAAGAAUUUGUAUUAUCUAAGACUUGCCACAUUGAUAAUCUAUCCUUAAUGUUAAAUGAUAGCAAAUGAGUUGGAAACAAAAAUCCCACAAAUAUUUUAGUUAUAUCAACUUGUUUAUAGCAAUAGCUGCUGUGUAGCAGAAUAUACUGCAGAUGUAGUGCGGCAGGAAAAAUGGGUCAUUGCUAGCCUAGCCUAAGGGUUGAUGCACCAAUCACUACCUCAUAAGAUCUAAUACAGUGAAAUGUAUUGAUCUUGUAAGUAAUAUAGGUUGAAAGCAAUUAAUGCAGAAUGUAGCUAUUUGUCUGACUUCUGGUUGUUGGGUUUUAUUUAUUUAUUUUCUCCCAGUGAUGGCAUACACUGUCAUGCAGUAAAAAUACCGGGGGGUUAAAUCCCUGUUGGUACUAAGGACCCCUGGGUAUCUUUCGAUACUUGGGUCUGCCGGAUGUCAGCUGGGGCCACAUUUAGUGAUCUCACUCAGCCACAGGAUUUAUUUCACUGCCCCUAGCCUCCAACAUAAAAAAGGGAUUCCAAGGUAUCUUUCCAUACCUGAGGGUACCUGUUGGGGCCAAUGUUGGUUCCCCAUACUGACAGGAGAGCUAUGCACUCAAAGUGAGUACUAAGCAUUAUCAGCAGAGAGAAUCCCUUGAUAGGUGGGAUUAGAGGCUGGGACUGGUACUAGGAUUAGUAAUAUAUAAUAUAUAUGUAUAUAUUAAUACAGGGAGUGCAGAAUUAUUAGGCAAAUGAGUAUUUUGACCACAUCAUCCUCUUUAUGCAUGUUGUCUUACUCCAAGCUGUAUAGGCUCGAAAGCCUACUACCAAUUAAGCAUAUUAGGUGAUGUGCAUCUCUGUAAUGAGAAGGGGUGUGGUCUAAUGACAUCAACACCCUAUAUCAGGUGUGCAUAAUUAUUAGGCAACUUCCUUUCCUUUGGCAAAAUGGGUCAAAAGAAGGACUUGACAGGCUCAGAAAAGUCAAAAAUAGUGAGAUAUCUUGCAGAGGGAUGCAGCACUCUUAAAAUUGCAAAGCUUCUGAAGCGUGAUCAUCGAACAAUCAAGCGUUUCAUUCAAAAUAGUCAACAGGGUCGCAAGAAGCGUGUGGAAAAACCAAGGCGCAAAAUAACUGCCCAUGAACUGAGAAAAGUCAAGCGUGCAGCUGCCACGAUGCCACUUGCCACCAGUUUGGCCAUAUUUCAGAGCUGCAACAUCACUGGAGUGCCCAAAAGCACAAGGUGUGCAAUACUCAGAGACAUGGCCAAGGUAAGAAAGGCUGAAAGACGACCACCACUGAACAAGACACACAAGCUGAAACGUCAAGACUGGGCCAAGAAAUAUCUCAAGACUGAUUUUUCUAAGGUUUUAUGGACUGAUGAAAUGAGAGUGAGUCUUGAUGGGCCAGAUGGAUGGGCCCGUGGCUGGAUUGGUAAAGGGCAGAGAGCUCCAGUCCGACUCAGGCGCCAGCAAGGUGGAGGUGGAGUACUGGUUUGGGCUGGUAUCAUCAAAGAUGAGCUUGUGGGGCCUUUUCGGGUUGAGGAUGGAGUCAAGCUCAACUCCCAGUCCUACUGCCAGUUCCUGGAAGACACCUUCUUCAAGCAGUGGUACAGGAAGAAGUCUGCAUCCUUCAAGAAAAACAUGAUUUUCAUGCAGGACAAUGCUCCAUCACACGCGUCCAAGUACUCCACAGCGUGGCUGGCAAGAAAGGGUAUAAAAGAAGAAAAUCUAAUGACAUGGCCUCCUUGUUCACCUGAUCUGAACCCCAUUGAGAACCUGUGGUCCAUCAUCAAAUGUGAGAUUUACAAGGAGGGAAAACAGUACACCUCUCUGAACAGUGUCUGGGAGGCUGUGGUUGCUGCUGCACGCAAUGUUGAUGGUGAACAGAUCAAAACACUGACAGAAUCCAUGGAUGGCAGGCUUUUGAGUGUCCUUGCAAAGAAAGGUGGCUAUAUUGGUCACUGAUUUGUUUUUGUUUUGUUUUUGAAUGUCAGAAAUGUAUAUUUGUGAAUGUUGAGAUGUUAUAUUGGUUUCACUGGUAAUAAUAAAUAAUUGAAAUGGGUAUAUAUUUGUUUUUUGUUAAGUUGCCUAAUAAUUAUGCACAGUAAUAGUCACCUGCACACACAGAUAUCCCCCUAACAUAGCUAUAACUAAAAACAAACUAAAAACUACUUCCAAAAAUAUUCAGCUUUGAUAUUAAUGAGUUUUUUGGGUUCAUUGAGAACAUGGUUGUUGUUCAAUAAUAAAAUUAAUCCUCAAAAAUACAACUUGCCUAAUAAUUCUGCACUCCUGUAUAUAUGUAUAUAUUAAUAUAUAUGUGUGUGUGUAUAUAUAUAUAUAUAUAAUAUAUAUAUAUUUGUAUGUGUGUGUGUGUGUGUGUGUGUAUAUAUAUAUAUAUAUAUAUAUAUGUGUAUAUAUAUAUAUGUGUGUGUGUGUGUGUGUGUAUACACACACACCCUAAUCCCUAUCCAUAUAUUUAUAUAUAUAUUUUUAUAUAUAUAUAUAUAUAUAUAUAUAAAAUAUACAAACACACAAAAAAACCAAAAAUGUUAUGGUGGGGGGAAAAGUCUGUGGACAGUUAAUUCUAUGUUAAACAAAAAUCUGCACACCAGUUAAGCCAUAAGACUUGCUUUUCCCACAGAAAUCACAAAUUUGAAGUGAUGUUACUACCGCAAAGGAUUCUAGGUGGGCAUAUGCAAAUUAGUUAAACUUUUGCUUCCCAAGCACUACCAAGCCUCAAAAGCAAACCAGUAACCAACCUCAUGCUGAUGAUUUGCAUUAACAACGAAACAGCUGUCCAUGAGUGGUUCAUUGGCUUUGCAUCUUAAGUUGUUUCAAAGCUGUUGUAUACAGCAAACACAGAUUCAAAGGAAUCCAAUACAACCUUUUUAUUACAUACUACGAAAAGAGGUCUGGUAUUCAUCCAACAUUAGUGAAUACCACACAGCUACCAUAUUGUCAUAUCAUUUCAUACUGUGCUCAUAGACACUACAUAUACUACCCAGGUUGAGCUACGGAAGUAAAUGUGGAAACCUAUGAGCCUUUGGACAUGUGUAUUUACUUGUCUCUACCUCCAAUUCCACAAUUGCUGUGUGGGAUCAUUUUUAAAAAACACUUUUUUUAAAUUCCUGGUCAUACGCUACUUAGUCAGUCACCCAUUACCGCUUUAACUCUGUCCACUCCCAACCUUAAAGCGGCACUGUCAUCAUCUGGGACUUUGCAGAAUUGCAAACACCCCCGGCGGUGACAUCGCUGCUGGUGGUCCAGUGGCUGGAAGUGCAGGUAAAGUUAAAAUUUACUUAACUGAACCUGUCCCUCAAGGGCAUGGCCAUAUUCCUUCGGCCGAUACUCUUCAGCUUGCCAGGAGCCGACUUCAUUGCUGUACUCUUCCGCAUGUGCGAGGGUACAGCAUUGAUGUCUGUAGAGGAUCCCGCAAGACCACAAGAUCCUCAAUAGACAUACCCAAUUCUCUGCAACCGUCACUGGUGAUGGCUGGGUGAUUGACACUUCUAGAUGGCUGUAGCUAUGCCCAGUGUUUAGAAAUGUCUACAUUGUCUCUGUAUAUGUUUUGACUGGGUUGGAUUUUCAGUGAAAUGCCAAUACAGUCAAAAUGAGUUUUUUCAAAUGAAAUACUAAUUUUUCAAGGGGGAGUGGAGGGUGACAGUGCCGCUUUAAUCUACAGGGGUAGCAUUCCAUGGCAUCACUAAAAUUAUUUUUGUCCUUCCUUCCUGCUUGGGUCUUGCCUCGAAAUUGAAAUAACCUCUUCCUGAAUAUUCACCUGAGCCUACAUUUUAGUUGCCAGUGGUUUAUGGAGUUAACCCUCCUGUAUGAAAUCCCCACAUACACCUAGUCCAAUCCCGCAGGAUUAGGUCUCCUCUCAUAUGGUCAUUUCUGGUGCUUCCCCGUAAUGGCUUUCCCUACAAUGGGUUCGAGACACUUCUACACAAUAUUAUAUUUGGGAACUCUAGCGGAGUUCUAGCAAGGACUCUUCUCCGCUGGAUCCACCAAUGUCUAACCAGAAACAAUAAAACAGCCAAGGAAUACCCCACCUCCUUCCCAGAGACUGGACGAUAUACAGUUCUGAGAGAACAACUGAACUUUAUUAUCACAUACACGGCUUUUAUGCCCAGUCCCAUGCAAGGGGUUUCUCAUACAAUAAUGCAGGGUUUUCAAUCCCAAAAUCCUCUGUGCCUGAGAGAUAAUUGCCUGAGAAUACUCCUCUAAUUAUUUCCCAGGUACAGAAAAUCCAACAAAAUAUCCUGUACCCCAAAAGUAUCUAAACCAUACCCAGGAACCCCACAAAAAGUACAUUCCCCGAUAGCCCCUAUCUGUGUGUCCAACAUGUCCAAGAAUCACUUAGAUCAGUUCAGCCGAACAGGAAUUCCACCAUGGUAAACUUUUGACCGGACAGACACGGGGCGCUAGCCUGAAACCGUUCCAGAGAAAUAGGUGUCCUGGCCGGUCUCAGUUUGUGAGUUUCCCGUGCGAACACCAUACACCAUACAAGGGAAUCUCUUAUUUUCAGGAUACGAAUGCUCCUCCUGUUUGGUAGUUCAUAUCUCCCGAACGUCGUUCGUGUAGGUGGUCGGGAACUGGAACGGGCAGCGGUCUAAGGUUUACCGGUGUUCGUGCGGGUGCCUAGCUGAAAAGAGUUCCAGGCACUCGAGGACCAAGUACUGCUGCCCAUGUUCGGGAGACAAGAUGGGGAAGCACUCAUUAAUUGUUUCCAUUGCGGUUUCGCACUUGAGUGUUUGGUGUCAUCGUUCUAAUGGGGCACGUGGGUGGUCCUCGUUUGGGAGACGAAGGGAUUCCAUUAGUAUACAGUCUCCCGAACAGCCAAAGAGGAACCACACAAAACAGGGGAAAAACACACGAAAGGUGGAAGUUCUGUUACAGGGGAUACGGACAGCCUAGAAAGGGGAAUACAAAGUGUCUGGCAAGCUUCCAUUCCGCUACAGGAACAUCAUAUGUUUUGUCAAACCUGGAGUUGUGUGUUAUCAUGCCAUGCGCGCUCGCAAACGUGGUCUGUUUAGUUUUGUUAUGUCCUAUUUUGGUUUUUAUUUUCUUUCUUUUAGCUUAGGCUACCAUGGACUUUCAUGUCAUGAAGUAUGUAUGCCUAUGCUUUCUAGCACUACAAGGAGAGCUUACUAACAAUACCCUAUGUAUUGACUUAGCAGUACUCGAGGUUCAUGUAGAAUUGUAUUUCUUUAUUUGUGGCAAUUAUUUAGGACAAAUAUUUACCAUUGCAUGCAGUGUAAUGUUUGUAACCCUGACUGCCUGCUUUUUGCUCCCAUAUGUAGGUGUAUGGUUUCUUUGGGGGGGGGAUGGGGGGGGAGGGUUGUAUGUUGUGGAAAACCAAUAAAAUACAAGUUUUAAAAGUUUAUAAGUAAGCAAAUUGUGGAAACUGUAUUGUUGGUAGAAAUUAACUUUUUUCUAAUUCUUUAAAUUAAUAAAAACAAAUCUAAAGGAUUUGAUUAAUUAGAGCACCUUUGGAGUCUUAUAUUGGAGUAAAUUUGUGGUUUCAUUUAAACUGUGGUCUGGGGAUUUAAAAUAAAUUUUAGAGGAAACUAGGAAUUACCCAAAAUUUAGAUGAUGAAAAUGGAAUAUGCGUGGGAAUGUCCUAUGUGUUCUAAUUAAUAUAGAAAUGUGUGAGGUCAGGUGAAGGACAACUCUGGUUCAUGGGAGUAAGGAUUCUCUAAGCUCUGGGUGUGUUGCAGACUAGGGCUAGAGCUCUGAUGCUAUCAGGGAAUGUUCUUUCAGUCUGCAGCCAAUCAGAGCGCUUGUAGGAAUUGGGUUGGAAUGGGUAAAGGCAUGCUGCUGUAGACUCAGACUGCAGUGAGGAGUGAUACAGCUACACCAUGGUAAGUUUGGAAAAUAACUAUUACAACUACAUGUACCCUCCAUUUUAAGGCUCCCCUGCUGUGAAAGAUAAGCGUAAAAGAAACUGAUUUAGACCGGUGAAAUGAAAGUUGGUACAAAAUAGAAUGGCACCAAACAGAAUGAAAUGGAAAAUGAAACUGACAUUCUUCAACAAUUACAUUACACAUAUAUGUCACACACAAAUGUAUAAAGCAUGCACUACAUCAACAUAUACAUACAGCAGACACAUUAAAUACACGGAUAUGCCUCAUACAAUAUAAACAUAUUUAGUAAAUCACAUUCAUACUGAUAGAAUUUUGCAUAUUACAUACAUAUAUGUCAGGGUGUGAUAUGCAGGCUUAUACACUAACCAACCACCUCUAGCAAAUUGAAAUUCAAAUUGCAAAGAAAGAUGUUAAUACUAAUGAGUUGGAGAAUUUCUCUGUUGCCUACAUUUUGCUGUAAAUUUGCUAUUUGCAGGGCUUAGAUCAGGAGAGCUAACUGAAGCUCCUAAGCAUCUAUUAGCGACUUUUAGAUAGUUGAGUCUGGAAACAAUGCCUGGUUGACCCCAGCUAAGAAGUCUAAUUCUGGAGGGCAAAAUGAAUGAUCCAUUGGAAGAUAUUUUUUUCCCCUCUCCCUCUCUCAUUUGACUUGUUCUGGUAUAGUGGAUGUUUGUUUUCAAACCUUGAUUUAGAAAACUUAUAGCCUUUGUUUCAGGCUUAUAAACUUGUAUUUUAAUUAUUCCCAAAUCAGAUAUCAAAUGUGAAUUAGUUAAAUAAUGUAAUACGAUAUAUAUAUAUUUUAUUUUUAUUUUAUUUUUUUUAUGAAUUGGCGUACAUUUAUUUUGGUGGUUUAUUUCCUAGUGGAUUAAGCAAAAAAUUAUAUGACCUACAACUAAUAUUUUAUGUGUCUCUUUGAAAUAAGAAUUUUAUAGUGAUAUAAGUUAUAAUUUUCUUCUGCAUGUUUGGAAUUGUGUGUGUGUAUAAUAUAUAUAUGUAUAUGUGUGUGUGUAGGCCUGAAUUUGUUGGAGGAGUUUUCCCUAUAUAAACGCUACCCCCCCUGUUUUCCCUUCUUUAGGGGCUUUGCAGGGUGCCACAUGCCACGCCCACACAUUUUUCUCGUUACUGUCACCGAGAGGCCAACACCCCGCCACACUGACUUGUGGCUAUGAUCCCCCACUGGCCAAACCAUAGAUAGAGCCUCUGAUUGCCACUUGGCAACUAGCAGGGAUCCACCUGUCACAGAGCUAGCUAGCCAGCCAGUUCUAUAUACGGAGUUCCAUCUAGGGCUUUCAAUUAGCCUUUUUAUUAAUUUCUUUAUAGGAUGUCACAAGAUUCUAUCCAAGGAGACGACUUUUCUCUCCAGAGCACUCCAGCCGGGCCCAGCACUCCUGUUAGACCAGGCUUACCCACUGACUCUAUCGUUCCUGCUACACCCGGGUCACUGAGGACCAUACCCAAACUAGCCGCGGAACUACAACGCAGAAACAUCCCUUACUCUGCCACUGCUAGGAAAGCAGAACGUUAUAAGUUUGUUAGCAGCUCAGUCUAGAAAACCCAUGUCUAGCACAAGUUCACAAGAGUUCCAGGGCGAAAGUUGUGGACAAUUUCAAGACACCUUGUCAUCUAUCUUGUCUACCCUCAAGUUGCUUAACGAGAGGAUGACAAAGAUAGAGACCAUCAUCCCUACCACUAGCAGUGCACCUGACCUUUUAGCCUCCACGUCUGAACCUGCAAACUACCAGGGUAAUGCCAUUGCUUUUGCACCCGCGCCCACCACUUCAUGUGUUAUUACCCCAGCUCACUCCGUCCCCUCCUCCAUUAAGAAAGACAUCCUUAAUGGCAAGGACGUCAGCCUUGUCAAUUCUUCGCAGGACAUACUAGAGAAUAGAGCCUUCAAUUACGGGGGACAUCCCCAAAUUCGUUUUCGGUUUUGGGUUAUACAGAGAUGUCAUCUCCUCUGUAUACCCCCCAGAGGCAUGAAGAAUUCAACAUUUAUUUACACAAGGUGGUGUACCUGGGGCACAACUAUGGGGGCUUUGCUUUCUGCGAUUAUCACAAGUCAGUGUCCGCUAAAUCAGCAGCAGCUCUGGCCCAGUUCAACAUGCGUAUAGAUUGGAGUCAGUUAGACACAGAGCUGUUCUGCAGGGAUUUCUCCGGCUUGAGGCCCCCAUCUUGUGCAGUAUGUUUCUCCCUCUCUCACUCCUCCAACUUGUGUCCCUGCGAAGCAGACACCUCUGUCACAGCCCUCCACUUCCUACCCCUCCACCACCCCCUCCCUCAGUCAGGAUAGGGGACAGAGAGAUAAGAGAGGCAGACCAGUUGUAUUCUUGAGCAAGGCACAGGUAUGCAACAAUUUUAAUGCAGGAACCUGUAAUUACACCACUUGUAGGUUGUUGCACAUUUGCUCCAUCCGCUUUAGAGCACAUACAAAAUCCAUGUUACCCUCUACGCUUUUCCCUUAGAAAUGACUGAUGGAAGUCAACAUUGUCGCGCUAGCCUACCACUUGUGCAUCCACCCCUCCCACCACUUGGUGCAAUUUUUGAUUUCAGUAUUUUCCAAUGGGUUUCACACAUGGCUAGUAGCACUCACCUCUGACGCACUAGAAGGCCAGAACUUACUCUCUGCUACAAACGACCCAUCUGCUGUUGACGAGUUGCUACGGAAUGAGACCUCGUCAGGUUUUAUGAUUGGCCCUUUUCCGCACCCUCCUUUUUCUACAUGGUGCACAAACCCUAUUGGAGUGGUUACCAACAACACUUCUAAUAAAAAAUGUUUAAUCGUUGAUUUAUCCGCGCCUCAUUCUUAUCACAAUCCUAGUUUAGCCCUAAUACGGGCUAAAGAAUUUUCUCUCCAUUACGCCACCGUGCAUCAUGCCAUACAAGCCAUUCUACUGGCCGGUGAACAAGCCUGGCUCAGUAAGACUGAUAUUACAAACGCGUCCAAAUUACUACCUAUCCAUCCGUCACUCUGGCAUAUCCAUGGCGUCAAAUGGAGGGAUAAUUAUUACUUUGCCACCAGACUCACCUUCGGCUCCAUGAGCAGCCCAAAACUGUUUGACAUCUUUGCAGAGACUCUAUGCUGGCUGCUCCUGAACACGGUCAUACACUUAUUUGGAUGAUUUCUUACUGGUCGAGACAGGUUCACUUACACUACGUAGCAUCCUUGGCACCACAUCACUGUUUUCAACACUAGGUGUUCCAUUGUCCCCAGAUAAAACAAUAGGCCCCACAACACAGUUGGUAUUCCUGGGUAUCGCACUAGACCCGGUGUCCUUGCAGGCACGCCUCCCUGAUGUGAAAUUAAUACGCAUUAGACAAGAAUUGGACAAGUUCCUACAAAAAGGUUCUGGUACAAGGAGGGAUCUCUAGUCUUUACCGGGAUACCUCAAUUUCGUGAUUGCUAUCAUUUCACAGGGGAGAUCUUUUAUCUCCAGGUUACUCUGCCUCCUGCCUGACGAUGGCACCAUAGUCCUCAAUUCCCCAGCCGUAGCAGAUUUUAUGUAUGUGGAAGCAGCUCCUGGCAGAGUGGAAUGGCAUUUCCAUGUACAUCCCCCCACUGACCAACCACUCCCCCGUAAUUUGGACUGAUGCAGCAGCCCACACGAGGUUCGCUGCAAUUUUUAGUAACCACUGGUUUAGGGAUGCUUGGCCAUUCAGCCAUUUUCGAGAUCUACCCCAUUGUAGCGGCCACUCAUACUUGGGGUCACCUGUGGUAAGGCAGUUAAGUGUUGUAGCGGAGUAGCAGGGGUUAAUCCAAUAGCUCUCCGCUGGGAACAAAGAUUCAGCAUACAAAAUCACAGGAACACAGCAUAAUCCACCUCCCCAAGGACUAGACGACACAUAGUCUGGGAGUCAACUGAUGACUUUAUUCACAGGUCUGCUUUUAUGCAUUUCUCCCAUGCAAGGGAGGUAACUUUCCUAAUUAGUACAGUAGCCAAUCAUAACAUGGUCACCUCCCAUCCCUCUCCUCCCCUUAGAUUAACACUUAAACAGAUUAAUGGGGACAGAGUUUUCCCCACUUUAUGGAUGUCCCCUAAAUACAGGGGGUACAGGUUCAAAUAAGGGGUCCCUUGGUAGGUCUGAUCUGGGUGAGCAACAUACUCAAAAUUCACCCAGAUCGGACCAGGGGUUCGGAAGUUACAGGCAUUGAGAGAUUUGACCGACCGCAGUAGCCGAAAACAGUUCCAUGAAUUCUGGCCCUGCGGUCGGUCUUUUCUAGUGAACGCAAAGUCCCGAACGGUUUAGGCAUCCAAGCAACUGUUACCAUUCGUAUGAAUCUCUUCGUUUGGGGGAUUCCAUCUACCGAACGCCGGGGCGUUCGUGUGUUUGGUUCGUGCUUUCUGAGCAUGCUGGAGGUCUUAGCGGUACUUGGUUAGUCGAAUGCCCGGUUUGAGUUCCAGGCGUUCGACGACCAAGUACUGCUGUUCGUGCGGAAGAUGGCUGCCGCCACAUGUUCGGUAGGCGAAAUGGCGGCCACACAUACAGGUACUUAAUUCCCUUCGCAACAUUGUAGCUUUCAGUUAAUUGGAAACACACAACCACCCCGGGGUGGUCUCCCGUUCGGUAGUUUCGGGGCAUUCGCAUUCAGAACAGUAAGAAUACCAUUAGGGUCCGUUCGUGCAUUUAGUCACUGCUUUAGCAUCCAUUCGCAUGUAAUGAUUCCACUGUUCAUUCGCACAAAACAGUUAGUCCAAGUGGCAGGGUUUGCCACAAGUGUACAAGGUAAUUUGGCGGCUUGCAAGAUCAUCAAUAAAGGGUGCUCUUCCUCCUUGACCAUAAUGCGUUUGGUACGAAAGUUGACGUGUGCGAACACAUUCCGGGCAUUCAAAAUACGGCAGCUGACGCUUUGUCCCGGUCUAAUUUUCAGGUAUUCUUCAAGGUGCAUCACUCUGCCAACAAGCUCCCAUCCUGAACACCAACAUUUCUGGAGCUAAUCAGGGACUAAUGGGAUUAUUGACCCACGGAUGAUCACUCUCACACACGCCCUGUCAGGUAACACUAAGACGGCAUACGAUAGGACGUUGACUGUUUUCUGCCGUGGGACCUCGGUUUACAAACGACUCGGUUAACAUAAUUUUCGAUUUACACAUGAAAAUCCAUUGAAAAUAAGGCCUUGGACUUACAAUUUUCUUUCAUAAUGCAAAGCAAGUUUCCCCAGGAUGCAUUGCACUUGGGAGGUUUUUUUAACACCGCCCCCUGCAUGCUGCAGCCUGUGGGUAGCACGUGGUGUCGAGUGUGGAGGUGUUGGAGCGGCUUUUGCAUCGAGUUUUGUAGUCAUUCUGGGAAUUUUUUGCAGUUGUUUUGGGACUUUUUGUUGCAUUUCUCAAGCUGUGGAAAGGUAGGGAGCUGAGCUUUGUCGUUUGCAUGCCUUUUAUUGUGUGUUCUGCAUUGUGGGUUGGUUUCCAUGCCAGCUCAUAUUGACUUUUUUUCUGACCUCCAGAAUGGAUUAAUUGGUUUUCAAUGCAUUCCUAUGGGAAACCGCGUUUCGGUUUACAAAUUUUUCGCAAUAAGAAACGUCACGGUGAACGCAUUAAAUUUGUAAACCAAGGUACAAAUGUAAAAAAAUAACAAAAACACACACACACACACACACACACACACACACACUUCAAAGAGACUUACAUAAAAUAAUUAGUUGUUUGUGUGUGUGUGUGUAUAUAUAUAUCUAUCCGUGCUCAGAGGGGCAAUAUCUCUUUAAAGUAUUAUCACUUUUGAGAUAAUUUUAUGCUACCGGUUCUCAGAUUUAAACCAUUUCUGUCAUUCAUAAGAUAAGUUAUGAAUAUUGUCAUUGUGAAAUUCAUGGUUUGCACAUGAUUAUCUGAUGUAUACACAUUUAAAAUUGUUUAGAAUAAUGUGUUCCCUAUGUAUCAUUAGCACCAUUUCAAUUUCUCUUCUCUGCAUUCAUUAUCAACUGCUUUAGGCUGACCAGGAAAACCAGAAAAGACAUUUUGAAUUGCUUUCUUAAUGUAUCUCUCUUGGAUAGUAGCAAACAUCAGGAAAACAGGAUUAAGUUGAAUAUAAUCUAAUACCCAUUAUGCAUGCCAAUGCCCCCUAAAUUACAGUUUAUUAUAGAUAAAGGAGAAUAAAAUGCUAUAUCUUAUCCCUGAACGCUUUUCAAUAUCAACACUGACUUUUCAGACAAAAGGCAGGGUUUACAUUGCUGUCUGGUGAGACCUCUAGCGACAGUCACUCAGACGGCCUCUAGAGGUGCUUCCUGGUUUAGUGCUUCUCACUGUGCUGCACCUAUGUUAAUGUUCCUUAUAGGGAUGCAUGGAUUAAAUGCAUCUCUAUAAGAAGUUGAUUGUCGCAGUGCAUGCGCAAUAGUCUCCCAAUGCUUUCCUAUGGGGGGAAGCAUUGGAUUGGCUGAGAUCUUCAAAAUGUAUUAACUCAGCCAUGGUGGUGAUGCCAGCCGCGGUGUCACCAGCAUGGUGUGGGAAAAAAGGUGAAUGAAAACACCUUUCCCAUGUGAUUGGAGGGGGGGAAGGUCAUGUAAACAUACACACACACACUUACUGACAGAGACAUUCACCAGCCGACACACUCACACACACUCACACACACUCACUGACCAACAUACACACUCACUCACAAAUAAUAAUUUUUUAUUUAAAUCCACCCAGCCUCCCUACCUUUUGAGAGCUGGAGUAGAUAGGCUUUCCCUGGGGUCCAGUGGGGCUGCUGUCAUCUCCCUGCUCAGCUCCCUCUCGCGCACUGUUUAGUAAUGUGGGAGUGACACCUUACCCGGCUCCUGGGAUUGCUUCAAAUCGUGCAAGAGCGGUUACAGCUCCCUCGCCGCCGCACUAAGUCAGCCGCCUGCCGCACUAAUUCAGCUCGUCAUGAGCCAGCCGCCCCCUCACUCCCUCAGCUAUUCAUGAGCCGGCCUCCCUCUUCCUUAGUCAGCCUGCCUCAGCCCUCCGUGGGCCGACUGCCCGCCUCUGCCCUCAGGCAGCCGGUCACCUCGGGGGCUGCACAGAUUCACAAAUCCCAGGCGCCAGGACAGAUUUCAUUGUCGCCAUGGCAACCGGGGAUUCGUCUAGCCCUGGAUUAAUCUAAGCCGUGUAAGAUCUCUCUGUAUCCUUUAGAAUGAUAUUUGGGCACUUUUGUUUUGUACCUAUUAUUUUUAACAGAUGGAAUCAUAGGCAUUGCAAUAGUAUAUCAGUAACAUACUUUCAUAUACUUAGAAAACUUUACAAUUGGUGAAACUGAAUUAAUGACUACACAGGACUGAAUUUAAAGGGUUACUAUAUUUAAAGGUUCUGCUAUACCUGAUACCUGACCUUAUUUUUAAAUGGAUCAUCUCUAUUGAUUUAAUCACCAGGCCAAGUAUCAGUAAGACACGUGCACGGUGUACAUGAAGCAGUGGAGGGAGACUGGAAAUCCUUAACAUCUCAGAGGGAACCUUAUAGCCACUGGAUACUGAAGUCUUUGGAAAAAAAAUAUUUUAAGUUGCAAAACACUCUGUGUUAACCAAGUAGCAAAAUAUACACAUAUAUACAAAUACACACUGGCAAUAGCCCGGAUCCUGUUUUUGCACUCAGUACAGCGAUAUUCAUUUGCAGAUUGUCUUCAACAAAUUCCUGGAAACAUUUUUGGAGGGAUUUAACUUUUUGGGAUUUUUAAACACUGAGUAAUUUUUGCAGACUUUUGACUGCCCGUUCGUUCAUGGUGUAAAAUGCUUAUGCCCCUUCAUCCUAAAUGUAUUGUAUUGAAUUCUGGUGGAAAUAUGUAUUUUAAAAUAGAUAGAUACUAAUAUAUCACCAGUGUAAUCAUUGACAUUAUGAGACUUGAAGAAUUCAUGGAUUAAUUUGUUUUGCAAAAUUUUGACCUUUACAUUUUUGCAGUAGAAAUCAAGAUUGUGCAGACCACAUAAAGUGUUUCCAAUAUGGCUUUUACAAGUGGCCAUGGUGCAAGGAACAUAUGUAUAGUGUUUUAGCUUGAACACUGCAUAUGGGGAUAUUUGUACUUGAGUUGCACCCGUGACUAAGGCAGCCUGAAACAAUGUUCCUUCCCUCUGUCCCCUUCCCAGGUUAGACCUUGCACAUGCACUCUGAGCAGUUGAAACAGUCUAAUCAAAUACCUGUGGCACCCGUGCAAACUAGGUUUAUGCCUAUUUUUCACAAACAUGUAUUCCUGACCCUAUAGUGUUAACACCACCAUCUAGCCCCCCCAUGGCCGCUCAUGCCUCCCUGAAUAUAGCAAAAUCUUACUUGUAUUCAAGCCUGAAGCUUGCGGUUUGCUUCAGAAUACCAAGCUGUCUACUGACAUCAUCAUAAGUGGUGGCCUGAUCCAAUCACAGUGCUUCUCCAUAGGAUUGGCUGAGACUGACAAGGAGACAGAUCAGGGGCAGAGCCAGCACAAUUCAAACACUGCCCUAGCCAAUCAGCAUCUCUUCAUAGAGAUGAAUUGAAGCAAUGAAUCUCUAUGAGAAUGUUCAGUGUCUGCAUGAGGGUGGAGAUACUGAAUGUUUGGAUGCAUUUUAGGCAGCCAUGACCCAGGAAGGAUCUCUAACAGCUAUCUGAGGAGAGGCCAGUGAAGUUAUCACUAGGCUGUAAUGUAAACACUGCAUUUUCUCUGAAAAGACAGUGUUUACAGCAAAAAGCCUGAAAGUAAUGAUUCUACUCACCAGAACAAAUUCAAUAAGCUGUAGUUGUUCUGGUGACUAUAGUGUCCCUUUAAAGCUUUAUAAUGGGUAGACCUAAUGCUAUUGUAAAUAAAAUAAAUAAGUAUAAAUGUAUGUUUUGUUUGUUUGUUUAUUUACUUUUUACAAAUGUCUUCAAUUGUUCUCUUCCAGAUCAGAAACUUAAGACCAAAACUGAAAUUGAGAUUUGACACUGUGCUGUUUUACAGCACUCAUCUGCCCUCUGGUGGUAAGUAUUCUUUUUAGCAUGUGUAAAUUUGCCAAACGUUUUUUUUUUUUUUAUUUACAAUGUGACAAGUAAUGAAAAUGCUGAC